RNAcentral lists this long non-coding RNA (94190 nucleotides) under Setaria italica (foxtail millet). RNAcentral describes it as "long non-coding RNA (SITA_LNC006295)". Lineage: Eukaryota; Viridiplantae; Streptophyta; Magnoliopsida; Poales; Poaceae. The record is from RNAcentral.
CCUUGUGGUGAGACUAAAUUAGCUGCUUAUUCUGCAGGUUGCAUUCAGGAGAUCGAGCUGCCGGAUCGGAGGAGGUCAUAUCAGCCGUGUUGGUUGUGCACUUGUGUUGCUGCCGGCGGAGAAGCAACCAUGGUGAUCGGGCCACUGAUCUCCAUGGUGAUGAAGAAGGCAUCCAGCUACCUGCUGGACCAAUACAAGGUGAUGGAAGGCAUGAAGGAGCAGCGCAAGACCCUGGAGCGCAAGCUCCCAGCAAUCCUGCACAUCAUCCAGGAUGCGGAGGAGAAAGGAGCCUCCCGACCUGAAGUAGCAGCUUGGCUCAAAGACCUCAAGACAGCAGCCUAUGAGGCCAACGACGUCUUUGAUGAGUUCAAGUACGAGGCGCUUCGGCGAGAAGCCAAGAAGAAGGGCCACCACAGCAAGCUUGGAGCGGAGGUAGCAAGACUCCUCGUCCCCGCUCGUAAUCCCAUUGUAUUCCGUUACAGGAUGGGCAAGAAGCUACGCAAGAUUGUGCAGACCAUCGAGGCCUUGGUCACCGAGAUGAAUACAUUUGGUUUCAGGCACUUGCAGCAAGCACAGCCAUCAAGGCAGUGGCGACAGACAGAUUCCAUAAUCAUUGACUCCGACAGAGAUAUUCUUAGCAGAUCUAGAGAUCGGGAGAAGAAGAAAAUCGUGGGGAUGCUCCUUGAUCAAGCUAGCAACAGGGAUCUCAUGGUUCUUCCAAUUGUUGGGAUGGGUGGGAUGGGCAAGACCACCUUUGUGCAACUCAUUUACAAUGACCCUGCAAUCGAGAAGCACUUUGAGCUUCGAAGGUGGUGCUGCGUGUCAGAUGAUUUCGAUGUCAGUACCAUUGCAAGCAACAUCUGCCAGACCAAUGAGAAAUGUCGUGAAAAAUCAUUGCAGGAGCUCCAGAGUACAAUAAGUGGAAAAAGGUACCUCAUUGUGUUAGAUGAUGUAUGGAAUCGGGAUGCUGAUAAGUGGGGAAAACUAAAGACCUGCCUUAAACAGGGUGGCAAGGGCAGUGCAGUACUAACAACAACUCGUGAUGCAGAAGUGGCUCGCAUUAUGACCAUGGGUGUAGCUGAAGCCCAUAAUAUCGAGAAUCUGAGUGACGAGCAUUUAAAGGAAAUUGUCCAGAGCAGAGCAUUCAGCUUGCAAAAUCCAAAUAUAGAAGAGCAAGAUGGCAUUCUCAGUGGAUUUGUUCGUCGAUGCGUUGGAUCUCCCUUGGCUGCCAAAGCCUUUGGCUCUAUGUUGAGUAACAGGACUAGUAUAAAUGAAUGGAAGGAUGUAUUAGCUAAAAGUGACAUUUGUAGUGAGAAAACCGGAAUUUUACCGAUCCUCAAGCUCAGUUUUGAUGACCUAUCCCCAGAUAUGAAGCAGUGCUUUGCAUUUUGUGCUUUAUUUCCUAAAGAUUAUGAGAUUGAUGUGGACCUCUUGAUUCGACUGUGGAUGGCACAUGACUUCGUACCUGUGCAAGAGGAUGACAAUCCAGAAACCGUAGGAAAAUAUAUUUUCGAGGAGCUAACUCGGAGGUCAUUCUUUCAAGAUGUUAGGCAAACACGUCCAAUUGGCAAUCUUCGUAGGUCAACCAUAUGCAGGAUACAUGAUCUCAUGCACGACAUUGCUCUAUCAGUUCUGCGGAAAGAAUGUGUCACUAUAGUUGAUAAGCCGAGCGUCAACAAGCUGUUGCUAAAUCCGACCCGCCACCUCUUCUUAUCAAUAUACGGUGUUAGUCCUGUUUUCGUGCAAGAACAGGUUACAAGUCUAUUGAAGAAACAAACUGCAAUGCUCCAUACGUUGUUUAUCAAAGGUUAUGGUCAACCCCUUGAUAUAUCAAAGUACACUUCACUGCGAGCAUUACACCUUCCAGCAGAUAGGUUAUCAUGUGUAGGACAGGAACAGCUUACAAGACACAUACAGCACCUAAGGUAUCUUAAUCUGUCGUCACAUGAGUUCGAGAAACUUCCUGAAGGUAUAAGCAUGAUGUAUAAUCUACAAACGUUGGACCUCUCUCAUUGCAGACACCUUCGUCAACUUCCAAAGGAUAUGAAGUAUAUGGCAAACCUCCGACACCUCUAUACCCAUGGAUGCAAAUCAUUGACGUGCAUGCCUCCAGGACUUGGACAGAUCACUUCUCUGCGGACUCUAACUUAUUUUGUUAUUGGUGAUGGCUUGGGAUGUAGUACUAUUGCGGAACUUCAAAACUUAAAUCUUGGUGGAGAGUUAGAGUUAAGUGGUCUGCAAAAUGUAACAGAAGUGCUUGCAAAAGCAGCCAAUCUUGAAAAAAAAGAGAAACUCACAUACUUAUCUCUCAAGUGGAAUGAUGAUGCCCGUGAGAAACCAGAUUCUCAUAAUGAGGUGUUAGAUGCCCUUAAACCUCAUCAUCAGCUGGAGAUGCUAAGAAUAAAGUCCUACAAAGGCACCAAUUUACCGUCAUGGAUAACAGAUCUUAGUAUGUUGCAGCACUUGACUGAGCUCCAUCUGCUUGGUUGUAUGCUGUGUGAGGAAUUUCCUCAAUUCUGCCAUUUCAAAGCCCUUGAAGUUCUGCAUUUGGAAAAGUUGGACAAAUUGCGAAGCCUAUGCAGCCAUAUGGUGUCUACGCCAUUUCCAGCACUGAAGCAACUCCGGUUACAUGAUUUGGAGAGCUUGGAGAGAUGGGUCGCAACAGAAGGAAAAGAAGAUGAUGAAUUAACCUUUCCUCUACUUGAGGAGGUCGAUAUAGACAACUGUCCAAAGUUGACUAGCCUACCUGAAGCACCAAAGCUCAGGGUUGUAAGUUUGGAUGAAGGCAAGCCGCUGCUCUCCUUAGGAAUAGUUAAAUCAAGGCACAUGUCUUCAAUUUCUAAGCUAAAGCUGCGUGUCCAUGACACAGAAGCACUGCCUGAGAUAGAUUAUAAUUGGGAUUCAUCACAGAAACAGAAACUAUCUUUGGGUGGCACAGAAGCCGCACCUCUGUCAGAACUGAACAUAUCUGGCUGCAACUUUUUCUUCGUAUCAAGCCAGUCACAGCUAACACCUGGGGUCUGGAAAUGGUUUGAACAUCUUGUAUAUUUCACAAUUGAAAACUGUGAUGUGCUCAUCUACUGGCCAGAAGAAGUGUUCCAAAGCUUGGUAUCUUUGAAGGAGUUGUGGAUUCAGUCCUGCAACAAGCUAAUAGGGCCCACACAAGCGAAAGGUGUCGAACCUACACAAACGACAGAUCAACUCCUACCACAUCUAAACAUGAUACGUAUAUACUGUUGUGAAAGCAUGGCACAGCUCUUCAUUCUUCCCCCAUCUAUCAGACUUAUUCAUAUUGAGGAAUGCCCUAAGCUUGAGUUCAUAUGGGGAAAGGAGGAGCAUAUUGACACAUAUACAUCGCUGGAACAUUGCCGCGACCCUGCAUCCACCACUGGUAACCUAGAGCAAUCGCCGUCUCCAAUUAUUCGCCGUCCAUGCCUUGUAGAUCUAUCUAUAAGCAGUUGUGAUAGCCUGUUAACACUUCCAAAUCUACCACCGUCCCUCAAAUAUUUACACAUCUGGAGCUGUGAGAAGCUCUGCUCUGUGUCAGGAGACCUGUGUGCACUCGAGGAGCUACAUAUUUUUGACUGCAAUAAGUUACAGUCAGUCAAUUCCUUGGGAGACCACCCAUCAUUAGAAACACUGUAUCUUAAUCGCUGCCGAUGCCUUGCAUCUUUAGGAUGUGAUGGUGGUCGUGGAAGUUACUCUGCUCUUCAGAGCCAUAAGAUCGAAGACUGCCCAGCCAUAGACAUGAAGCAGUUUUACUAACGCCAUCAAACAGCUGCUUGACAGCUUUGAAUAUGAAGACGUAUCACACGUUCAUUCAAGCAGCUCUGAUGAAGGUACGACCUUUCACUUUCCUCUUAUUCAAUUUGUUUCCUUCAAAUUUCCCUGCUUUGCAUGCCCUCCUAUUUUGUUGACUAACUGGUGUAACCCCACAUAUUGGUGUUGAGAUCAGUUGAUGCGGAAUCACUGAAGUACUACUGAAACGAGAUCCUGAUCGGUCUCAGUUUUGGAGAGCAAUUUGUGGUGAACGGAGGCAGUCCAAGGCUUCAAGAACUCAUGGAGUCGUGCUGUACCAUUCUGCACUGCCAGGGCCAAAACAACACAAUUCCUUUAUAUAAGUUGGGUAAGUAAAAAACCAUGCCUUCGUCUGUGUUAAUCAAAUCUCAUUUAGCACAUAUAUGGGGACGUGUUGUUAACUUGUUACCCCAUGCUUUUCAUUUUUUCUGUGCAGACAUGACCCAUUUGUCCUUAAAAAGCAUAAAGGAGGGCACUCACAUGUACACACGACUGCUAUCUGGAAGCUUCAUUGCAGAUCUAGAGAUCAGGAGAAGAAGGAAAUCGUGGGGAUGCAGAUUUGCUUUCAACGGUCAAAACAGAGCUACAAAUGAUUAGUUGUAGUCGUGUGUGGUCCUUCCAUCACGAGUCGGUUUUUUCUUUUGCGCUAUAGAGAAGCUUUUCAGUUGUUGUCUCUUUUACGGUUGAUUUGAUUCCUUUUUUCCUUUCUAUGGGCCUGUUUGGCUCCACCCUAUUAAAGUUUAACACCUGUCACAUCGGAUGUUUGGAUGCUAAUUAGAAGUAUUAAAUAUAGACUGAUUACAAAACUAAUUGCACAGUUGGAGUGUAAUUCGCGAGACGAAUCUAUUAAGCCUAAUCAGUCCAUGAUUUGAUAAUGUGGUGCUACAGUAACCAUUUGCUAAUGGUGAAUUAAUUAGGCUUAAUAGAUUCGUCUCGCGAAUUAGCACAGGGUUCUGCAAUUAAUUUUAUAAUUAGCUUAUGUUUAAUUUUUCUAAUUAGGAUCCGAACAUUCGAUGUGACACUAUUAAAGUUUAGCACCUCGUAUCCAAACACCCCCUAUUAAUAUAACAUGAAAAUCCUCUUGCCAUCUUUUUUUAAAAAAAAUCGUAGGGAUGCUGCUUGAUGAAGCUAGCAACAUGGAUUUCAUGGUUCUUCCGAUUGUUGGAAUGGGUGGGAUAAGCAAGACCACCUUUAAUUUGUGCAACUCAUUUUUUCGGCUGUCAGAUGAACAUCCGAUGCGUUUCCUUCAUCUUCUAGUAAGUAUAUAUCUAGGUGCAUAGUAAAAAUUAUAUAUCUAGAAAAAAUGACCUACAAUUUAAAAUGGAGGGAUUACGUUGGAACAUCAACCAAACAAAUGGACGAACCCGUUUAAUUAUUUGGCCUCCAAGAAUGCUAUACGACCUGAAUGAAUAACUGAAGGCUAUCAAGGCACUUAUUGUUGUACAUAGGAACUGAGCUUGACUUAGAUAUAUUUAUUUGCAAACAGGUGUGAAAUGUGAUACAAUAAUUCAGAAAGCUAGACGUCGUGAGCCAUCCGAGAGAUAAGAAGAAGCUUCUCAUUACGGUGCACAUCCAUCCCAUACGACUCUGACAUUUCGAUGCCUGUCAACACUGGCGGAAGCUCCCAAUUGAAGUGGUAGAUGAGGUUGGCAAGAAUGAUUUCGAAAGUGGCGGUGGUGAAGUUUAUACCCAGGCACAUCCUUCGCCCAGACCCAAACAGCAAGAAACAGAAGUCGUUCCCCCGGAAGUCGGAAGCAGCAUCCAUGGCUUCUUCCAUGAACCGCUCGGGCAUGAACUCCUCUGCACUCUCCCAGUAGGUGGUGUCCCUGCAUAGAGCCCACGCGUUGACGAUUACACGUGUCCCGAAGGGUAUGGUAUAGCCCUCCACAUUGCAUUCCGACUUUUUUAUUUUUUGAACUUUUUUUUGAAAGAUUCUUACAAAUAGGUCCUUGGCGAAAACAUUUCAAAAUCUGGACCCUUAGCUUGGCGCCACCAUCGUACACGUCUCGGCGCUAGCGGCUCUGGCGCCUAGGUCAUUGCGCAGCUGGUGACGUGGAUGCUGACAUGGCGGGGGCUUGGCACCAAGGUGGAUGACGCCAAGCUUCGUAUUUCAACCACCUGCCUCCUUCCUACCCGAGCCUUCCUCCUCUUCUUUCUCCUCCCUCUCGGAUUUUUUCUCUCCCCACUUCACCCUACAUCACGAAUCGGCCUAUUGGAUCUUGAAAACUUUGAUUUGAUCCGUGGAUCUUCGAGAGCAAGGUAUCCUCGCUCCCUCAUAGUUUUUUUUCACGUCGAUUCGGUAUAUAUUAGUCGGAGUUUUGAACUUAGGGUUCAUGCAACCGUAGGAUGUCAAGGCGUGGAAAAGCUAGGAAACUAAGGUAACCUCAACGCACGUUGUUAUGUUAUGGGUUCAUUGUUGUGGAUCGAAUGGGAAACCCUAGGUAUAGGUUUAAUGUUAAUUGCUUUCGGUUCUUACAACGAAAUGGACUAAAUUGUAGUUAUGGCGGGAUGACUGGAAAUGCCUUCGACCCAUUGCCUCUGCCAAGUGGUGUUCCAGUGCCCAUGUGCUUUUACAGCGAUCCUUGCAAGGUAGCCAAGUCCGAUGCAGAGGACACGUAUAGGAAGAGGUAUUGGAUGUGUUCCAAUUUUGCGUUUGAGCCUACACUUCGUCAGCGCCGCAUUAACAAGAUGGUGAGAAAUUGAUGUUGUCUAAUAAUUAUUUUGUUUCGUAUGACAUCUUGCAUGAUUUUUUUAUUUUCUAACAAUUGCAUUUGUUGCAAACCCCUCUACUGCUCUGUGAUUUUGAGCAGUGGAUUGACACUGAGAUCAAGCCUGAAGAUAAGGAGGAGAUGCAGGAAAUGUUGCGGUGGGAGGCAGAGAAGAAGGAGACAACGGAGAACAGACACAGAGAGGAGGCUGCAGAAAAGGAGCACAAGGAAAAGGAGAAAAAGAGGCAUGCUGCUGCGAACAGGGAGGAGAGGGAGAAGAAGCUUGAGCGUGCACGCUGAGCGAAAGCAGCGAUUGAGGAGAAUCCCAAUGCCCUGAGGAAGGGAAAGUGGCCUCGUUGCACACAGUAGUCUUCAGUACUUGCUAGUUCUAUGGUUUAUUCAUGAACAAUGUUAUCUACUGUUGGACUUUUCAUUGUGUUGUCAUGUAAUGGACUUUAAGUAUGGAUGAUGAUAAAAAGAAGUACCGACAGAUGCUCAUCACUGAAUCAACACAUGCCAUCGAAAUUUUGGCAGAAUUUCCCCUAUUAUUUUUACACAAUCCAUACAUGUAAGUGAGAUGAAUUUUUAACCUCAAUACAACAUGUUCAAACAUACAAAUAUAUGCCACAUUCAUAAUGAAAGUCCACAAAAUGCAUAAUGAAAGUCCACAAAGUUCAUAAUGAAAGUCCACAAUAGUACAUAUACACAAUAGUUCAUAAUAAAAGUCCAUAUACACAUUAGUUCAUAAUAAUAGUCCAUAUACACAAUAGUUCAUAAUGAAAGUCCACAAAGUCCAUGUUAUUACAUAAUAACAUCUACCACAAACGUUCACUACCUCCUAGUCUUACCCUUACCCUUGUGACCAAGAGUGUCGGUACCUGGAGUGUAAGGGGAAGGUGGACGAUAUCUCCUAGUGCCUGCAAGCUGUGUAGGCUGAGUCAAGGGAGCGUCCUGGAGCUGAAACGGGCCAAGCUCUUCGUGCCUCUCGUCAUCCUCAUCCUCGUAUGCAAUGCCUUUGGCCUGUGUAGCUGCUUGGCUAGACGAACCUAUGCCUCCUCUGCUUGAGGAAGGAACAUGCAUGUCUCGCAUUGUGGCUGUCCUGCAACCACAAUGAGCAGCCGCACGGCGUAGCCGACGUGAUAGUCUCUAUUGUACAAGAAAUAGGUUAAGUGAAAGAAUUUAACGUAUUAAUAAUAUAUUUGAAAGCAUAUUUAGAAUCUUAUGUCUAGGAAGCUACGCGUCUCGUCGUCUCUGACUCUCGGACGAAACUGCUCAAUGUCUUCAACCGAGGUUUUGAGGGUAUGGCCCUACAACAAAGUAAAUGUACCAUCAUUAAAUCACUAAGUCACUAUCUACCUAAAUCACUAAGUCAGUAUCUACCUAAAUCACUAAAUCACUAAAUCUACCUAAAUCACUUAAGUCAACUAAUCACUAAGUCACUUAACAUAGAAAAAUAAGGCAAUUGACUUACCAAUCUAUCCAAGAUUGGUCCUGCCUCCACUUGCCUUCCUACACAAGUACUUCGGUCGUAUGUCGUGUCUUCAUCGUCGAAGGACUCGAUGUCGCUGUAGUCAUCUUGUGUCCAUUGUAGCCUCAGCCUGCAACGGCUCGCACCUUGGUACCAAGCUUGGUAUCGCAUGUACUCACUGUUUGUGUGCGGCUCGUUGUUCUCAUCCACGUUGUCGUGGAACUCCUCCCAUUGCUCAAUGUAAGGCUGGUGGUAUACAUGUCACUCAAAAACCUUCCUGUUCUUCUUAUGAUCCAACCUGCACGUCACGUAAGAUGUAUAACUGCCCAUAGUCGUAUAACCUGAGUUAAUGUAAGGGACCAUCAUGAGAUAAUUGAAAUAGCAAAACACUUCCUUGUGUAAACUCUACGCCAGUCGAGAAUGGAGCCGUUGGCCCAAAUCUGUUCUCAUGCCAAAUUAGAGUGCAACUCGAUCAGGCUGGGUGGAACUCGACCGGCAUAGAAAACAUAUAAGAGGGCACCUCAUCUGUAUAAAGUCAUCCAUCGCUCGCACACAUGGUGCUCAAAAGGAAAAGUAAGUGCCCCCUCUCCCUAUGUAUGGCUCCCACGACACCUGCAACAUGUCCAAACAAGAUGUCAGAUGAUAUACUAAAACUAAUUGAAAUCAGCAUGGGAAAUAAAAUGUACUUACACUAGACACCGUGAGCGUGUCUAGCUCGUUCGUGAAAUCAUGGUACGCCCACUCCAACAUCGUGUGUAGAACCCUAACCUGGUCCCAAAGGUACGCCCACGUAGGAUGCUGUCUCGGAGGCUGACCUGGGAACCACUCAUGGCGAGACAGAACCUCAGGACGGCCAACUGGUAGACGCGCCCACAUCCACAACUGCUGUAGGUACACACAUCCACCAAGUGAUGCUGAGGAUGAAGACCGACGACAAGCCUCGCACAGCUGCAGGUAGAGAAAACCCAACAUUGCAGAGCCCCAGCUGUACUGACCCGCCUGGUGCCAGUCGGUGAGGCAGUGGAUCCAAAACCACAAUGUAGUGUCACCCGUGGCAUCGGGGAAGAGAAUGCAUGCAAAGAGGUGUAGGAUCCAUGCCCUGCAGUAGUUCUCAACUGUUUGCUCAUUUACAUCCUCGAGGCAUUGUGCAAACUGUUGCCGGAGCCAGGAGAUUAGAACACCAGAAGUGUGAGCACCUUGCUCGUCAACCUCAUGCCCAAGGAAGGCUGCUACUCGUUCUCUCCAACCAUCUGACCUGCACGGCCCAGUCACUGCAUCACCGCGAAUCGUCAAACCUAACAUCUUCUGACAGUCCUCAAACGUAACUAUUAUCUCUCCGAAAGGCAAGUGAAAGGUAUGAAUCUCAGGCCGCCACCUACAGUUUAGACAAAGGAAGAUUACAUGUCAAAUAGGCUAGGGCAUGAACGAUUGGCUAUGAAUGGACGCAAUGAUUGAAGAUAGUACCUGUCAACCAACGCUGUUAUGGCUGCUGAGUUGAACUUGGGCAACCCAUGACGAACCUGAAAUGAGAUGACAUCUAGGCCAGCAGCUUGCACCAUAGGAGUGUACCGGUCGUCGUACCGCAUGUCCAAGAACCCAUCGUGGGUUCUAGAACCAAGGAGCGGAAGGUCAUGCAUGCAAUGAAACAGAGUCUUCCGUUAUUUCACGAACAACACAUGUACGCUUACAAAAAAUCAAUCAACACGUACAUAUUAUUACUACCCCCCCACCCCCCGCUAUGAGACAUCCUUGAUGGGUCUGGUCGUACACCGGGUCGAGCAAGUGGAGUUGCGCCAUCCUACAAAAAAUCAAUGAAAUAUAAAUUAAGUAUGCAGUGAAACAUAAACUUAGAAAUGUACAAAUAAUUGACACAAUUGCAAGUAUAAAUUGAGACAUGCAUAAUUAAUUGAGUGGAUACGACAUAUAUGAAAUAAUGAAAAGAACCACUAGUCGCACCUCACUACUCUGCCAAUGGCACGUGCAUGAACUGUGGUCCAGUCUACCGCACUUGCUGCACUCGUUCUGCUCGGGGUCAGUAAGAAAUGGGGUUGCCCUACCACGCCUCGCUCUUCCGGGUAUUUGAUCCAUAACCAUCAUGUGCCUCGUCCUCUUUCUUGAUCCACGCCUGUUCCAACGGUAAGCUGGAUCCGCAAUGUACUUUAGCCCAUCAUCAACAUGAGGGACAUGACUAGUAUUCCAACAGAUGCGCUCCUAUUCUUUCUGCACUUCUGCUCCCAUCUCCGUGUCAAAUUGUAUUACGGGUGUAGUUUAGCACUGAACAACAUGAUUUUGUGGUGCUGGGAUUGAAUCAUAGGAGUGCUAUUUGUGUGUCCGGAGCCAACUUUGACUGAUCUGAAUUUUGGUAAAAUUUCAUCCGAAUUUGUUUAAAAUCCAGUUGAAUCCAGGCCCGAAAUUUCCUGAAUUUCCGAAUUUCGUCCAUUUCGGAAGGCUCCGAAUUUUUUCAACUUUUGAAUCCCAGAACCUUGGUUGAGAAGCGGAGAGAUGGGAGACCUAGUUUUCAUCUUCGUUGCCUCGUUGGAGGGGAAUACUGCAUCUGGAGGAAUCGCGCGGAGGACAAGCUCAUGGAAGGCCCCGCUUUCGAUUACAGAGAAAAUCUUCGUUGGUCCGUGGGAUUUGAUUACAGCGAAGGCGAAGCAAACAUGUUUAACCGGUAUCUGAUUACAUGGUACCAGAUACGGAGCGAUUUUUACUGAAACAAACAUCACCUAGAGCUGACUAUUAUAUUCAAAUACUGACAAAAAGUAGAAUACUUCUCAGACAAGCCAGCCAUUACAACAAUAACAACACAACAACUGGAUUACCGGCGUGUCACAAUAACACACAACAAGAAGCUACGUACCACGAAGCAACAGAAACAGCACUCUUGCAAAUUAAGGGAUAAACAACACCCCCAAGGAAAUGGCGAUGAAAUUAAACCAGGCCCCGCCUGCAGAGCUUUGAGCACCUACACAUAUAUAGCAGGUGCAUGCAGCUCUCUAUUACAGAAACAGUAGAUCGAAAACGACGAGCAACCAAGCAUCGAGCAGCAACACUACUUACUUCUUCUCUCAAUGCAAGCAGGAAGAGAAGGCAAGCUAGCGAGCUGAUCAGCAGAGAAGUCGCCGGGAUUCAGAUGACUGCCGCGGUCGGCGUGCAGCGGCGCUCGCAGAAGUUUCCAGCAAAAUGCGGAACUUCAAGCGGGCCGGGGCUCCUAGAUAGCAUGUACAUCUUUGGGCUUGUUCGCUUCAGCUUAUAAGCCGGCUGAAAAGCUGAAACGGCUGAUUUGUUGUAAGAGGAAAACACUGUUUGGUGGCUGAUAAGCCGGCUGAAUAAGCUGAAGCGAACAGGCCGUUUGAUCCAACAGCAGCCCAUGAACAACAAACAGUAGCAGCAGCUAGCGUAUGAGGGUGGUGUGUGGUGGGGCCAAAGGCCAAUCUUGCAAGACAGCAGGAAGGAGCGUAACAUGCAUGCCCGUGUGCAGUACUGCCGUGGGUGUUGAGCACUUUUUUUUCUUGCUCCCGUUGUACUCAUGGAAACAUUUCAAAAGUAUAGAUUCAAUAUUUUGCAUAUUAUUUAAACAUUUCAAACAUUUAUGGAAACCACAUUUUAGAUAAACUGGUUCAAUAUUUUGCAUAAUAUUGUUGAAAUAGUGUACCUUAAACGUUGAGCUAAAUAUAUAAAAAUGUUGAGCUAAUAUAUCUAAAAUGAUGAAACUAAGAAAAUAAAGAUGAAAAAAAUAUAUACAGUCAUGUGGGAUCUCAAUCCGUUAGAAAAAUUUCGAAAAGGCUCAUAGUUUAUUCGGAAUUAAAAUUAAAUGAACCGUUAGAGAGAUAAGUAAGUUGAAAAGUUCGAAAUCAAAACUCACAUCACCCAACAAGUAGCUGACACCUAUCCGUCCUUUCAGCAGCUCCACCCACCUCGCGCCAGCAUACUAGCACAUGGUGGUCCCCAGCCACCUCUCGCCAGAUCGCAGUGCCCGAUGGGAGAUCCGGCGAUGCCGUUGCGUCGAAGGAGAGGGCGGAACCGACGAGGGUCGCCGGCGGCUCCCACCCCGAACGCGUCCUGACCCACUCCGGCAGGGCCUCCCGCAGGUACGGUGAGCGCUUCCAUCCGUGGUCCGCAAGCAGUAAUGUCUGAUUUUUCGCUUUCUUCUCCGGAAUUCGUCACAUAUGUCAUCGUCCUGUGUUUAUAUAUCCUUUUUAUGCUGCAAAGCUUUCACGAUUUUGAUGAGAGAUUUGUUCAUGUUUGUGCCCACAUAGUAGUCAAUGUGCCACUAGUACUGAUUGCAAUACGUACGGAAAUUGGUUUUGUGUCUGUUCUUUCUCCAUCUCAAUCAUCAAUCAAAUGGGGGUAGUCGUCGGUACGCCGGGUGGGCCGAGUUGGCCAAACUGCACAGUGGUGGUGGCAGCCAAGGUGUUGUUCAAGGUCGGGCUGGCACGCACACGGCCGUACCACAUCAGGGUGUGUCCUGCUUCCCCGUCAACUUCCUCAAUACGACUCGGUACGCCACUGUACCUAAUCCUCCAAAACUCCAACUCCAAAGGCUCGCUGAACGGAAAAAAAUUCUAGGAGGACGGUCCCCAAAUCCUUCUCCGUGAGGAUCCACUCCCGAUGGUUGCAGGCAUGGCAACAUAUAAUUGAUCCGCCGCCACCAACGACUGAGGUUUCUUCCACCUCGUCAACUACCACCACCUCCUCCACCCACCUCUCUUCUUCUCCGGCUACCCUGCGCGCGCCCUCGCCGCCGUGCGUGCCUCCAGCGAGCUCCCAGGCCCCGACGGCGCCAGCACUACGGCCGCGCCCCGGUGGCCGGCGGCGUCUCCUACUCCUCUAACGUGGACCUGUUCCGCUCGCCUUCAGCUGCCGUGGGAGCCGCGUAAUGGAGGAGGGUGGUGGGCCAAGCGACAGCUAGCUGUGGUGUGGUGGGCAUCCUCAUUUACUAAUCUCCACCCACCUUCCGAUGAAUAAAAAUUGACCUCUUUAUGCUGCCUUUGUCAUNNNNNNNNNNNNNNNNNNNNNNNNNNNNNNNNNNNNNNNNNNNNNNNNNNNNNNNNNNNNNNNNNNNNNNNNNNNNNNNNNNNNNNNNNNNNNNNNNNNNCAUCUAAGGUUAGCAGCCUCUUUCAGUGUACAAAUGAUUAUGCACCUAAUACUUUCCUCACCUUUGCAGUGCCGUGGGCCGCCACUUCCCUUCUGGCCCACAUGUCAUGGAGGCGCGCGAGGAGGGGGAUCGGUUUCACGUAUGAUUAAUAAAGAAAGGCCCAAGACACGUCACGCUGCGGGGGACAAGGGAAGACACCGCACCGCACGCACCUCCACCACUUGCGUUGCCUUUGCCUUUGCUUUUCCCCUAGCUCGCCCGCCUAGGAGCUCCAGCAGCCGGUCCGCUCCGCCGCCGGUGCGGCAACCACGCCGCCGUCAGAUCGCCUCGCGCGGCCACGCGGCCACCGAUCGUCCCCGCGAUACACCGCCGCCGGUGCGCCGUGCGCGGCGGCGCUGUCCCGCCGCUCCUCCGCCUACCGUCGGCCUGCGCCACCGCCAGCGCACCGGCAGCACCGCGAGCUGCUGCGCCGCCCCGACGUUGGUCCUUCCUGAGCCCGGUGUCGUCACCAGCGUCGCGGAGAAGCUAAUUACCUGGAGCAAUUUGUAGAAACAAAUAGUACUGGUUCGUUCACUUAUUUCUUUGCUCAAACUUAAUUUCUGCUUAGAGUUUGUGCCUAAAUUAGCUGCUUAUUCUGCUGGUUGCACGCAGGAGAUCGAGCUGCGGGCGUACGGCCGGAUCGGAGGAGGACAUAUCAGCCGGGUUCCUGUUGGUUGUGUACUUGUGUUCCUGCCGGCGGAGAAGCAACCAUGGCCGAGUUACUGAUCGGGCCACUGAUCUCCAUGGUGAAGGAGAAGGCAUCCAGCUACCUGCUGGACCAAUACAAGGUGAUGGAAGGCAUGGAGGAGCAGCGCAAGACCCUGGAGCGCAAGCUGCCAGCAAUCCUGCACAUCAUCCAGGAUGCGGAGGAGAAAGGAGCCUCCCGACCUGAAGUUGCAGUUUGGCUUAAAGACCUCAAGACAGCGGCCUAUGAGGCCAACGACGUCUUUGAUGAGUUCAAGUACGAGGCGCUUCGGCGAGAAGCCAAGAAGAAGGGCCACCACAGCAAGCUUGGAAAUGAGGUAGCAAGACUCCUAGUCCCCGCUCGUAAUCCCAUUGUAUUCCGUUACAGGAUGGGCAAGAAGCUACGCAGGAUUGUGCAGACCAUCGAGGCCUUGGUCACCGAGAUGAAUACAUUUGGUUUCAGGCACUUGCAGCAAGCACAGCCAUCAAGGCAGUGGCGACAGACAGAUUCCAUAAUCAUUGACUCCGACAGAGAUAUUCUUAGCAGAUCUAGAGAUCGGGAGAAGAAGAAAAUCGUGGGGAUGCUCCUUGAUCAAGCUAGCAACAGGGAUCUCAUGGUUCUUCCAAUUGUUGGGAUGGGUGGGAUGGGCAAGACCACCUUUGUGUUGGAGUUGUUCUAAAUUCACUCCAGGAAUAAAGGCCGACCUUCCCGACCCUUGACACUCAGGGUCGGGCGAGGCGGAGAAUCUCCCGACCCCGGGACUCGGGGUCGGGCGAGGCGGAGCGUCUCCCGACCCAGGCUUGAGGUCGGGCGAGUCGGAGAUCGACCCUCAAGGGGUCAGGCGCAUCCGACCCCAGGCUUGAGGUCGGGCGAGGCGGAGUCCCAGGCGCAUCCGACUCCAGGACAAAGGACUCAGGGUCAGACGAGAAGGAGUUCCAUCCUUGUACGGGACCAAGAGUCCGUACAGCUCAAUACCCCCUGUCUGGGGUUUCGGUACUAUAUAUACAUACACCCUUGCUAGGGUUUUGGGUGGUGACAGAAGAGAUAGAAGAGAGAGAGAUUAUCAGAUUCUCUUGUAAGCCGCCAUAGGCGUGUAGCCCUAAACUCUUGAUAUAGUGAGAUUGUUGCCGGCUGGUGCCCGUGGUUUUUCCUCUUCACAUUGAAGGGGUUUUCCACGUAAAUCGUGUGUCUUCUUUUGUGGUUUGAUUCUUUACUUCAUAUUCCAUACGUCGUACCUAACAAGUGGUAUCAGAGCUUUGGUUGCUGUUUGGAUUUCAUGUCGACGUCGAUGAAGUUUGAUCUACCGCUGCUGAACUACGACACGCGGUUCUCUCUAUGGCAAGUCAAGAUGAGAGGAAUUCUAGCGCAAACUCAUGAUUAUGAUGAGGCGCUGGAUAGCUUCGGAAAGAAGACAAAGGCCGAGUGGACUCCAGAAGAGAUCCGCAAGGAUCAGAAAGCACUCGCCCUAAUACAGUUACAUCUUCAUAAUGAUAUUUUGCAGGAGUGUCUGAAAGAAAAAACUGCUGCAGAACUAUGGCUGAAACUGGAAUCGAUCUGUAUGUCCAAGGAUCUAACCAGUAAGAUGCAAAUGAAGAUGAAGCUGUUCACCUUGAAGAUGAAGGAGGAAGAUUUAGUGAUGAACCACAUCACUGAAUUCAAGAAGAUCGUCGCCGAUCUAGUAUCAAUGGAGGUGAAGUAUGAUGAUGAGGACUUAGGUCUUUUACUGUUAUGUUCUUUGCCAACUUCAUAUGCAAAUUUUCGUGACACCAUACUCUUGAGCCGUGAUGAACUAACCUUAAAGGAAGUUUAUGAGGCUCUCCAAUCAAGGGAGAAGAUGAAAGGUAUGGUGCAGACUGACAGAACGUCGUCCUCCAGAGGCGAUGCUUUGCUUGUGAGAGGCAGAACUGAUAACAGAUCCUCCAAUGAUGAUGGAAGAAAAAACUAUGAAAGGAGAGGCCGUUCAAAGUCCAAGCCGCAUGGUAACAAAAAAUUCUGUGUCUAUUGCAAGCUAACAAAUCACAAUGUUGAGGAUUGCAGAAAAGUACAGAAUAAGGAGAAGAAGAAAAACAAGUCGGCUGGUAAGGUCUCUGUUGCUGCUGCCGUGUCUGAUGAAGAAUCUGGAGAUGGUCUGGUGGUAUUUGCCGGUUGUGUUGCUGGUCAUGAUGAGUGGAUCCUUGAUUCUGCAUGUUCAUUUCAUAUUUGCAUUAACAGAAAUUGGUUUAGCUCUUAUAAGUCUAUGCCGAAAGGAGAUGUUGUGCGGAUGGGAGAUAAUACCCCGUGUGAUAUUAUGGGAAUUGGAUCAGUUCAGAUCAAGACUCAUGAUGGCAUGACACGCACUCUGAAAAACGUCAGGUACAUACCAGGGAUGUCCAGAAAUCUUAUUUCAUUGAGCACGCUUGAUGCAAAAGGUUACAAAUAUUCCGGUUCGGAUGGUGUUCUGAAGGUAUCAAGAGGUAAUCUUGUCUGCUUGAAAGGUGAUCUCAAUUCUGCAAACUUAUAUGUCCUUAGAGGGUGUACUUUACCUGGUUCUGAUUCCGCUGUUGCUGCUGUUACUAAUGAGGAACCUAGUAAAACUAACCUUUGGCAUAUGCGUCUGGGACAUAUGAGUCACCAUGGUAUGGCAGAAUUGAUGAGGAGAAACCUACUGGAUGGCUGCACUUCGAGUAAAAUGAAGUUAUGUGAGCACUGUAUUUUCGGGAAGCAUAAAAGGGUACAUUUCAACACUUCUGUUCACACCACUAAAGGUACUCUUGAUUAUAUUCAUGCUGAUUUAUGGGGUCCUUCCCGUAAGUCCUCGCUUGGUGGUGCUCGUUACAUGCUCACAAUUAUUGACGAUUACUCUAGAAGGGUGUGGCCUUAUUUUCUGAAACAGAAAGAUGAUACCUUUGCUGCUUUUAAGGACUGGAAGGUCAUGAUUGAAAGGCAAACUGAAAGGAAGGUGAAAUUGCUUCGUACUGAUAAUGGUGGAGAAUUUUGUUCGCGUGAAUUUAAUGAUUAUUGCAGAUCAGAAGGUAUUGUAAGGCAUCACACCAUACCCUAUACUCCACAACAGAAUGGUGUGGCCGAACGCAUGAACAGAUCCAUCAUAUCCAAGGCCCGUUGCAUGCUGUCUAAUGCCAGGAUGAGCAAGCGUUUUUGGGCUGAAGCUGCUAAUACUGCCUGUUACUUGAUAAACAGGUCACCUUCUAUUCCACUAAAUAAAAGAACUCCCAUUGAGGUAUGGUCUGGAACGCCUGCUGAUUACUCACAGUUGAAAGUUUUUGGAUGCACUGCAUAUGCUCAUGUUGAUAAUGGAAAAUUAGAGCCUAGAGCUGUUAAAUGUCUUUUCCUUGGUUAUGGUUCGGGUGUCAAAGGCUAUAAAUUGUGGAACCCGGAAACAGAAAAGACCUUCAUGAGCAGAAGUGUUAUUUUCAAUGAAUCUGUGAUGUUUACUGACAGCUUACCCUCAGAUCAAGUUCCAGACAAAGGACUGCAGCGUAUGCGCAUGCAGGUGGAGAACGCUCGUAAUGAUGUUGAUAACCCCGACCCCUUGGUCUCGGGGUCGGAUGCGCCAGACCCCUUGGCUCCAGGGUCGGCUGAUGCUCAAGCGCCAGACCCCUUGGCUCCGGGGUCGGAUGUUGCUGCGCCAGACCCCUUGGCUCCGGGGACGGAUGUUGCUGAUGCGCCAGACCCCUCAAUCUCGGGGUCGGCUGAUGCUCAUGAUAAUGUCCAGCAAACUCCAGAGGAGGAUCUACCCAUUGCUCAACGCAAGUCCAAAAGGACAGUUGCCCCUCCUAACCGCCUCAUUGAAGAGUGUAAUUUGUCUUACCAUGCUUUGAGUUGUGCUGAACAGGUGGAGAAUGUUCAUGAGCCAGCAACCUAUAAAGAAGCUAUUCAUUGUGGCGAUACUGAAAAUUGGAUUUCGGCCAUGCAUGAGGAGAUGCAAUCUCUUGAGAAGAACAGUACAUGGGAACUUGUACCUUUGCCUAAGAAUAAGAAGGCCAUCCGCUGCAAAUGGAUCUUCAAAAGAAAGGAGGGUUUAUCUCCAAGAGAGCCUCCGAAAUAUAAGGCAAGGUUAGUUGCAAAAGGCUACAGCCAAAUUCCGGGUGUCGACUACAAUGAUGUUUUCUCUCCAGUGGUAAAACACAGUUCAAUUCGCACUUUCCUUAGUGUUGUUGCUUCACAUGAUCUUGAGCUUGAGCAGUUAGAUGUGAAGACUGCGUUUUUGCAUGGAGAGCUCGAGGAGGACAUAUACAUGAACCAACCAGAAGGUUUCAUAGUGCCUGGCAAGGAGAAAUAUGUGUGCAAGUUGAAAAGAUCCUUGUAUGGUUUGAAACAGUCCCCUCGACAGUGGAACAAGAGGUUUGAUUCAUUUAUGUUAUCACACAGUUUUAAAAGAUCUAAGUAUGAUAGCUGUGUUUAUAUCAAGCAUGUUAAUGGAUCACCUAUAUACUUGCUGAUAUACGUUGAUGAUAUGUUGAUUGCUGCCAAGAGUAAGACUGAAAUAAAUAAGUUAAAGAAGCUAUUGAGUAGCGGUUUUGAUAUGAAAGAUCUUGGUAGUGCUAAGAAAAUUCUUGGUAUGGAAAUUAGUAGAGACCGAAAUUCUGGUUUGCUAUUUCUUAGUCAACAGAAUUAUAUCAAGAAAGUUCUUCAGCGUUUCAACAUGCAAGAUGCUAAGGCUGUAAGUACUCCUAUUGCACCUCACUUCAAGUUGUCAGCUGCUCAGUGUCCUAGUACAGAUGCAGAGGUCAAAUACAUGUCAAAGAUUCCUUAUUCUAGUGCUGUUGGGUCCUUGAUGUAUGCCAUGGUUUGCUCUCGCCCAGAUUUGUCAUAUGCUAUGAGUCUUGUUAGUAGAUAUAUGUCUAAUCCCAGCAAAGAACAUUGGAGGGCAGUUCAGUGGAUUUUCAGAUACCUCAAAGGCACAGCAAAUUCCUGUUUAAAGUUUGGAAGAACUGAUGAGGGUCUUAUUGGCUAUGUGGACUCAGAUUAUGCUGCUGAUCUGGACAGGCGAAGAUCACUCACAGGCUAUGUGUUUACUGUUGGCAGUUGUGCUGUGAGUUGGAAGGCUACUUUACAGUCGGUUGUUGCUUUGUCUACUACUGAAGCAGAAUAUAUGGCGAUUUGUGAAGCGUGCAAAGAAUUGAUUUGGCUGAAAGGUUUGUACGCCGAACUUUGUGGAAUUGAAUCUUGCAUAAGUUUGCACUGUGACAGUCAAAGUGCAAUUUACCUCACUAAAGAUCAACUGUUCCAUGAGAGAACUAAGCACAUUGAUAUCAAGUAUCAUUUUGUGCGUGAUGUGAUUGAAGAAGGUAAGCUAAAGGUAUGCAAGAUCAGUACUCAUGAUAAUCCUGCCGAUAUGAUGACAAAGCCUGUUCCUGUUACUAAGUUUGAGCUGUGCUCAGGCUUAGUUGGUUUAAUUGGAUAGUCCAAGAGACUAUUAUUGGCACCAGUGGUUUUUCCUGUCUUUGUUCUGUUCAGAAUGAAGGGUUGAUGAUACAAGAUGAAUUUGUCUCAAGGUGGAGUUUGUUGGAGUUGUUCCAAAUUCACUCCAGGAAUAAAGGCCGACCUUCCCGACCCUUGACACUCAGGGUCGGGCGAGGCGGAGAAUCUCCCGACCCCGGGACUCGGGGUCGGGCGAGGCGGAGCGUCUCCCGACCCCAGGCUUGAGGUCGGGCGAGUCGGAGAUCGACCCUCAAGGGGUCAGGCGCAUCCGACCCCAGGCUUGAGGUCGGGCGAGGCGGAGUCCCAGGCGCAUCCGACUCCAGGACGAAGGACUCAGGGUCAGACGAGAAGGAGUUCCAUCCUUGUACGGGACCAAGAGUCCGUACAGCUCAAUACCCCCUGUCUGGGGUUUCGGUACUAUAUAUACAUACACCCUUGCUAGGGUUUUGGGUGGUGACAGAAGAGAUAGAAGAGAGAGAGAUUAUCAGAUUCUCUUGUAAGCCGCCAUAGGCGUGUAGCCCUAAACUCUUGAUAUAGUGAGAUUGUUGCCGGCUGGUGCCCGUGGUUUUUCCUCUUCACAUUGAAGGGGUUUUCCACGUAAAUCGUGUGUCUUCUUUUGUGGUUUGAUUCUUUACUUCAUAUUCCAUACGUCGUACCUAACACUUUGUGCAACUCAUUUACAAUGACCCUGCAAUCGAGAAGCACUUUGAGUUUCGGAGGUGGUGCUGCGUGUCAGAUGAUUUCGAUGUCAGUACCAUUGCAAGCAACAUCUGCCAGACCAAUGAGAAAUAUCGUGAAAAAUCAUUGCAGGAGCUCCAGAGUACAAUAAGUGGGAAAAGGUACCUCAUUGUGUUAGAUGAUGUCUGGAAUCGGGAUGGUGAUAAGUGGGGAAAACUAAAGGCCUGCCUUAAGCAGGGUGGCAAGGGCAGUGCAGUACUAACAACAACUCGUGAUGCAGAAGUGGCUCGCAUUAUGACCAUGGGUGUAGCUGAAGCCCAUAAUAUCGAGAAUCUGAGUGACGAGCAUUUAAAGGAAAUUGUCCAGAGCAGAGCAUUCAGCUUGCAAAAUCCAAAUAUGGAAGAGCAAGAUGGCAUUCUCAGUGGAUUUGUUCGUCGAUGCGUUGGAUCUCCCUUGGCUGCCAAAGCCUUUGGCUCUAUGUUGAGUAACAGGACUAGUGUAAAUGAAUGGAAGGAUGUAUUAGCUAAAAGUGACAUUUGUAGUGAGAAAACCGGAAUUUUACCGAUCCUCAAGCUCAGUUUUGAUGACCUAUCCUCAGAUAUGAAGCAGUGCUUUGCAUUUUGUGCUUUAUUUCCUAAAGAUUAUGAGAUUGAUGUGGACCUCUUGAUUCGACUGUGGAUGGCACAUGACUUCAUACCUGUGCAGGAGGAUGACAAUCUAGAAACCGUAGGAAAAUAUAUUUUUGAGGAGCUAACUCGGAGGUCAUUCUUUCAAGAGGUCAGGCAAACACUUCAAUUUGGCUAUUUUGGAAGGUCGUCACUUCGUAAGUCAACCAUAUGCAAGAUACAUGAUCUCAUGCAUGACAUUGCUCUAUCUGUUCUGGGGAAAGAAUGUGUCACUAUAGUUGGUAAGCCGAGCAUCAACAAGGUGUUGCUAAAUCCGACCCGCCACGUCUUCUUAUCAACAAGGUGUUCUCAUUUCUGGAAAGAACAGGUUACAAGUCUACUAGAUCAUCUAUUGAAGAAACAAACUGCAAUGCUCCAUACGUUGUUUAUCAAAGGUUAUGGUCAACCCCUUGAUAUAUCAAAGUACACUUCACUGCGAGCAUUACACCUUCCAGCAUAUAUAUAUAUACCAUGUUCAGGACAGGAACAGCUUACAAGACACAUACAACACCUAAGGUAUCUUAAUCUGUCGUCACAUGAGUUCGAGAAACUUCCUGAAGGUAUAAGCAUUAUGUAUAAUCUACAAACGUUGGACCUCUCAUAUUGCAAAUGCCUUCGUCAACUUCCAAAGGAUAUGAAGUAUAUGGCAAACCUCCGACACCUCUAUACCCAUGGAUGCGAAUCAUUGACAUGCAUGCCUCCAGGACUUGGACAGAUCACUUCUCUGCAGAAUCUAACAUGUUUUGUUAUUGGUGAUGGCUUGGGAUGUAGUACUAUAGGAGAACUUCAAAACUUAAACCUUGGUGGAGAGUUAGAGUUAAGUGGUCUGCAAAAUGUAACAGAAGUGCUUGCAAAAGCUGCCAGUCUUGAAAAUAAAGAGAAACUCACACACUUAUGUCUCAAAUGGAAUGAUGAUGCCCGUGAGAAACCAGAUUCUCAUAAUGAGGUGUUAGAUGCCCUUAAACCUCAUCAUCGGCUGGAGAUGCUAGGCAUAAAGUCCUACAAAGGCACCAAUUUACCGUCAUGGAUAACAGAUCUUAGUCUGUUGCAGCACUUGACUGAGCUCCAACUGGUUGGUUGCACGCUGUGCGAGGAAUUUCCUCAAUUCUGCCAUUUCAAAACCCUUGAAGUUCUGUAUUUGAAAAAGUUGGACAAAUUGUAAAGCCUAUGCAGUCAUAUGGUGUCUACGCCAUUUCCAGCACUGAAGCAACUCCGGUUACAUGAUUUGGAGAGCUUGGAGAGAUGGGUCGCAACAGAAGGAAAAGAAGAUGAAUUAACCUUUCCUGUACUUGAGGAGGUUGAUAUAAAAAACUGUCCAAAGUUGACUAGCCUACCUGAAGCACCAAAGCUCAGGGUUGUAAGUCUGGAUGAAGGCAAGCCGCUGCUCUCCUUAGGAAUAGUUAAAUCAAGGCACAUGUCUUCAAUUUCUAAGCUAAUCCUGUGUGUCCGUGACACAGAAGCACUGCCUCAGAUAGAUUAUAAUUGGGAUUCAUCACAGAAACUGGAACUAUCCUUGGGUGGCACAGAAGCCGCACCUCUGUCACAUCUGAACAUAUCUGGCUGCAACUUUUUCUUCGUAUCAAGCCAGUCACAGCUAACACCUGGGGUCUGGAAAUGGUUUGAACAUCUUGCAGUUUUAGCAAUCAAAAACUGUGAUGUGCUCAUCUACUGGCCAGAAGAAGUGUUCCAAAGCUUGGUAUCUUUGAAGGAGUUGUGGAUUGAGUCCUGCAACAAGCUAAUAGGGCCCACACAAGCGAAAGGUGGCGAACCUACACAAACGACAGAUCAACUCCUGCCACAUCUAAACAGGAUAUGUAUACGCAGUUGUGAAAGCAUGGCACAGCUCUUCAUUCUUCCCCCAUCUAUCAGAAUUAUUGAUAUUAUGGAUUGCCCUAAGCUUGAGUUCAUAUGGGGAAAGGAGGAGCAUCUUGACACAUAUACAUCGUUGGAACAUUGCCGCGACCCUGCAUCCACUACUGGUACCCUAGAGCAAUCGCCGUUUCCAAUUAUUCGUCGUCCAUGCCUUGUACGUUUAUCAAUAAGAUUGUGUGAUAGCCUGGUAACACUUCCAAAUCUACCACCGUCCCUCAAGGAUUUAAGCAUCUACAGCUGUGAGAAGCUCUGCUCUGUGUCAGGAGACCUGUGUGCACUCGAGGAGCUACAUAUUUAUAACUGCAAUAAGUUACAGUCAGUCAAUUCCUUGGGAGACCACCCAUCAUUAGAAACACUGAUUCUUUAUGACUGCCGAUGCCUUGCAUCUUUAGGAUGUGAUGGUGGUCGUGGAAGUUACUCUGCUCUUCAGAGCCAUAAGAUCGAAGAGUGCCCAGCCAUAGACAUGAAGCAGUUUUACUAACGCCAUCAAACAGCUGCUUGACAGCUUUGAAUAUGAAGACGUAUCACACGUUCAUUCAAGCAGCUCUGAUGAAGGUACGACCUUUCACUUUCCUCUUAUUCAAUUUGUUUCCUUCAAAUUUCCCUGCUUUGCAUGCCCUCCUAUUUCACUCAUGUAACCCCACAUGCAUUUCAUUUUUGCUGUGCAGACAUGACCCAUUUGUCCUUAAAAAGCAUAAAGGAGGGCACUCACAUGUACACACGACUGCCAUCUGGAAGCUUCAUUAUUGCGAGCCUCUGCUAACGAUGACAGGCCUGCAAUGGACGACAAAAACGACAAAGUUUGUUUUCACGGCACUACCAGCUAGCUGCUGGUAAUGCUCUUGUCACUAAUGUACAGUACUCCAUUCUGUCAUCCAUGAAAGUCGUGGAGAAUGGUCUAUGAUGUUACUCCAUUCUGUCAUCCACGUGAGCCGAUGAAGCAGAAACAAAUGAUGAUGAUGAUGGAUGAUAUAGCUGCCGGGACCCACUGCAACCUCGUGCAUCAAUCAUGACGAUCUCUAACGGCAAAGGCAUGCAUCCAGUAUGGCCUGAUGAAGUAAUUUAGUCUGCCAAAUUUCUUUCUGCUCGUUGCGCAUAGAAGGCGUAUUUUCUUUUCCUUUUUUCCACCCGAGAAGGAAGAAGAAGAAGAAACUGCUGUGGCCAAUUCAAUCCGGAUCAUCAAAACAACAGCCCAUUCCAGACUAGAAGAAUUUGGUCACCAAAUUCGGAUGGAGGUAAAAAGUCACUAGUUACCUGCAGCACCGAAUAGUACUGGUUCGUUCAUUUACUGUUUCCAAAAACUUUCUGCUGAGAGUUUGUGCAUUGUGGUGACACUAAAUAUGCGCGUGCGCGGUUCGUAGGAUUCGAACCCACAACCUCCAACCUCGCGCGUAGCUUUCUUGCCAUCCCACCUACACACCACAUCUAAGUAUGUAGGGGAUCCUAUCCUUUUGUAUUAACUCGUGGGGGACCCUUUUAUCCCGGUUGGAAACACCAACCGCGAUAAAAGACCCCCUUUUAUCCCGGUUGGUAUUACAAACCGGGAUAAAAGGGUUCGAGGAUUUAAUCCUCUUCCAGCCACCUUCCAGUCACCUCGUUGGGGACCCUUUUAUCCCGGUUUGAAACACCAACCGGGUCAAGAGCCUUUUAUCCCGGUUGGUGUUUCAAACCGGGAUAAAAGGCCCCUCAGAGUCUUUUUUCCCACUAGCCUUUGCAACCGGGAUAAAAGGUCCCGGUUGGUGAGCCCCCCACCAGUGACCGAGUUUUAAUCCCGGUUGGUGAACCUUUGUCCCGAGCCAACUUUAAACCGGGAUAAAAGAGGGCGCAUGGAAAGUUAAUUCUCUACUCGUGUUUGCGGGACACAAUCAUUUCAAGCAGGAGACGGUGGUUCAUCUGGAUGGACACCGGCCUCCGAUCAACAAUUUCCCCAGUUUCCCGUGUAGGCAAGGGGGAAGAUGGCAGGUCGCCAAGAAAUAGCAGCAGAUAUGUCCCUUGUCAAAACUUCAAGCCAGUAGUCUGUAAAAUAGAAAGAGAGAUUUGUUCCACUUAGGCUGCUACGCCUACAACAAUAAUGACUGUGGGGAGCUAGGAAAUAGCAUCAUGCUGAUAAGCCCAACAUCAUUGGAAUACAGUAACAGCGUACUGAAAACAAAAGAGGCUACAUCAUGGGCCAACUGAAAUUGUGUUAUCCAUAACAUUUUUUUUUAGAAAAUCCUCAGCCAUCAACACACGCAACCAAAUUAUUACAGAAUCUUAAGCUCAGUUGCUGAUUAAAAAAAUAAAAAGAGAAAAUAAUUAUAAGCAAUGUUUAAUGUUGCUUAUCCAUCCAUUUUUAAUAGAAACUUUCCAAAGCUUUCGUUGCUCUACUAUCGAACGGACGGUCUCCCUUAUGUCUUCACACCACGUUAAUAAAUCGCAAUUAAUAUGUUCUCCCGAAGGUAACCUUCAAAGCGAUGAAUGUAGAUCACCCACGAGCAACCGAGCACGCACAAGGGAUGCUGAAACACCACAUGGAUCUCCAUGACAACACCUUCAACAAGAACAUGACGCUAAUGACACCAUUGUCAUUGGCCCAAGUAUUGGGUUGGGUUUACACCCGGAGAAUUAAAAAAUCACCAUUCGGGGGAGGUGCAAACAAAGUCGCCUCCAAGGAGGCAACGGCACCCGCAAGCGUCACCAUCCACACUUUCAUCCCGACCUCCACCAUGCCAUGCCGGCAGCAGCCUGAGCAGAAAUCCACUCACCAAGCUGUUGAUGGUGCUGAGCAAGUUCGCAAGUGCCAGCCAUCAUUAUUGAGAGCCAGCUGCUGCCGCCGCAAACUCAUGCCCAUUGCGCUAGGGCUAGGGCGCCGGCCAUAGCAAGGCCUAGAUGCACGUGUUGCGUCAUGGCUGGCACCACACUAAGCCCACCAUGUCACCAGACUGUCACAGCCGGAAGGGCGCCGGUCGUCAGAUCCGACCCCCAGCGCAUGGAAUCCACCGCCUAGAAGCUAAUAUCUCUAGAGUGAAAAUCAACACUUCAGAAGAUCCCUGAGGGAGGGGGAACGUGAAGGAGAGGCUCCCCGAGUGCCGUCAGCAUCACCGGAGAACCCAAGCAGCCACAUAUCCAGGGGUCUCCGAGGGACCCGUCGUCGGAUCCGGUCACGCCAAGGGGAAGCACCAUCACGUUCAAAGGUUUCACCUCUAUGUGUAACGCUGCACUGUCCGACUGCCCGAGUACCUCCAGCAUUGGAUGGAGUGAUGGCAAUCUUAUUAGGGGGAAAAGAAACUACACACACCAAUGACAUAUGGUAACAGCUUACAAUGAUGGUAGUGGAUAAAAGAAAUGGGAGCACCAGAAACAAAAUCUAGAGUCUCAACAGUCAAAAUCAAAUUAACAAGAUCAAACAAUAAAAGUUAUGAGUACCACAAGAGCUUACACUGUCCGACUGUCCGAGUACCUCCAGCGUUGGUUGCAGAGCACCAGGGGGGGGGGGGGAUCAUUUCCAAAGUGGAUGCAUCAGUGGAGAUCUCUCAAUGUUUGUCACAUAAGCAGUGUGGUGCCCUCCAGGUGCCCAGGUUGGUGUGUUAAACUGCCUCCGAUCCACAGCCAUCUUAGAACACUGCAUUCCAAGUUUCCAACACUUUUCAUGGUCUCAACUCUACUUUUACAUUCUCUCAGGGGGUGUUUGGGAACACCGUGCUAAACUUUAGCACCUGUCACAUCGGAUGUUUGGAUACUAAUUAGGAGUAUUAAAUAUAGUCUAAUUACAAAACUAAUUGCACAGAUGGAGUCUAAUUCACGAGACGAAUCUAUUAAGCCUAAUUAGUCCAUGAUUUGACAAUGUGGUGUUACAGUAACCAUUUGCUAAUGAUGGAUUAAUUAGCCUCAAUAGAUUCGUCUCGCGAAUUAGACUCCAUCUGUGCAAUUAGUUUUGUAAUUAGCUCAUGUUUAGUCCUUCUAAUUAGCAUCCGAAUAUCCGAUGUGACCCUGCUAAAGUUUAGCACCUCGUAUCCAAACACUCCAAUGUGCUUUAUCUUGCUCCAAUCAUCUCCUGACUCGCUGCAUCUUUGCUUAAACCUCUUUGUGCAUUGUGACAGUGUCAAGGUAUGCAAAGAGGUCAGCCUCUCAAUGCACGGAGGCAAAGUUUUCAUCCAGUAGGCCUCUACUUUGAGCUCACGGAGAGAUGCCAUAUCUCCCAACCAUUCUGGCAAGGUUUCCAUGUCCUCACAGUUCAGUAUCUCUAGCUUCCUGAGGGAUUUCCAGCCUAGAAUGCACUUUGGCAAAGGUACAGGAUCGAUGCAACUGUCAACAGUUAAUUCUUCAAUGUCAAGCAGUUGAAGAGAAUCAGAGUCAGAAGAUAUAUUUUUGAUGUACUUGAUUUCCAUUUUGGAUGAUAAAGCAGAUGUUGAUAGCCCCAUGAUCGACUUGGUAGAAUGAUGGCCAAUUGAAUAAGAACGGAUAUUGUUUAAUUCCAGAUAUGAUAUACCUGGCACUCCAAGGGAUUGAUGGUUCGAAUCUUACAUUCAAACAACAGUCUAUCUCCACAGUAACUUCCCUACUCUUACUAUUGUAACUCUUCUGAGAUUUUUCACUGGCUGUGUGAUCAAGAUGCAUAUCGAUGAUUUGGCAUAUAGGUUCACUAUAACUUCACCAUCCCCCACAAGCAGAGACACCGGGACAGACGAGAUAUACAAGUCUUCAAGAGAUUGUAAAUAAUCUAAAUGGAGGUCACCAGAUUGAACAUUGAAAAGCUCCAAUCGUACAAGAUUUGGUAGCCAACGUAACCAGUUAGGAAAAUCACCACCAACAUAGUUCUUUAUGCAAAGCCUUUUAAGGUUUUCACGAGGCUGGAGCUCUUCUAACGCGACCUUGUUCAACACUGGCCCACUCCACUCCAAACUUAAAAAUUGGAGCUCCUCUUUUUGCGCCAAUUCAAUUAUGUUUGCGUCUGAGCUUGAUAGAUCUUCGAGAUGUUUAAUAUUAAGUUCAGUAAGCUGGUGACUUGUAGUCUUUUGUAGAAGAGCCAUGUCCUUUGAUGAACUGACGGCGAAACUAGGGCCCUGCUAUUUUACAAAAACAAAGAAAAUGAAAAAUAAAACAUUCUGCUUUAGUCAAGAUGGCAUGCAUACUAUAUAAAACCAUCUCUAGGUGCAAACAUGCAGCUUAGAGCAUCUCCAAUAGUCAUCUAAUUAAUGUUUCUAGAUAACUAGUUAAUAGGGAUAUCCCGAGUUGCUUUUACAGUCUUCUAUAACCUCAUCCCAAUCUAACUACCGUUGUUGGGAGAGUCACAGCUCCUCAUUUAUUUGGGGAGUUGGGGUGAAUUAUUUGUCGAAUAAUUAUUGUAAAAAAGGAAAGGUAAAGGGAGUGUGUUAGAGCACUAUUUUUUCACAAACUCUCCAAAUAUGGUAGUUGUAUUGGAGCACUGAAUAGUACUGGUUCGUUCAUUUACUGUUUCCUCAAACUUUCUGCUGAGAGUUCGUGCAUUGUGGUGACACUAAAUUAGCUGCUUAAUCUGCUGCAGGACAUCAAGCAGUGGGCGUAUGGCGCACCUAUCAGCUGGGUUCCUGUUGGUCAUCUUAAUUCUUGCUUGUGGUAGAGCAAACCAUGGCCGACUUAGUGAUCAGGCCCAGGGCCGGCUCUAGGGGAGCGGCAGGCCGUGCGACCGUCCGGGGCCCAUGAAGCUGCGGGCCCAAAACCAUAUAGGUAAUCAAUACAUAUAAUUUGGUUGGUGGACUUUGUUUCGGCCUUUCUAAAUGGCCCGCGUAACAACUGCGGCCUGCCUCCGUCCGUGCCAAAUCAGGCCUACCAAAUUGCUCCAUGACUAUGCUGUCCCUGAUUCUGUAUACAUAUACGCUCCUGACUCCGUGGUUGUGCUGUCGCUGAGCACCGCGUCUGGAGCGCGUCAGAGGAUAUAGGCGAGCCGCGAGCACCGUUAGGGUCAGAGGCGAGUGCUUAUUUGAAGUUCAAUCUUUGUUUUCUUUUUCGCCAAUUUCGUCAAAAAGCAAUCAUUUAAUUAAUAUUAUUUCUUUCGUGUAGUAAUUCCAUUCUUCAUCAAUUGCGUAGAAGGAGCAAUGCCUUACGACAUUGAAGGAGAAUCUUGGUAAUUCUAUCGUCAAUUGCAUAUCAGAUUCUCUUAACUAUUCCAAUGACAGUAGUAUCAGCCGAAAGUAGUUUCUCCAUUUUGAAACUAUUGAAAAAUUAUUUGAGAUCAACUAUGUCACAAGAAAGAUUGAAUGGCUUGGCUAUGUGCAAUAUUAAGAAGGAUGUUUUGGACGACAUUAAUCUUGAUACUGUUCAUGAAGACUUUGCAUCAAGAAAUAUAUCCGAAGAUGUUUUUCUACAAAGCACUAAAGCAUUAUAUUUUUAUUUGAGAUAAUCAUAAUGGUUAUUGUUUUUAGUUUUUUUGUUACACUAUUAUUAUGUUUUAUGAGAGAUAUAUAUUGCAAAAAUGAUGCGUAGCUCUCCUGAAUAUAUAUAUAUAUAUAUUGCAAAAUAAUUUUUAUUAUUCGUAUUAUAUACUUUAGUUUUGAUAUUAAAAAUAGUUCAACGGGUCCUUAUGUUUGCCCAAGGGUCUUCAAAAUUAUAGAGCCAGCCGUGAUCAGGCCAUUCAUCUUCAUGGUGGAGAAGGUGAUCGAAGGCAUGGAGCGCAAGCUGCCAUCAAUCCUGCAUGCACAUUAACAAGGAUGCGGAGGAAAGAAGAGCCUCCCGACCUGAAGCAGCAGCUUGGCUCAAAGACCUCAAGACAGUUGCCUAUGCGGUGCUGGCCGGUGGCGCGAUCCAACGCUCUUGGGCAGCGGUAGCGAUGGCUUCCUGUUCCGCGGGCAGCCACAGCAGCGGCGACGGCGCGCUCAGCGGCCUCAACCCGUGCGCGGGCCCACUAGGAUUAAAACAAUCUAACACAUCCCAAUCUUAAGGAAGUGCACCAGUAGGUUCUUUUGUAUCACUUUUGGAUAGUCAUCGAAUUGCCGAACCUUUGAGCAGCGGAUCGACCCCCGCAUGCACUCAUGUCACACCCGAUUUUAAGGACAAAAUCGAGUGCAUUAAAUACAUGUGUGCCAGGAUCAAGUUACACACAUGUACGAUAAUAGUGAAUAACAAAGAUAGUGCUAAAACGAAUAAAGAGAGUAUUAAACAUUAUUACAUGACCGAAAGUCUCAAUAAACCAUAAGCCUAAUUUAUUAUGCAGCGGAACUCCAAGGACGACGACGACUCCACAGGCAGCUGACUGAAGAAACGUACGCCUAGAACUCCUCAAAGUCGUGUAGGUACUCCUCCCAAUUAGCUUAGUCUGAACAACGGUUUUGCAAGGGUGAGUACUGUAACAACUCUACCUAAAUUAAGUACUUUUAACUCUAAACCAGUGAUAAAUCCCUAAGUUAAGAAGUGAAAUGACCUUUAUAAACCUAAGAAGCUCGUUUUGGAGUUUGAAUUAAAGCUUGAAAUUUUGUAUACAAACCUGAGUUUCUGCCCAAGUAAGAGUUGUAAAACUUUUUAAUUCCAACAACUUUUGUUAAAGUCACUUUGACUAAUUCGGAGUGGAAGGAAGUCAAAAACAUCAACCAAAGCCAGUUUUUCUAAAGGACCCUGAAAAUCUCUUAAGUCCUGAAAUUCGAGUUUUCCUCCAUCUUGCAAGCUUUCAUCUCCUGUUUUCCCUAUCUAAACUCAAGUCAGGGCCUGAAUGAAAGUUGUAGUACCUCAAGAUUGUUCCAACUUUGUUACACUGAUCCAGAUCCAAAUCGGGCCCGAACUUGUUCAAAACUCCGGUCAAAGGGAGGUAAACCAGUCAACUCACCCCUGGUGCCUUAAAAAUCCUAAGUCUGGAAUCCCAGAUUUUUGGCUAACUUUGACCGGAAAUAUCUUUGAAUCCUUUCACAAUCUAAACCAGCACCUUAAACAAAGUUUGAAGAACAAUCAGAGUUGAGCAAGUUUGUUUAAGGGAGUUUUGGAAGUUGUGUUGAAAGAUUCGGAGGAAGGAUCACUCCAAAGCUGGUCGGGCUUGUUGCCCGAAGGGAGCCUCGACGCCCGCGCGCCAGAGCACGUUCACUCGCGCGCCGCGUGCCGCGUGGCCGCCGGCCACCGGCAGCUCGCCGGCACCCUAUCCCCAGCACGACAGCGAUAGGACGAGAGCCACGGCGCCCAACCCGCGCCCGCGACAGGACGGAGCGAGCGCAGGGCUAGCCAACCGCCAGCCGCGCGCAGGUCGCCUUCCGCCUGCCACGGCUCUGCUCCGCCAACCCUGUUCCGCCCGUCCGCUGAGAAAGCUGACACGCCCCCGACGUCCCGCGCCUCCGCCCGUUCGCCCAACCCCCACGGUAGCCCUUCCGUCUCGCCCGCCCGACAGACCGGAAGCCCUAGAUGUGCGCCGCCCAAGGCCAAUCGCCGCCGAAGACCACCCGGAGCUCCGCCUCCUCUGCCCAAUGGCGUUGUCGGCCAAUGGCCGCCUCGCCUGAGCACUCGCCGCUCCCGGCCUUAUCCUUUCCCCACCGGAGCCCCGCCUCGACCCUCCGCCCCACCACGACCCUAUAAAAGAGAACCCCCUCACCGGCAAUGCCACCCCUUGCCACCGCCUGCACCUGCGCCACCGCUUUCUCCUCUGCGCCCCCGCUUUCUCCUCUGCGCUACCGCUGAGCUUCCGUGGAGCUCACCCCUUUGCGCCACCCCACACUCCGGCGAUUUCGCCGCCACCCUCUUGAGAAAGUUCCCCUCUCCGCUCCAGCCGCUUCUUCCAACCCACCAGCCGCCCGCUCCUCCGCGUGGUACUCGAGCUUGCUAGUGUCCGCAAGAAGCACCGCCGCCGCCGGAGCACCGUCGAAGCAACGCCGCCGCCGGACCACCGUCGAAGUCUCGCUGCUGCCCAAGCCUUAGCGCGUACAACUUCCCGCCCCAGCCUACUCCUGUUCGGCCCCAAGGCUUCACCGGUAGACCUGGAGGUAAGUGACCGACCCCUUGUGUUCCGUCUCGACCGACCCCUUGUGUUCAGCCUCAACCGACCCCUUUUCUUUCCGUCUCGCCCGACCCCUGUCCUUUUUGUUUCGCCCGACCCCUGUCCUUUUUCGUUUCUCCCGACCCCUUUGUUUCGGUUCGCCCGACCCCUUUUCUUUUCCUCUCGCCUGACCUUUUUCCCGUUCGCCUCGCCCGACCCUGCCAAGUUUCGCCGACCCUUUCUCCGUCUCGCCCGAGGGCUCGGCUGUAACUUUUUCUUUGACCCGAGGGUAUCGGUGAAAUAUUUUCGGGGAUUCCUCUGUGUUGAGUCUGAGGACCUCGGUACGGUUUUCCUUAAACCUGAGGGUCAGACCCUAAGUUUCCCCUAAUCCGACCCUCUCAUCCUGAUCUCCUCCAACAGAAGUUGAACUCCCCCACCUUUCCUGUAGCUUGGCUACAAGUGUCCGUGUUAAAACAUUAGUGUGUUGAAAUAACCAUCUAAAAUGUUUAACCCCUGCAUUGCAUUUCCGUGUAGAGUUGAAUCUCGCCGAUGGAACGUACGAGCUUCACCCGGCACCGGAAGAAGACCCCGCCGAGGAACUGCAUCCCUUCGAAGGAGAGCCCGAACCGGAGCAAGACCCCGAGGACCCGCAAGCUUUUCCUGAAGGCAAGCCCCGGAGCAUAAAUUCCUAUCUUGAAUUCAUGCAAUAUUAUUGAUUACUUGAUUGCGCAUUUACGUUUCGAGGAGUUGUAAUGGAACCUUAGAUGCAUAACUUAGUACCUUAUUUUUGAAUACUAGUUGCUAAGGCCGAGUAGUUGCAUUGCUUAAUAGGUUCCGGUAAAAGUCGAGUGAUCUCCUGUCACUCGCGAGUUAUAGGAGUUGAAUGUUUCAGAUAUGUCGCAACUAUAAGGACGACGGACGGGGUCAGGCUUAUGUUCGAUACUUGGUGGAUUGCCCCGUCUGUCUAAAUGAAAAUGAACUAAGGUCGAAACGUGUCGGCGUUCGUGAUCAAGUGUUUGAAAGUACUAAUCUCAUACCUAGUAUGGGAUGGGGAAGCCUAGUACCUGAUUGAAUUGGGGCGUGGCAUACCCUCCGGCUGUCCUUGGAACGUCGUUCCCAUGGUGCAUCAUGUGGGUGCAAGUGCGGUCACAGUGCAGCAAUAGGCCGGGACUGUGGAGCAUUGCAUGCCAAAGGAAGUUGGCCCUGACACGUGCCUAAGGGAUCGAUGGGGACGGCUGAUAAAUGAAGCGACCCUUCGUGGUGCGCGGAUGUCAUGAGAUUAGGUUUGCCAUGCAUGGUUAAUAAAUUCGAAUCGAUUCAUCUGCCUCUCAUAGAUUGGGACUACUUGAUCGCUAUUCUGCACUGAGUAAAGAUGGAACAUGAUGAUGAUUUUAAUCUUGAUGCUUGUUAAGUAAUUGCUUGGAAACCAUGUUUGUUUAGUAUAAGUUGCUAAUCUGGAAUGGAUAAAGAACAUAGAACAUGAGCUAAAAUGUUGAAAGUAAGGACUGACUUUAGACGCUUUUGGCAAAGAAAACCCCAGAGCCAGAAAGCCUUGCAUGUCUAGGUCUCGGUCGUGUCUUUUCGACAGGUCAGUCUUGCGGAGUACUAGUUGCUCAGCCUUGUUGUGGCUAAUCUUUUUCAGGUAAUGUCAAUAGUUUGGGUGUUGGUACCACUUGGCCGACCCAGCUUCCUCCAGGUUGGACCGUCGAGUGGGAUCCUUCCUUGGAUGGCGAAGGAAGAAAUUUUUGAUGUCAUGAACGGCUCCGUCGUGAUGUCAUGUAUCGACGUUUAGUUUUCGCUAUUUUCCUUUGACUUCGAACCAUGCAAAUUUCGAUUUGAAUUUCAGAAACUCUGAUGUAAUAAAUUGUUGAACUAUGUUGUCAUGAUGGAAUGUUGUAACCUCUGUGCUACUCACCUUCGCGUGAGCGAUGCUUCUCGAUCCUGUUUAUGUGGUUUAUCGGAGGAAAUCCGACGGUCGACCAAGUUGACUUGCUUAAAGUGCAUAAUCGCGUGUCAGACGACUUCAAUGCAUUUUAGUCAGGUUAAUUUGGGCGGUUCCGCCACAAGUACACUUAUGGUUGGUACUCAACAAGUCGUGGGGAAUAGUGUAGUGUAAGGCAAAUCAAGGUACGGCUAAGGCAUAAUUAGCAUUCGCUUUUAUUUAAGUUGGUCAAGUUUUAUUAGCAAUUAACUAAGUAUAAGUUCGUACCACUCGAAAUUAAACAUGAUCAUAAAUAAAGUAAACAGCAUAUGCAUGAAAUGACAACAAGUUAAAUCCAUCUUCCGAUAAAUAUUAUCAUGUGAGGGUCCAGGCCUCUCUUAACCGUGAGCACGGCUGAUCGAUCAGUUUUACACUCUGCAGAGGUGGCACAUCUUUACCCACAAGUCGCGUAAAAGUUCAAAAGAACUUUGGACCCAACCAUGCGGUGUUUGCAAGGCACCAUACCACACUUCUGAGGUGUGAUUGCAUAGGGACGCUACGAGGCCUUUACAAAGAUUCAUUAGUCAGUGGUAACCCGCUAAGGUUUCGAUGUCUGGCGUGCACCACCCAUCCCAGGCAAAAAUGCAACGACUCAGUCCCCCCUCUUGCCUCAUCAUGAGUAAGGUCACCCUAGACUAAGGUUUCUAAUUAUUCAGCCAAGACCAGAGCCAUUUAGUCUUGUGGUAGCACUAUUUUCCUGGGUGGUCGCUCCAUGUUACGAUUAAUAAUACAUGAUCUUAUAUUAAUGAAAGGUAUAACAGAAGUAAAGCAAGAUUAAACAUUGUUUUUAGUUAAACCACCAUGUACCAAGUAAGCGCUAAGCAUGAGCUACCCAACAAAAAGUAAACCGGUUGAUCAAGGCAAAGGUAAUUCAAUCUAGGCGAACCUUAAUUGGGACCCAUCAAUUCAAUCUUAACAUGUGCAUAGCAUAAAUGUUGAGUACGAGAAAGUAAAGGUGUAUAGGAUGAAAAGUAGUGAUCAAGGACACGACUUGCCUUCUUGGCCUUGCUCCUACUGUUCGUACUCCUCGAAGGCUUGGUCUUCAACUCCCUCGAACUGCGGGACGUCUACACGCGUCACACGAGCACAUACAAGCAAACAUGGGCAAAAAGUAAGAAACAGUACACCAAUCACAAUUAAACAGAGAAAACAAGCUUGAAAAGUUGAUCUACGCUUUAAAACGAACACGUGGAUAUAAAGAACGCGAAAAACGGAGUUAAGAUGCAAAAGAGAUGAUUAAAACAAGAUCCAGGGGCUUUUCUGUGAGAAAAACAAAACUUUUAGGGCAAAACCGCAAAAACCGAGGGCUUAUACGUAAAUACGCGUAUAAACCAAAGGUCUAACGCGCAAAAACUCCAAAACGGACGGCGGGUUGAUUUUUAGAAAACUCGGGGUUUAAACCGAAAAGCACGAGGGCAGAUCUGUGAAUAUUUUCAACGCGAUCUGGACCGCGGGUUGAUUUGCGGAAAAGGCAGGGGCUUAAGAGCAAAAUGGCGCGGUGCGGCACGGUUGACCGUUACGCGGUCUUGUUUGACUCGCUAUCGGCCGUCGGAUUUAGGUCCGACGGUCACGGUCGGCGAUGACUCGCGACGGCGACGGGAAAAGGGCAGCCAGCGGCGGUGAGCGACGGCGAGGUCGCCGGAGUAGGCCGAAACAACGCCACGGGGCUCGGUUUCGCGCGCGGAAAGCACCAGAAGAGAGCGGGGAACAUGGCGAACCCGUUUAGUGCCUUGGCGGGAGCCACGGCGCGGCGGCGCUCACCUUUUGGCGGCGGCGUGCGGCGGAGAGAGGCAGCGGCGCAAGAGCUUGCGGCAGCUAGGGUUUGGAGGGUGCUGGCACGGGUGCUCGUGGCCGGGGGAGGCGGCAGCUUAAAUAGGGGCGGACGGCUUGGAGAUAGAGGCGGCCCCGGAUUCAAACCGGUCGGGGAAUACGGCACCCACCCGGAGAUCUCGCGCGGCGGUUGCGGGCGGAGGAGAGUCUGGUCGGAGGUGGGAGACGAUGGCGGGUCCCACCUGUCGGCGGUAGCGGGCGGUAGGCGGGCCGUAGCGGCUGUGGGCUGGCGCGCGCGUUCGCGGGCCGCGGGAAAGGGGCGAGCGGAGAGCUUCGCAGGCCGGCUGGAGGUGGAGCGGUGGGCCGCACGGGCAAGGGGGUUCGCGGGCCGGCGAAGAAAGGCGGAGCGGGCCGAGCGGCUGGCACUGGGCUGCCGGCAGAGGAGGAGGCGCUAGGCCGAAAGAAAAAGAAGAAGAGAAAGGAAAGCAAGGUGCGGCCCAGGAGGAGAAGAAGAAAAAGAAAAAGAAGAGGGAAAAGGAAAAAGGUUUUGGAGAUUGAAUUUAAAUUUGGAAUUCAAAUUUUUGAUUCAAACCCAAGCAAUCAAAAUAAAUGCAGCAGCAUGAAUGCACAAUUAACUCCUAUGAUGAAUUAAUUAAAUUAAAGAAAAUGAAAUUAAAUGCCUAGAAUUUAAAUGACACCCUAAUUUGAGUAAAUUUUAAUGAAUUUGAAUUCUCUAAAAUUUUGGGUGUUACAACUCAUGAAACUAAAAGGGAAAUCCUUUUCUCAUAGCUGGAUAAUAGCGCGCGGCGACAGAAAAGCCAGCAUCGUUUCUGAUCUCAUUCACGUAUAUACAGCCAGUUGCUCGCUUCCGACCAUGCAGCUGCAUGAAGAAUAUGGACCGAAUGUUUAGUCAGUAAGCAAACACUGCCUAAAGUAAGUUUACAGAGCUACAUGCUGGGCAUUUCAGACUUGUUUAAACAGAGGUGCAAACAAAGUCGCCUCCAAGGAGGCAGUAGCACCCGCAAGCGUCACCGUCCACGCUUUCGCCCCGACCUCCAUGCUAUGCCAUGCCAGAAGCACCAUCACGUUCAGAGGUUUCACCUCUAUGUGUAACGCUGCGCUAUGGAGAGAUGACAAUCUUGGGGGGGGCGGGGGGGGGGGUACCAAUGACAUAUGGUAACAGCUUACAAUGAUGGUAGUGGAUAAAAGAAAUGGGAGCACCACAAACAAAAUCUAGAGUCUCAACAGUCAAAAUCAAACAAGAUCAAACAAUAAAAAGUUCUGAGUACCACAAGAGCACCAGGGGGGGAUCAUUUCCAAUGUGGAUGCAUCAGUGGAGAUCUCUCAACGUAUGUCACAUAAGCAGUGUGGUGUCCUCCAGGUGUCCAGGUUGGUGUGUUAAACUGCCUCCGAUCCACAGCCAUCUUAGAACACUGCAUUCCAAGUUUCCAACACUCUUCAUGGUCUCAACUCUACUUGAACAUUCUCAAUAAGCUCUAUCUUGCUCCAAUCUUCUCCUGACUCGCUGCAUCUUUGCUUAAACCCCUUUGUGCAUUGUGAUAGUGUCAAGGUAUGCAAAGAGGUCAGCCUUUCAAUGCACGGAGGCAAAGUUUUCAUCCAGUAGGUCUCUACUUUGAGCUCACGGAGAGAUGCCAUAUCUCCCAACCAUUCUGGCAAGGUUUCCAUGUUCUGACAGUUCAGUAUCUCUAGCUUCCUGAGGGAUUUCCAGCCUAGAAUGCACUUUGGCAAAGGUACAGGAUCGAUGCAACUGUCAACAGUUAAUUCUUCAAUGUCAAGCUGUUGAAGAGAAUCGGAGUCAGAAGAUAUAUUUUCGAUGUACUUGAUUUCCAUUUUGGAUGAUAAAGCAGAUGUUGAUAGCCCCAUGACUUGGUAGAAUGAUGGCCAAUGGAAUAAGAAUGGAAAUUGUUUAAUUCCAGAUAUGAUAUACCUGGCACUCCAAGGGAUUGAUGGUUCAAAUCUUACGUUCAAACAACAGUCUAUCUCUAAAUAUUGAAGUCCAGGAAAUAAUGUGCGCUGGUUGGAGGAUUCCCUGCCACUAUCACUGUGUCUUCCUCCCUGCUGCUCUCUUUGAAAUACGUUCUUAUCAUCCUUCUGCUCAAUACAAGGCAACGUCGAUGUUUUCCACAGUAACUUCCCUACUCUUCCUAAUGUAACUCUUCUGAGAUUUUUCACUGGCUGUGUGCUCAAGAUGCAUAUUGAUGAUUUGUCAUAUAGGUUCAGGUCAUUUGGCCUAUUAAUCACCGGGAAAGACGAGAUAUACAAGUCUUCAAGAGAUUGUAAAUAAUCUAGAUGGAGGUGACCAGAUUGAACAUCGAAAAGCUCCAAUCUUACAAGAUUUGGUAGCAAACGUAACCAGUUAGGAAAAUCACCACCAACAUAGUUCUUUAUGCAAAGCCUUUUAAGGUUUUCAUGAGGCUGGAGCUCUUCUAAUGCGACCUCGUUGAACACUGGCCCACUCCACUCCAAACUUAAAAAUUGGAGCUCCUCUUUUUGCGCCAAUUCAAUUAUGUUUGCUUCUGAGCUUGAUAGACCUUCGAGAUGUUUAAUAUUAAGUUCAAUAAGCUGGUGACUUGUAGUCUUUUGCAGAAUAGCCAUGUCGUCUGAUGAACUGACGGCAAAACUAGGGCCCUGCUAUUUUACAAAAACAUAGAAAAUCAAAAAUAAAACAUUCUGCUUUAGUCAAGAUGGCAUGCAUACUAUAUAAAACCAUCUCUAGGUGCAAACAUGCAGCUUAGAGCAUCUUCAAUAGUCAUCUAAUAAAUGUUUUCAGAUAAAUAGUUAAUAGGGAUAUCCCGAGUUGCUUUUGCAGUCUUCUAUAACCUCAUCCCAAUCCAACUACCGUGUUGGGAGAGUCACAGCUCCUCCUUUAUUUUGGGAGUUGGGGUGAAUUAUUUGUCGAAUAAUUAUUGGAAAAAAGGAAAGGUAAAGGGAGUGUGUUAGAGCACUAUUUUUUCACAAACUCUCCAAAUAUGGUAGUUGUAUUGGAGAAUAGGGAUCUGCUGGAGAUACUAUGUAAACCAUUGGACAAUUGAAUGCUGAUGAGGCUUAUGGAAACAGAGCCAGCCAAGGAUCCCUACCUAACUCUACCAAUCACGGGUAUGCACAGCAGAUAUGCUGGCAACAGAUCCUACCAGUAAGUUUUUUUUUCCAAAAAAAACAUAUCCUACCACGUACACAGCACAAAAAUACAAUUCUAAAAAAUUUGAUGUUCGCCUGGUAUAUCCCAAAAGUUGCAUGACUAUUUUAAUUUGGAACUUGCUUGGCUACUCCUUCCAUCCCAUAUUAUAGGUCAUUUUGGCAUUUCUAGGUUUAUGAUUUUUUGUUGUACACCUUGAUGUAUAUUAUAUCUAGAAGCUAUGAAUCUAAAAUUGUCAAAACAACCAACAAUUUGGAUAAUUUGGGAUGGAGGGAGUAUUUUAAUUUGGAGAAUCAGGUCUACUAUAAGUGCCACAAUUAAGCAAGGUAGUGGCAUAUCAAACAAUAAAUUAAAUAUUUAUGUUAGAAAGGGAUUCCAUUAAUUCAUUCAUAUAUACGAUAUUCACUCCCUAGAAUUAAUGAAAAUACAGUAACAAAUCACAUGCCUGCAUGAUAGAUUGAGCCUCUUGUUAUGCAACCGUAAUUUAUAGUAUACAUUGUAGAACAAAAAAAGUAAUAAUUAAAAACAGUGCAUAUUACCUCAUGUGCAUAUACAUGUUUGAUGGGUUUAAUCUUGUCGUAGUCCUCUCCUAAACGGCUGCAGCAUUCACGCAGUUUGUAAUUGCACUUCUUAAGAGUUAAUGUCUUCAAGGAGGUUACAUCCUUGAUGGAGUGAGGCAAACGCUGCAGUUUGGCAGAAUAAACUUCUAGAUGCUCCAGAGAUGCCAGAUCCCCCAACCAAUCUGGGAGUGCCGCAAAAUUACAACAACUGUCCAAUAUCUGCAAGCUCCUAAGGGAUGAUCUCCGGCAAGGUGAUCAGAUCACUGUCAGAUUUAAUAGUUAAAUACCACAAGUCGGUGCUGACGUAUUGGAGAAAUUCUGAAGCGUCAGAGAAGCCAAACAUAUUUGGUUCCAAUUCAAGUGUAAAAAGGUGUGAAGAUCCAACAAGUAUCACGGGUGAUAGUUCUACCUUACUGCAUGAUGCAACUAUAUGCUCUAUGUAUCCUUGAAAAGCUGAACCGAGGGUCAACGUGGAAAUAUUUCAUCUCCUUGCACCUUCUGUUCAUCAUCAUCCCAAGACAUCUCUCUAGCAGACAGCUCCAAGUUCGUGGACAGCACCUCCAAAUUCUCCAUCUUAUUAAUACAAAGUUCCCUUAAUUUCCUGAAUGGGUUCCUGCCUCCAUAAAAACUAGUAGCCACUUCUCGAAUAUUAGGCAUAUCUGAAAUGUGCAGUUCUUCAAGGUUUGCUAACUGUCCUAGUGAAGGGAGGCGUGCGCACCUUGGCUGCCCAUCAGCACUAUCUUCACAAGAUUUGGAAGAUCGAGAUUUGGAUCGCUCAUCCAGCCACAAAAUGUGGCAUCUCCAUAACCUUCUAUUUCAAGUGUUGAUAGGUUAGGAUGAGGAUGGAGUCUUUGGAGAACUGAAGAAUCAUCAGCUCUGGAGAAUUUUUUGCUCAGAUUAAGAUAUACAUUGUUAGGCCUAUCGUCUGAUCCAGAUAAACCAUUGCUGGAAUAAGAGUUUGCGUCAGCGUGCGCAGCUGGUCAUAUGUAGCCAACUCUCCAAGGCCAACUUCAUCAGCGCUAUUCACCUUCUCAAGAUUUGAAAUAAAUAGGUCUGUGAUUCCAAAGUCUGUAUUUUGACAGAGGAGAAAAUCACUUUCUUGUACUGCAAAAUACACUCCCUGUGAAGGAAGAGACAGAGUUAGACUAUUACCAAAUGCAACGAAAAUAUUUAUGCAUCCAUUCUGUUCUAGAUAAGAAUUAGAAAAUGUCCAUUGUAAAAGAGGAGUAACAAAGCACAGCCAAGAGAACUUACCUCAUUUAUCUUGAUGCAUUGAAUGUGAGGAAUAGCCUGUAGGAUUGCAGCUUUGUCUCUGUCCAAGAAAUUCCCAGGAGAUGACAAAGUUAGCUUCGCCAAACGAUCCAUGCAUCUCAAUUCAUCAAAACGGUCAAACAUCUCGAGGCAAUCAAUUUCAAGCUCAUGUACUGAUUGAAUGCCAGGAAGUUUCUGAAGAUCAUAGCUCUUACAGUUCGAUAUCUUGAGUUUUUGGAUGGUUUGUGUCAAUAUAGGGGUUUAUGACCACAGAUUAAUCUUGGAUAAAUCACUCUCGUUGAUGAAUAACUCCUUGCUGUUGGGGAUUCUUGGAUAUAGUUCCAGAUAACCGCAGUGUUCUAUCUGCAGAUAGCAAAGCGGAGGGAAUUCUUCUUCAUCAGUGUUCAUCAGUGCGGAAGAAGAUACAGGAACGUGUGUCAUCAGUGUUCUCUUUUUAGUCACUCCCAAAAAUAUUUCCAUCAUGUUCCUAAACUUUGCUUUUCCUUUUCCUCGGGAAGGAUCACCAGACUGCGCCCUGAACAUUUCAAGCCUCUUGAAUUCUUCUAAAGGAUCUAUUUCCAUGUCACGUAUCUCUUCACCAUCUUGGCAAAACCACAAGGUGCAUCUGGAUGCUAGUUUAACAAGCGACAGUCGCUUUAGGUUUCUGCAUGGUGCUAAACAUGCUUCCAUAAGUUUAGGCAUAUUACGAAUUUCAAGCUCCUCUAAGUUUGAUAGAUUUCCUAGAGUUGGAAGCUGGUCACACUCUACGAGAUCAGACAAUACCAGUUUCACCAGAUUUGGGAGUGUAGAACAUAUCUUCCUCAUCCAACUAGGAAACAUACUGUAAUUAUAGCCCUUUAUAGUGAGAUGCUUUAAAGCUGGAUGAGGCUUCAAAUUUUCUAGCACAUCCAUUGUCGUCACUUUGGGUUCCUCUGACCAUUCUAAUAAGGACCACUCCAAACUCAAAGAAGCAAGCCGAUGUCUCCUUCCCAAUUGCACCCCCUUUGCUUCCUCUGCAGACUUCACAACCUCAAGGCAUUUGAUAUUUAGUUCACUGUUUGUAGAAUCAAGGAUAUUCUGUAGAAGGAUAAUGUUGCUGCAAUCACCACUGCUGCCACUUUCUGAGACCACAAAAUCCGGUAGGGUUAGUAGGUCACUGGAGAUGCCUUCCUUUCAGAACAGUGACAUCCCUCCAACUGAAAGGUACUCAAGACGAUGCAUGUUUUUCAAUGUGUCAUGCAGCAUUUUCAGGCUCAACUCCUCACCAGAAUAAUCAGAGGAAUGCUGUGUAGAGGAGCUUGGAGCUUCAGAAUCUUUUCUUACAUCAAAUCCUGAUAAUGCUGAUAGGUUUAGGUACUCCAAAUUUACAAAUUUACCAAGAAAGCAGAUAAUUUUCAAAAUGCAAGGACAGCCAGAUAAAUUCAGAAAUCGGAGUUUAUUUAGUCUGGCACAAGAUUCAGAAAGAUCAAUAAGCCUCGCACAAUCAGAUAAAUCCAAAAUCUCCAGGUUCAGGCAGCCAUUGUUGCCCACACAAAAUUCAGGAAGUGCCUCAAGGCAAGUACAACCAGACAUAUUAAGAUAAAGAAGUCCCUUCAUUCUAUUGAAUGACAGGGUACGCAGUUGCUUAAGCUGGCAGCAGGAGGACAGAUUCAGAUGUUCCAAAUUUUUCAGUAGACUGAAAGAGUCUGGAAGCAUCUCAAGCUUUGAACAACAUGAUAAGUUCAAGAACGAAAGCUUUGGCAGCUCUCCAAAUUGUGAAGGUAGCUUUUGUAGGCUGGUACAACCUGAUAGAUCGAGGUGUUCCAAAUUUUCCAGUAGACUGAAAGAGUCUGGAAGCAUCUCAAGCUUUGAACAACAUGAUAAGUUCAAGAACGAAAGCUUUCGCAGCUCCCCAAAUCGUGAAGGUAGCUUUUGUAGUCUGGUACAUCCUGAUAGAUCAAGAUGUUCCAGGACUUGGAGUCUGUGAAUGGGACCUGGAAGUUCACUAAGAUUCGAGCAGCCAUGUAGAUCCAAAUAGUGAAGCUUCUGAAAGUCACAAAUGGAAGUGGAACUAUGGAGCUUUAAUUUUUCAGAAAAGGAGCUAUGGAGCUUUUUGAGGCUGGUAUUUUCUGAAAGAUUUAAAAACUGCAGGUGGUGCAAGUUUUGCAUAGAACUGGGUAGCUGGACAGUUUGCAUGCGUGGGAAGUCCAAUACACGCAGCCAUUUAGUUUCUGAAAAGGCACCCUUCGAAGGCUGACAUCCUGUGCAGCCACUAAAAUGAGCAGCCCUUGCUUUGAAAGGCGUAUCUUUGCAUUUUGGGUACUGACCUUUGAAAUUCAACAACAACGUGUAUCGAUAGUUGUCCUCUUUACCGAAGCUUCUUUGUUUGCCAUCACAGAUGGCAACUUCCUCAAUAGCAACUGACCUAGCAAGUUCAUGAACUAAAUCGUGCAUUUUGAAUAAUACAUUAUGCAUAUGAGGGUUAUUAAGCUUGGAGUAUCUUGCAGAAAUCUGAAAAGCAAAUUUGCAGGUCGAUUAGUAGUGCACUAGAUAUUUUUUUCAAGGACUCAACGGUAGGUCAAAAGAAAAAAAUAUAUAAAGAGCAUGCCAAUUUCACAUUUAGAAACGAGAUUGAUCAUUGCCACAUCAGCCGUCCCGCAUGGAGAUGCUAGAGCAGUCAAAGGGAGUGCAAAGGGUUUAAAAUUGCAACGAAUGAACAUUAUUUUCUCUCCAGUAGCAAUUGUGUCAAGACAACCAAGUUGACGUUUCUUCUAUCUGAAAUGAAAGAACACUGCCGAUUUAUUUAUUGCUAUAUCCAAUUUAUAGAAUGGAUAUACCAUUUAAUUGAUAUCUUUUCGUAAAAAUGAAACGCAUAAUAUGCAUCCACAUUUCAGCUUCGAAUUUUACUGGAUAGAGAUACAUGAUCUAGGCUAUUAAGUAGCGACUCAUAAAAGCUAAAUCUUGUAACCAAUGGUGGGUCAAUAAUGAUCAUUUUUGUAUAUAUGUAUCGACUGUUGUAAAAAAGUGAUUCGCUUUUCCUAUGCAGUAACCUUCUGCUCCUAAAGAAUGCCAGGAUUGUGUUUUAAUUAUUGCAAUUACUAUUCACUUAGUAACUUAACUCGCUGUCUUGGCAAUGUUGUAGAGCUUAUGCCAAAAAUACAGCUCAGCCCUUUUUGCUCAGAUUCCAUGACUUUAUGCAGAGAAAACUUGACUUAAAACAAAACUUAGGCUAUGUUACUAGUAAUUUGCAACCUCAGGGAGUUUACUUGUCAUGUUUAUUUGCUUGGUUGAUUUCAGUAAGCAUAAAACUGGCAACUUAAGAAAUAAUGUUCGUGUCGCUAUAUUUAUCUUUUAAAUAAUGUUGACUCAAAUAUUUAUAAGGUGUUAGAAUUGAGGAACCAAUACAACCAUGUCCGAAUGAUUCAUCGUAGGAUCACUCCAUGAAUUUUACACCUUGAUCAAUAUGCUUGUGCGAAAUGAAGUGGAUUAUUCAAAACUAGAAUCAAAGGAUUUAUGACUAUCUCAUUCUUCAAACCAAAGAUUAUAUUGAAUUAGUAGUAGAUAAACACCAUAUUCUGAAAUAAGAUUAAAAUACUAAUAAAUCAUGCGAGAAAUGACAGCACAACUCGAUACAAGGAAAAAAGUUAACUGUACCAAGCUUGGGUAUAUAAUAUAACUCACCGAGAUAGAGUCACUUGAAGCCUCCAGGAAUGACAUCUGACAAAGUUCUAGUAGGUAUUCCUCAGCACGAUGUGUGGUCAGAACAAAUCUCAGAGCAAUCCACUUAUGAAUCAGUUCUCUCUUCUCUAUGAUGAAGCCUUUUGGGAAGGCAGAAAAGUAUACAAAGCAAGGUCUCAGAUAAUAUGGCAUGUGGUAGUAACUAAUCUUCAAGGAUGGUAAUAUUAAAGUAGAUGUUGUUCCAGUCGUUGGAUCGCAUUCGUCUUCCCACAGGUCACUCUUCAGUGUUUCUUCCUACUUGUGCAUCGGCAUAUCUAGCAGACGAUCCCCAAGAGACUUGACUGCCAAAGGCACUCCACCGCAUUUCUUUACUAUUUUCUCCCCCAUAUGUACCUUUGCCAUUUCAGAUUCUUUAAUUCCAUUUGGAAAUGCCUUAGCUUUGAACAGCUUCCAGCAGUCAUCGUACGGCAAGGCACCCAACUUGAAUGGCAACUCACGAUUCAGCCGCUUAGCAACCUGUUCACUUCGAGUGGUCACAAUUAUCUUUCUGCCUGGUGCGCCACCUUUCAACAUCGCUUCUAUCUUUUCCAAUUGUCCUGUGUUUUCUUCCCAUAAGUCAUCUAAAACAAUAAGAUACUUCUUUCCACGGAGGAUCAUCUCCACGCGCAUCUGCACGGAGGACAGGUCAUACUGGUUACUCUGUCCAUCUACUUGGGAGAUAAUUGAUCGACCAAUCUUUUCAUCGCUAAAACUUGUGGAGACAUAAACCCAAAUCUGGAUAUCAAAAUCUCUCUUAGUUGUAUUGUCGUCAAAAACCAUUUGGGCGAGAGGUGGUUUUACCCAGACCACCAAAGCCAUAUAUAGGGAUGAUGAUGUGUUUGCAAUCUUCUUGCAGCAACUUCAUCAACUCUACCUUGUCCUUGUCCCUCCCAAGUAUACCUUCUACAAGGCAAGGGCCUGUAGCCCUUGUCUGGAUCACGUCCUGGUCGUCAGAGCUUGUGUCCACCAUCAAGUCGAACUGCCUCAGCUUUUCUAUGUCGUCCAAUCUUUGCUUCAUGGCCUUCAACUUGCUAGGCAUGUUUAGCCGCAACUUCAGAGGAAUGGAGAUCUCCUGCAAAUCCAUGUCGUGAAUUAGAAAAGGGACGAGAAAUGGAAAUGGACAUAUCGACAUCAAACACACUCGAGACCUACCGUUGUAGAUUUGUUAUUCUGAGAGCCAUCUUUAUUACUCAGGAUAUCACCUUCCAAUUCCAAUAAUAAUGUCCUCCAUGUCAUAGGCUGCUGCCUUUAGCUUCCUCAUCCAGACGCAGACGUCACCAUCUUUCAUCAGCCGCUUCUCCGCCCUAACCAUGCUAUUUUGGAUGGUAUCCACAGUAUCCUUGAGGCCUUUGAGCUCAUCACCUAGCUUCAGCUGCGAGGCGAUCGCCUCCCAGAUGGCACUACCUAGCAUGCCGCCGACCUUCUUCAAUGCGGCCGAGGCAAGAAACUCCCCUACCCCCACCAUGUGGCUGAAGGGGACGCCAAUCACACAGUGUGAUGAGUGCUUGACGUCAGGCCGGGUGAGGAACAGUCCCAAGAGAAAACUGGAGAAGACACAGCGAGAAAUUGUCAGAGUCUCUCUGUUUUUGACCUGAAAAUCACAACCCUUGCAGCAAACUCUGUAUCAAGGACAGGCAGGAAAUAUUUACAAGCAAGGAGGAAAAGGGCAAAUAUUUCAGUCAGAAUUGAGACAAAUAAUAGCACCCAAGGUGCGCUUUAGAUCGCACUCUGUUUCAAUUAAACUGACUCGAGAUGGAAACCCCAAUUCGGAUGCGAGGUGGAAGGAAAGAAAGGUGAUUAGUUCUCAGCUUUUACCGUGAGGGUGGUGUGUUGUGUCCAGCACCCGAUGGGAUGGCAGGUAACUAAGGCCCCGUUUGGGAGGGCUUCAGCUUCGGCUUCUCUACUGGCCGAAGCUUGAGCCCUACCAAAUGACGAGAUGGCGAAAGGCUUCGGCGGAGAAGCUCCGCGAAUCGCUCUGACUGAAGCUGAUUGAGGGAGCGGGAGCUAAAAAAAAUUGGCUCCCCGCGGCUUCUCGCGUCGUUGGACACCCUUGUGCUUCGAUGGGGCCCGCGGGUGGAGGUGGCUGGCGGUGGGCGCAGACGAGGCAUGAGGAUGGCGGCGCGGGAGCAGAAGUGGCCGGCUGCGGACAAGCCGCGACAGAGGACGGCCCAGGACGACCGGCGGCGGUGGGCACGGGGCGGAGGACGUCCGGCGGCGGCGGGCGCGGGGCAGAGGUGGCCGGCGGCGCGCGCUGGGGCGUGGGCGCGUGAAAAGGGGAGGCGGGGGCGCUAGGGACGUAUCUCAGAUGGCAGCGGUGAGAUUCAGCCGGGAGAAGGAGGCCGGGUCAGAUCUUUCACCGGGUGAGAGAGGGGCGCGGCGGAUGGAACGGUCGGUGGUGGUGGAUGGAACGGCGCGUCAGUGGAUGGAACAACGCGUCAGGGUGCCUGGGAAUCAGGGGGUGAGGAGGUGACGAUAGGGUUCGGGGCGCGAUCGAUCCUACCUCAACGUAUGCGUAAGUAGAAGAAUGCAGUGGCGAGAAAUGCGUACGCGAUGGAGAGGGCUAGAUCCAGAAGUAGCAAGUUGCCGAUUCGUAGAAGCGGAAUAAUAAGCUAGUGAUGAAACAAUGCGUUAUUAGCUCGCGUUACGUUGUUUAGGUCCAGAGAGGAGCAGCAAACUCCAUAGCUUAUAGUUUUAAUUUCUCAUUGUUUAUUGCGGCCGGUCUUUUGACAGUCUAGGGACACAGUCGUCGUAGAUCUCGGGAGCCCUGGUGGAAAACAGAUCAGCUUGCGGUUGUUUAUGUAGAGUCUCUCGAGACAAGGCAUGCAUGGCUAUACUCCCACUCACCAAGCCCAAACAGUGCCAGCUCUACUAGUUUAGUUAAUAAUGUUUUAAGUGACUUUUGCCUUUGCAGAAUAGCCCAUUCUACUACGGAGAGGCGACGAACAAGCUGACCAUGUACGUAGCUGCCUGCUUGUCGUCGACCACCACCGCAGAUUCUUCUCUUGCCAUGCAUGUACUCAGCAAAGGAGCGGACCACAUCGUCGUGCAUCUCCAGUUAUCCAGUUGCUCAGGCAGUCCAGCUACUGACCAUGCAGGACUUGUCAAAACAACAUUCCACUCACGCUCGCCUUGCGUAUCUUGUGCUUAAGAGCCCUCCAAUCGCUUUAAUUGCAAGUGGUAAUUAUGCCUUCACACUUCUCAAGAAUUUCCAUCCCAACGUUUUUUAGGCGGUCAGUGCCGACUACCUGCCAACAGUUAAUUAUUUAUUGGAUUAUUAUUUCUGACUACAGUAAGGUCGUCGCGGCACUACUUGCUUAAGUACAUUUUCUUACGUUCCUGUUGUAAAAAACAAUUGGUCAUCAUUUUUUUCAUCCCUUGCACAAAGCAUGAACAGACGAUCCAAUUUCAAAUGGGCUUUACAAGGAUUUUGCAUAAACCGCCACAAAAGUUGUAACGAUCUUACGUAAAUCCUGCAUUCCAAAUGGGGCCUAAACAUUUCAUUUGGGACCUUGGAAUGCAGACUAGAUUGUGUUCCAGUAGCUUGUAUCGUCUUUCAUAAUCACGUUGCCUUUUGUUUUAAAAGCAACAAUUUCAACUAAUAAUGCCAUAAGAUCAAAUUUGUCUACUCCAUCUCAUUUCAAAUAUAAUUCAGUCGAGCUUGUGCACAAGAAUUCAUAAGGUAGGUGGUGAAGUGACACUACUUGCUUAAGUACAUUUUCGGGCAAAAAAGAUUUGGCUACGUUCCUGUUGUAAAAUAAAACAAUUGGUUCACCCUCAGCAUCAGUUCAACAAUGGCCGACUCAUCAAACUCGGACGUCAUCUUCUGUAUAGAACUUGAACUUGAACCCGGACUCAACAGUUAGCAUCCUCGGCUCCGGAUUGAACUUGAACUCGAACCUGUCUGCCUCCUUGUGGAUGCCAUCAAGCCUCUGGUUGACGUCCCUGAUGCUGCUGCCUAUCUCGUGGGCGAACACGGGUUACGCAGGCAGAAGAGCAAUCGCUGGAAGAAAUCCUGCAUCUUUUCUAUGCUCCUGCACGUGAGGGUGAAGAUGGGGUUCCGUAGGCACAUCAACCUGCACUCAUCAGCCUUGAGUUGGCACAGGUCUAGGAUGUCUGUGUGGCAUCGUACAUGGCGUCCUUGAGCUUCCUCACCCAUCUUUGCACACUCUUGUCAGUGACGCGCACCUCCUCUCUGCAUCCGCGAGGAAAGCUUUGAGGCAUCCGGGAUGGCGGCCAUGGCUCCAGAGUACGAUCUAGCUAGUACACAAUACAUGAUCCCUCCGUUUCAGUGGGAUGAGCUCAACCGGAUCUCAAAGGAAUAUACUAUAAGGGUUGGGAUUCAACUCACACUCCUUUGCAACCAGAUAUGGGUUGAAGCGGGUCGAACCCAUCCUAACCCACUUUGACUCCAGAACCAAACACAUGAAAAAAGAUUGCACGAGGAAAAAGAAGGAAAGAGAAAUCGGCGACUCGUAGCAGGGAUGACUGUACGUUGAUUUGGUUGGUUCGGAGCUAAUGUCUUAGAAGAAAUAUCUCUGUAGGAUAAAGGAGAGAAAGUAUUUUUAUUGUGUCACGGCAGGAAUAGAGCAUUCGUCUAACGCGUUUGUCGUUGUCAAGAUUAGCGGAUCAAGACUUAGACUAGUAAAUUUCUUUUAUGCGCGUAAGGCUUCGGAUGGUGGCGUGGGAGACACGGGGUUUAGACUGGUUCGGGCAAGGGAAUGCCCUACGUCCAGUAUCGGGAGCUGCUCGUGUUGCCCACGCGGGGUUCUGUAGUAGGGGUUACAGGAGUGCGAGAGAGGGAGCUGAUCCCAGGUCUCUUGGGUGUACACUGAUGCUCUAGGUGGGUAUGAGUGUGUUUUGUGGCUUGGAGAACCUCCUUUGUCUCAGGCCCCCGGUUCUCCUUUUAUAGCGCAAGGAGGCCACCAAGGUUACAGGCGAGACCGGGUGUAUGGAGAAGUAAAAGAAAUAAACAAAGCUAGGUAAAAUACAACACAAGGGGAGGGACCAAGUCCCCAGGCCACCGGCAUCCUCGCCGGCCUUCGGCUCCUGCCGGCGCGUCUGCCGGAGGAGGGCGGCCGCCGUCACGUCCCGUCGAUGGUCUCCUCGGCGGCUGUCGCCGCCAGGCGUGAUGAUGGUGUUUUGUUGUGGCACCUGUGUCCGUUGGGGCAUUAACGAGUCAAAGUUAAUGCCCUCUCACCGUGUUAUCUUGUCUAAGUUUAAUUACAUAGUCAUGAAAUUGAUUAGAUUUUGUUAACUUAAUUGGCUUGUAAGCGGUAGGCAAGAUGUCUUUGGUGAUUGUGCUCUAGUCUUUUAUGUUGAUAGAUUGAGGUUAAUUCCCUCUCAUUCGUGUUGCCUUGUCUAAGUUCAAUACACUUAUCAAGACAAUUAUUAAGAUCUAUUAAUGUAUCUAGGUUGCGUAUAGUCAGCAUCGGCUGGUCCUUGUUGUUAUGUUCUAAUCUUUUAACUUAGUAGAUUGAUGCCAAUACCCUCUCAUUCUUGUUACCUUGUAUGAGUUCAAUACACUUGUCAAGAUAUUGGCUAGAUCUGUUAGCUUAUCUGAUAAGCAUGUGGUUAACAAGGACUCCCCUUUAUGGUUGUUGCGUUACAAUGCUUUGUCUUAGCGCGUCGGCUGAGAUAGCCGAUGGCACAUGCCAUUAAUGUUUUAUUUAUUUACACUGCAUGCUUACAUUAAAUAUCUAUCUGUCAUAGUGUUUAUUCCAAGAAUGCCUACCCAUGAGUUCGAAAGGCUUCGUCGCCGAUCGGCAAUGUUUACCUUGUCAAUUUUCAGGUCAAAUUGACUGACAGGCCUUGCACCAUUCGCGAGCUGAUUUGGAGCCUGCACUGGAGGUAAGCAGAUCUCCCAGAUCAUCCGUGUUGUUCAACGCAGAAGCCUGAAGUCCGGAUUUUGCAUCAACAGGUAUAGAGAAACAAAAGGAUCUAAGGAAAUAAAACAAAAGAAAAUUAAAGGGUAUUGAGCUACGCAGACAUAGCCAGAAUCAAAGAGGGUUUGGCUCUGAGCAACAGUAAGGAGAAUUCAGACAUAAAUUUUCUUUUACAAGCUUCGAUUAUAGGAUCAAUGUUACUGAAAAUCCGUUCGUUUCUAGUGGACCAUAUGCUCCAUAACAUUAAAAUGAUGACCUCCAUGAAGAACUGGACUUGAAGCUUGUCUUUGAUGAGCUUGAAAAUUUGAAGGAGGGGCCUUGUUGUUAUGACUGACACCCCUAUAGAGGCCCGUCAAGCCUUGGUAAAGUUACAUCUUAAGAACAUAUGGGCAACCAUUUCUAGCUUUUGAAGGAUUCACAAGUCACAAGUAUAAGAGUCUAGGAUCAUGUUUUUUCAUCUAAGAAACUCUCUUGUGCUUAAACGGUCCUUGAGACUAACCAGAAGAAUACCUCGUGUUUCAUUUGGCAUUUUGAACGUUUUGAUGUCCAAUGAUAACGGGAAGCGGCAAGACGGUGAUGUCUUGCAGUGUAGCAUUGUCAUUAGUUGACGGCCAAGAGCAGAAAAAAUUAUGAGAGAAGGAAUGAUAAUGAUUUAGCCAAGGUUGAGUGCCGAUGUGAUAUACAACAAGGGAGAACUAGGAAAUCGAUGUUUGUCAUGCACAUCCAUCCGUAGUAAGCUGAAUGAAGUGGUUGACUAGAGAGAAUGAUGUGCCCAGUAAGUGAUGCAUAUUCCAUGACCACGGUAUAGCUGGCAAAGAUCACAAAGGAGAACUCUAUCUUACUAUUACUAAUUGGAGGCUCCUUUUGAAGCCUCCAGGUGAAGCCACCUAGGAUUACUAGGUGGACACUCUAAAAAAAGAGAGAAAUCCUAGAAAUUCUCACAAAAAAGCAAAACAUCCAACCAUCAAUCUAUAGCUUCAAAUCAUCAUAGCCAUUGGAUCUAUUAUAUUUUCUAAAAAAUUACCCACCUAUGCCAUUAUGAAAAUAGUCUAAAGUAACCCCCUAAAUCUAUAUAUAAAUUACCCACCCCACCUCUGCCAUUAUAGAAAAUAAACUAAAGUAACCCCUAAUCUUAAUCAAAAUUACCCACUUAUGCCAUUGUAAAAAAUAUUUAAAAUAACCCCCUAAUUUGCGACUGAAUUGCCUACCACUAUUACUUAAAAAACUUAAAGUAACCCCUUAAAUUUGCAUCUAUAUUACCCACACAUGCUAUUAUUAAAAAUAACAUGAGGUAAUAACCCUACGUAAUGUACAACAAUAUAUGAUUCUAAAUUAUCUAUAUCUUGCACUAUUGGUAUACAAUAUAAUAAUUAAGAUCUAUACGUAUGAUGUGUGUCACCAUUUAUAAUUAAAGAUAUAAAAUGAUGGGAAUAUAGAUUUCUAUGCUAAAUUAAAGAUAUAAAGUGAUUGCAUAGAGUAAUUAUUAAUUAAAAAUUAAUCAAAACUGAAUAAAGAUAGGUACAUGUAUUAUGUUGAAGUAUUGAAAAAAUAAGAGAGUAGUAGGUAAACAAUUUUGAUCAUUAGCUAAGAGUUUAACUUCUAAAUAAUUUUCAAAUACAAUAGCUUCUAAAAAUAUUAGUCCGUGCGGGAGCACGGGUUGAUGGACUAGUAUGUAAAAUAAUAUGGGAACAUUUAUUUAUGGGGCUACAACCACCGGAUAUUGGUGAUCAAAGUAAAGAAAGGAGAUUGUCACACCCGGUUUUAAGGACAAAACCAAGUGCUACCUAUAUGUAUGCCAGGAUCAAGUUUCAUACAUAUAGUGACAUCAUAAGUGAAUAACAGCAACAGUAUCACGUAAAAAGAUACAAAUAAAGACUUACGAGACCAUCAGAGAUACACAGCUUAAAUACUGAAAACGGAGACUCCAAACUUCACAGGCAAUCGACUGGGGGUUGCGUACGCCUAGAACUCAGCAUCAUCUUCGGAACAUUUCACACACCUUCUUCUUCUGAGCAGCAGUAAGCAAGGGUGAGUACACUUAUGGUUGGUACUCAGCAAGGCCACAAGAAAUAACCAGAAUAACGAUUUGAGUCCAUCUUCAAGUUUAAUUAAUCAUGUGAGGGUCCAGGCCGCUCUUAACCGUGAGCACGGCUGAUCGAUCAGUUUUACACUCUGCAGAGGUGGCACAUCUUUACCCACAAGUCGCGUAAAAGUUCAAGGAACUUUGGACCCAACCAUGCGGUGCUAGCUAGGCACCAUACCACACUUCCGAGGUGUGAUUGCAUAGGGACGCUACGAGGCCUUUACAAAGAUUCGCUAGCAAUGUGGUAACCUGCUAAGGUUUCAGGUCGAAGCAGAACAUAGCAGUCCCCUAGUUGGUAUAGUGUCUUAGCAAAGCCCACUUCCCCCAAGAGCGAGUGCUAUAUCCCAUCAACGCCUCCCCUCUUGCCCUUUCGGUAAGAUCACCCCAGACUAGAGUUUCUAAUUAUUCAGCCAAGACCAGAGCCAUUUAGUCUUGUGGUAGCACUGUUUUCCUGGGUGGUUCUCCAUGUUCCGAUAACAUAAUCAUGAUAUUAUUAACAAAGCAUAGGUAGAAGGAUGGUUAGGGACACUUGCCUUUCUCCAACAGAAAGUUACUCUUACUGCUUUUCAGCUCUUGCUCUCUUGAAGCUCUUACUCUUCAAAACUUCCGAAUAGGGAUCCUUCUACUCAGAGCAAACAUCGGCACAAACAUGCAAGCAACAAACAAGUACAACUAAGAACAAUACACCAAAAUAAAAGGAAAGCUUUAAAAGAGCGUACUAAACGACAAGGCUCGAUCUAAGGUCACGCGAAUGUAAGGAACGCUUAAAACGGAACUAUGGUUGAAAAGAUAAAGCUAUCGAGCAUUUUAAAUUAUAAAAGAAAGAUGAGAGCUACAAGCUUCAUUUAUUUUAGUUGAGAAAAACAAUGUAAAGAUAUUUCACAGAAAUAUCCUUAGUUAGAAUUAAUCAAGUCAUAUUUAUAUUUUCAUAAGAAAAGACGGUGUAAAGCUUAGUCCAAUUUUAUUUAUAAAUAUUUAAGUAUAAUUUAUGCAAUUUAAACAUUUAAUAAAAAAAAUACAUGUAGACAUCUAAGCGUAUAGCUUUACAUUUCGACUUCAACUAAGUAGAUUAAAUUAAAAACAUAUUUAUAUUUAUAUUAGCCAAAUUAAUAUUUAAUUAUGAAAACUCGAGAUAUAACCUAUAUAUAUUUUAUUUAGAAAAAAAAUUAAAUAAACAUUAAUCAAAUUGAAUUUAAUUUAUGAAACACCAAGGUAUAACUCUAAGUGGCUUUUAAUUGAAAGAAUUAUUUGGACAGGCAUUAAUCAAUUUAAUAUAAAAUAUAUUUUCAAAAACAUGUGUGAAGGAAAACUUUACCACUAACGUGUAAUUUACAUCAUUAUGAAUCUAAUGCAACUUGAACGGACAAAAACGGAAUUAAAACGUAGAAUCUAUGGUUUAAACAAGGUUGUAGGGGUCUAAACAUAAUUAACCGUAUACUUGGAGGGUUAGCUGAGAAGAUUACCAAGACUCAGAGAAUAGUCACUGCGAAUAGAUGGAUCUUCGGGGUUAGAUCUGCAAAAGAGGAUGGCUUGGAUCAGAUUGCAAGGAACUGAAAGUUACAGGGGGUUUUCUACAAGGUUUGAAAGACACAAGAAAUAUGAACAAAAAUUAACAGAUUUUCCAGGGGCUAGAUCGAAAAGCAGCGCUUCAUCUUCUUCCUCACGCCAGGAGCAUGGUGCAGCUCCUGGCCGGCGGCCUGCCGGCGUUCUGGUGCGGCGGACGCCCGGGCGGGUGGUGCAGCGCGAUGCGCAGGGCAAGGAGGCGAUGGUGCGCGUGCAGGCAAUGGCACAAGCGAGCCGGAGGUGCUGGGCGAGCAGGAUGAACGGACCAGGCGUGCUGGCCCAAGUUGCGUACAGAAACACAGAAACAGGAGGGAAAGAGAGAAGGAGGGGGUAGCCGGAAACGAAAUCCGAUCUCGCGCAUGAACGGCAAAAUGGAACGAUAUUGAUGAGACGAACAAGAUGGUGUGCUCACCUUCGGCCAGAGACGAACAAUGGCGGCGGAAAAGCUCGCCGGAGUUGGGGAAGACGACGGAGCCGACAUCGGAUUCAUGCAAUUCACCACACCACGGCGUAGAGCUCGAAGAGAGGAACUCCAUGGUGGUGUCGGUUUUCGCCGGAAGUCCACGGUUUCGCCGGAAAAGCUCGCCGGAGUUUGACGAAGACCGAACUUUGACUUCACAUCUACGGAGUUAGGAGAUGCAACUCGUGAAAAGGUUUGCAGAUCUGAAAUCCUCGCGUCGAGACGAACGCGGUGAUAUAUAUAUAGGCCACACUCGGAAAAAGAUAUUUUCGAGUUGACUUUUUAUUUUCGGAAUUUCUGAUUUUAUUUAUCUGCGCGAAAACAAUUCCAGAAAUAGCUGGACUCGUUUUCUAAAGCGAGAAAAAUACCUAGAAAAUUCCGAAAAAUCUGAGAUAAAUCUCAGAGAUGGAUUGGGAUACAAAGAAUCCAAAUAAAAUACUUGGAGCUCGUGAAAAGGAUUCUAAAGCCUUCCAAAAAUUGGAUUUAGCUCUAGGAAAAGGAGAAUAAUUUUCAGAAAAAGAUGGAAAAAAUCCUCACAAGGGUCUGGGCAACGUCUAAACGCAUUUUUCAAACUUUUACACUCAAGAAACACCAAGAUGCAGUGACAUGAAUGCACAGACAUAGAACAACAUUAUUUAAUUUAGAAAAGCAAACAAUUAGUUUCCUAUACUAAAUUUCCUGUAAAGAAAAAUAAAUGUUGGGAAAAUUUUAAAAUGAUGAGAAAAUUAUUGUUUAUUUAUUCUUUUUAUUCACAUCCUGAAAUUUGGAAAUUUCAGGGUGUGACAGAGAUGAUUACUUCUGGUGCUAUACAUUGAAUCACUAACCUUAAUCAUGCAUUGUACCUCAAACUCUCAAGCAAAAAUUUACAUCACCAGCCAAAAUAAAUGUCAUAUUCAUGUUAAAUAUAUAUAUAUAUAUAUAUAUAUAUUAUUGUCAGUACGCACCAAAAAGUGUGUGUGUGUGUGUAAAAGGUACUCCCUUUUCUCUCCUAUCAUGUUCAAAAAAUACAGAAUAUAAUGAUGGAAAAAAGCAUAGACGACACUUUGGUCUGGGCCAUUAGGACAAAAACAAUUACAAGGAUAUGACUAAACAAAACUAUUUGCAUCCAUUUAUUUAUAAAUAAACAUCCAAAAGUAGGUUAAAAAAUAGUACCCACCCUAUUUGUGCGGGCCACAUUGCUAGUUUGACUCACAAGACUGAUCAUUUAUAGCAUGGGGAGAUGGAAAGGGAGAAGAACACAGCGCUUUUAUAUUCCCCAGCAUGCAGCUGGCAAGAUUGUGGAUGAGCAUGACCAUCACGAGCUGGUUAAUAGCCAUGGGAUCGACGACGAACCUGGUUCCUCCAGCCUCAAAAUGGGUUUUACGAUUUCUCCGGACCAUUUGGCAAGCUCGCUCUCCAAGUGUUGCUUGAGGCCGUCAUCAUAGGGACUGCUAAGCCAGACUUCCACCAGACCUUUUAUCUUCUGUAGGCCAGAGAACCGCAGUGCUGACACACACCUGCAGCGAAUCCUCAGCACCUUAAGAUAAAAGUCAUCGUGAAACGUUAUUGUAGCUGGCAACCUGGCGUCAUAAGAGAUCUCGAGGAAGGAUAAGAUGACAGGAUUUUGUCUACCAAAAUGGAGGUCAUGAAACUCUGACAAAAAAAGACGUGUAUUCUCCGGCCAACCAGGACUGUCAACGAGAUCUUGCUGCAACAUAAUCAUCUGUAAACUCAAUUUUGUGAGAUUCUUAAGCUUUUUGGUCCAUACUGGUAACUUGCUUACCAGCCCGUAUAACUUAAGACUCCGUAGGUUCACUAGAUGUUCGAAAGAGAUGCCGUCCAUGGUGCCAGCUUCAUCGUCCUCAUCGACCUGCAUUCUCAAUGACAACGAUUCCAGAUGGGCAAGACCUGAGAUGGCUGAAAAAAGCUUCCAGAUGUUGUCCCGGUUAAUGCCUGACACUCCAAGUUUGUGCAACUGAGUAAGCUUCUUGAGCUCCUCUAGAAUGGCGUCCCCUUUUCCAGUGCCAAUAUCAACGUCACCCAGCGUGUGCAAGUUAGAAAGUUUCCCAAUACCUCUGGGCACCUUCACGCAAUUAUGAGAGCCAUCGUCGAGAUGGUGGUAUCUGCUCAACUUGGACAACAAGCAGGACCCCAGCUGAGUAGCACAUGGCCAGCUCAUUGGCGUUGCGGUUAGUGAUGGGUUCUCUGCUGCUUCUGUAGCUUGAUGAUGCUUGGUGGUACCAGCACGAAUGUACUGCAGUUUCUCCAGCUUGAUGAUGCUCUCUGGUAGCUUCAUCACAGAUGUUUCCCUGAUAUCCAGAGUUUGGAGGUGCUUCAGAUCGCCCAGGGAAUCUGGCAGAUGAGUGAUUUCUCGGCACCUUCUCAGGGAAAGGAACUUCAAGCAGGGCAGCAGCUUCACCAUCUGCUCGACGUCACCAUUUGUUACACCUGAAGACACGUCCUCCAGAUCAAGCACACGGAGCAGCCUCAUCUUUUCAGAGAUGAAGAACGAUUUCCACUCACCAAACACUGUCAAAGAUCGCAGCCGGGAAAAGUCAAUGCUCUUAAACACAUUUCUGUCUCUGUCCCAGCUUCGAUCUAUGGCAAGGUGACGUCCCGUGCGAUGGAAGUUCUUUUCGCAAUGGCCCUCUAGUGCAAAGACAAGAUUAUCUUCCAUCGACUGUGAUAUGAUGUAUUCACGGAAGAAACCAUUAACUUGGCACAAUGGCAUCCUCUUGGAUUGCUGAACUGAUGCUGCUGUUGUUUCUGUUGUUCGUGGCACCUGGACCAUGCUUAGACUGACGAGCUUGGAAAAGGAUAUCUCCCCGUUUUUCUCUGCGGUGUUUUCUUUACUGUCUCUAGAGUAUCCCUCCGCGAUCCACCGUCUCACCAAACGCCUCCGCCGGAUCGUGUGGUUCAGAGGGAAGAUUGACAGGUAGAAUAUACAUGGCUUGAGGAUAUCUGGGCAGGAACGGAAGUAGGAAAGCAACCAGGCAAACAGAUCUUCUAGGCUUGGUUUGUCCUUCAACGCAGACACAAGGUUAUCUUUUCUGAGAAAAUCCCAAAAGAAAUUGCGUCGCGAUCAUCACCAGCUAUAGCGCAUAUAACUUUGGGAAGUCCACCACACUUGUGCAAGAUUUGCAUUUUGUCCUCGGUCCCUUGUCUCUGAAGGUUAUAUCUCUGAGAAACAUAUUGUCCAAAUGAUAUAUAUAUAUAUAUAUAUAUAUAUGAAUAAAUUUAUUUAUUACCAAAAAAAGAUAACCAUAACGAUGGCAUAAAAAAGAGUGUAAAAUUUCUCUUAAAAAAAAACCAAAAACAUCCCGCCCUGAGAUAUUAUGCAGCUACCAUGCAAAUUUGGCAUGUAUAGAUUACUGCAUACUACAAGGUCAGUCUUGAAUUGGAUUUUGAAAAUAGACUAUUUGCUGGAUUAGGUACAUUUGUUAGUUACACCUUCCAAUAAAAAUGGACUAUUAAUUUGACGCAAUACAUUUAUGAGACAAACCUUUUUCAAGAUAAAUGCUAAAGUUAACUGUUGAAUCUAGCCGUGCCCUACAAAUGCACGGGCCACCCCACUUGUUAUUUCUAAAUGAUAUAAGUUUGAUGCUGACAUUGUGCGUUUUUGUUGAUGUCUAAGCACAUGGACAACAUUGUAAGUAAUAUGAUUUAAUUAGGAUAAAUAAGCUGUGAUGUGGUCUAAGACGAAGAGGGAACAUAUGUUGUUAUGACAAGUAUCAAGUCGUUCUCCAGAGUCCAAAAAGUAAAAUAUGACCUUCAUUCCUACCUUGAUCCCAAAUAUCAGCCUAUUUCAAUUAUGUAUAAGAAUUUAGGUGGUCUACCCAUCACUUAUUGUUGCAAACAGUAAGGUAGUUGGAAUGUCUAUUUCAUUCAAUAAGCACAACUAUAUAGGGGCAAAAUAGGAAAGGGUGGGGUCAAAUAGAGCUGCCACGAUGUUUGCUGCUGGACAUGUAAAUAUGGCAUAUAUAAGAUGCCAUGCAAGAACGUUUAGUCUACAUGACAGUGACUAAACGAAGAGAGAGAGCAAAACUAUCUCUUCACCAAGAAAUGGAUUUGGCACAUGAUAUGAUGACCAGCACAAUUGACAAUGUUAUAUAAACAAUGCUCUACCAUUGUAUAUCUCGUCUAUGUGUCAUCAUUAAUUAGUAUAUAAUUGUUGAGAAACGAUGACAUAAUAAAAAAAUCUCAUUAUAUGAGCUAUUUAUAUUACUGUCUUUAUGUGACAUGACAAAAACUUUUAGAUGGUUGUUGUCUAACGGUUGUACAUGCCCUAAUUGUUGAGGUAAUAGAUAUGCUAGAUGGACUUCUAUUGGGGAUAAUAUAGUUCUCCAUUUUUAUUAAAGAUUUUCUUGGUUUAGAAAGUGCUUGCAUGAAGCUAACUAAACAAGGAAUUUUGUGCAUAAGAUGUUAAAUCUAAUUCAAAGAUGGAACUCAUUGGUAUACUGAAGGAAUUAUUAGAAUUGCGGAAUGCUUAUUGCGAGUAAACGGACCUCUGCGAUGAGUUCAAAGGCGCUGUCAACUCCGAGACCUUUGACAUUCCACACAUUCUUGCUGUUUGUUGCGCAGUAUUGUGCGACACAUUCUUCAUUGGUAAUGACAAAUAUAUCCAAGCCGAAUUUUUUGGUUCCUAGUUUCAAGGCAGCUUCUAUCAUGUCCCAUUCUUCUGUAGAUUGCAGACCGUCGAUAACAAUUGUGCAUCCAAAUUGUUCAUGUAGAUAUUCACGGCACUCUUGAAUUAGGUCUUUCAUCGUUGACAUCUGGCGGUCAUGGAGAUAUCCAGGAUUCAAAUCCAAAAGUAAGCGCCAUGACAAGUCCAUCAAAUCGAAUGGAUGGGAUACAUUCACCCAACCGAACUUGAUAUAAGGAUCUUCAAUCCGCAUCUCGUAGCAGAGAUGUUUGACAAGAAAUGAUUUGCCAACACCAGACAUCCCCCACACAGAGGACACAGGCCCAGUACGACGAGACCUGCGCAUAGAGAAACAAAGUAAAUCCGCCUCUUGGCCAACAAGUGGAUGUUUGUCCAGCCAUUCACGAGCAGUUUCCCGCAAGUCCGCCACGGUUUGCUCAACUUUUCCGGGCGCAUCCUGCAAAGAAUUGGAAAGAGCAUUGUCAAUUGGGUUUAUUUAUUGUGUCAAAAUUACAUCCUUGUAGAAGACAACAUACAUGCUCCGAGUGAAGUAAAAUGCAUCCAACAAAGACAAACAUACACGCGUGCAGUAUUAUGCUUUAUUUGUAGCAUCCAUGCAGCAAAAGGUUAAGAAGCAUGAAUCAGUUUUAUAUCACCUGGGCAAAAUGAUCUGAGUAUUCAAUAACACACUUUGACUAUCAAUAUAUAUCAUAUAUUAUAAUACUCAUGACCAUAAAAUUGGCAUCAUAUGAAAGUGCUUUCAAAUUGGAAUGAUAUGAUAAAAGUUUGUACGGUAUAAAAUUUACAAAUCCUUGAUAAUCCAUUGAUACCAUGUUGUAUAGUUAGAAAAUUUGAAUGUUGGAUCUUCGAAACACCCAGUGUUCGAUAGGCACAUCCUUCUAGAUAAACCAUUCUUUACUUUAGAGGUCAAAUCAAAAUGUUGGAUAAUUCUGCGAUCCACAAAUUAAUCACCUAUGUACAACCAUGCCAUAUACUACACGAUGCUAACCGCAAUUUGUGGUUGCCUGAACACUUGCGUCUCAGUCCCACAGACCAUCCGUUGCUUCCACAGUUUAACCUAGAGUAAUCACCGCCAUCCGCAGCUUGUUCAGUACCCCUUUCAUAGUUUUUUCUUUUGCGGAAUUCAUAGUUCUUCCUCGUGAUCCUAUAAUUUAACUGUUUUGAAUUUCUCAACCCCUAUGCAUCAACUAUUUACAAACGCAAAAUGAUGAAAAAUAAUAAUGGCAUAAUUGGCAUGUAAACUAAGUUUUGUAGAAUUACAUUAUGAAGCACAAGUCAGGAAUGUGAUAACAGUCAAAUACGUGCAUUGCAGACCACGUUGAUGCAAAAAUGUAAUGGAAGUAGAAGAGCGAGUAUAUCAUUUUAUUGGAAAUAAUUGAGCAUACCUCCUCGACAAGGGCAUAGACAGAGUGAUGAGCCGAGAUUUUUUCAAGCUCCAAUAGUCGGUGUGGAUGCCUGACACAAAGGCUUGCAACUUCAAACUGAUGCGUGCUGACGAUGAUGCAGCUGCCGUUCUUGUUGUCUGGCAGGUAAGCCCUUACCGCCUCCCAGUCAUCCAUGGUGGUCACGUCUUCAAGGACAACAAGGUAAUUUUGACGGCACAUUUGCUUCAUGAAUUCGUUGAUCAGAACGCCUUCUGUGGCCACCGUCAUCUUCACAACAAAAUCUACGGUAGCGCUUUCUUGUGGACUAUAGCUUCUGCAAAAUUGGGCCACCAAGCGCCUGAUAAAUUCCCGGGCAUUGAAAGGAUGCAUCAGCUUCACCCAGGCGCGGCAUCUGAAGUUGGUGCAGAUUUGUGUGUCUUCAUAGGCCUUCUUGAUGACGGACGCCAUCCCAACUGUUCCUAACAACGAGAUCACUUGAAGGGCAUGGUCACCUUUCCCGCUGAUCAACUUGACGAGUGCCACAGGUGGCCAGAUGGGCUCCCUGGCGGCUUCCCUCGCUGUGGCGGAACGAGGGAGGAUGUUUGAUGCUGUUGCGCUGGCCGCACCCUGCUGAUGCGUCUGCUCGGCAGGCUUGGAGCCAGGGUUACCGGUGUGGUUGUAGCGCAGGUUCCGCUGACCCAUGGCCUCGACCCUAGCCUUGAGUAGCUCUAUACCAGCGACAGCGUUGUCCAAGGCCACGGCCGGCGCCGCCGCUGGUACCCAGGAGGGGAGCAUGCGGCGCCACCAGCUCGAUUUGUUGUCCAGGUAGAGAAUGGAGUCAAUGCAGUCCUCCACGUCCAGGGCCAUGUCGCGGACCUGCCUCACGCAAGUCGUCGUCAUAUCGUCCGCGACACGAUCCUUGGCAACGUUGAGGAAGGAAUGCAUCAUCUCGAACUCGUCCGAGACAAGCAUAAGGUCACGCUGAACGCUCUUCUGCAGCUGCUUCUCCUCCUCAAUAGCGGACUUGGCAAUAUUCACCGUCUCCUUGACCGCCGACUUCGCCAAACCCAGCACAAGGUCCGCCAUUGCACUCCCGUUCACUCUUCGAUCUGUGUGAGGGGAGGUGGGUGGGUGGGUGGGUGGUGUACAAGAUAGAACCUGGUGACGAUGCUUGCAAAUAUAUAUUAUGCUUCAAAAUCAUGCAUGACAUCGGCUGCAAGACAGAAAAUUUGCACAUUAUAAAACAAGAGUGUCGCAGUAAAAGAAGCCAGUUAGAUUCCCUAAUUAAAUUAACAGUGGGCUUUCCCUUAUGGUCUUAUUUUUAGGGCUAAAAGUUGCUUAUUUGGAGGAACUAACCUCAAUCCUACCUGUUUGGUUCCAUGAGCAAAACAACAUUUAAUAAGGUGAAGAAUGAUUUGUUUACCUCUAAUCAUUGCGACGCGUGGGGGGAGAGAGAGGAAUCAGAUAGGCAUUGAAUGAGAGCAAUGGGUGUCCAGUGCACCUUUUAGUCCAAAUAAGCAACCCAAAAUUACCUUAUGGACUAAACUUUAAAAGCUAAACUUUAACUUAAAUAAGCAAGGAUGUUCGGCUCUUUAUUUGGUACUAUAAAAGGGACUAAAAUUUAAUCUCUAAAGUUUAGCAAGGGUACAGCCCCUUAAUCUUCGCCGGCCAAGCACUUAAAUUAAGCUAGGUCAGACAGCUGAUGCAUCGAACGCAGCAGCAGUGAAAAACAAAUAAAGGCCAGUGUGCUCUGUAAGAAAUAUAAACCAAUAAAAUACAUCUUGGCAGAAUGGGGUCAAGUGGGUCUAUAGUCUAUUCUUGUGGCAGUAAGCUGAUCCUUUAUAAUACCGCUGGAUCGGAUCUCGAUCUCCUUGAUUAGCGCUCCACUAGCCCACUAAUGCUUGUCUCGUACUCCAACCACCGAUACCCAGCCCAAAAACUAUGCAUCGGGGAUUCACUUAACUUUUUAUUAUUUCGAGGUCUAAUUAAUAACACUGUUUGGAUUACGUAUGGGUUGCCUGCUGCUGGUAAAUACAUCUAUUUAUCUUUCAGCAAAAGCAUGCCUGCUGGGAAAUAUUAGUUCUGAAAUCUGAGCGCAUACCAGCUGUCAGUUAACAUAUUGUCUGUCAGCAAAUCCCUGCCAGAGCUUACGAUAAGUGGUCCGUCAGCAGACGUCAUCCCCCAACGGAUAAAGUACCCCAUAUUGCCUUCUUCAAGUUUCAUGAUGAAUGCAAUUCUCACACCUUGAAAUUUUUGGAUCUCACGAGGUGAUUAGGAGGAAUAAUUAAACAAUCAUUUUCUCGUAAUUUUAAAAUUUUUCAACAUUUGUUUCUUGACAGAAAAUUUAGUGUAGGAAUAUAAUUGGUUGUGUUUCCUAAACUAAAUGAGGUUGUUCUAUGUGUGUGCAUUCAUGCCCAUGCAUCUUGGUGUUUAUUGAGUGCAAAGGUUUUAAAAUGCCUCUAGACGACGACAAGGUUCUUCUGAGAAUUUACCAGUUUUUUCUGGAAAUUAUUCUCAUUUUCCUAGAGCUAAAUUCUUUUCACGAGCUUCAGUUAUUUUAUUUAGACUCCUCGUGUCCCAAACUAUCUCUAGGAAUUUUUCUGGAAUUUUUAGGAUUUUCAGAGUAUUUUUUGUGGGUUUUAUUGAAUUAUCUGGAUUUUCCUUUAUACGGGAAAUUACUUCUGAAAAGAAAAAGAAAAGAAAACCUCAACCUACCCUUUUGGGUUAAGCCCGCACCCACAAGCUCUACCAUGGCCCAACUCUCCUUCCCACCCUCGGGCCUCAUUGGCUCAGCCCAGUCCAGGCCCGACCAGCCCAGCCAGGCCCAACCGGGACCAUCUGCUCUACAGCUCUCUCCCAAGCUGCACAGGCAAGCAACGCCACCACCAAACCUUUUUGGUGUGUGUGCCACGCCAGGCGCAACCACCGGCGCCCUAUCAAUAGCGAAGCCCGACCCCCGCACGCCACUGCCAUCCUCGCAAGCCACCCUGCCUCGCCUGUGCUGCACCGCCGCCUUGCAAGCCCGCCAGCCGAGUCGGGCACCGCCACCGACUUUCCACUCGAUUCACCAGCUCCGCUGCCCGCCGGACGAAGCCGGCCCCUUCUAGAGCUUCGGGACGUCGUACAACGGUAGAAGCACCAUCGGUGUAGCCUGGGAGGAUGAGCCACAGCGACGGCUGCGUUCUCUCACCGUAUUAACUCACGUACACGUAAGAUGAACUAGCUUUGCUGGCGGUAUACAGACGCCCUCGCAACCACCGUGUACGUGCCCUAAUCUGUCCUGAAAAUUCUAGAAUGCCUUAUAUUAGGAUAGAGGGACAGAGGUGGUACUCUUCAAAUAUCUAGCCCAAAAACCAUGUCAAGAACUUACAACAUGCCUAUAAAUACCCGACUCAAUUCAUUGCAUGCUGCGACACUCCUACCUUUUGCCUUUUUCUUAACAAAUCCUUGCAAUGUAAAUAUAAAUCAUAAGCAAAUCAAAUCAAUCGAAAUUUUUUAUAUAUCGUUUCUUUGUAAAUAGCCACACCAAGAACAAUGUCUUGUAGUCUGAACAGACGAAAAUGGUGGAUGCCUUGGCUUGCUCAGGUGGCUUCUCAAACUUGUAGUCUUAAUUGAUGAAAAUGGUAAUUGCUUUGACUUGCUCGGGUGUUUUUUUGAGCCCUGGCAACCUGCCAAUUGCCUCACCAAACAAGUUGAUAGCUAGAGUUGCCCAAGCUCAAAAAGAUUAUUGUUCUUUUCUCCUUCAAUAAUGAUUUUGCUCCCAUGUUUUGUGAAGCGCUUUCCACGAUUGUUUUCACAACAUGUUCCAUACUUAUAGCUCAAUGCAAUGCAAAAGCAUCCACAUAUUCCAAUAUUAAUUCACUGGUAUGUGGAAUAUCCAACACCUUCUUGGAUUCUAAAAAUUUUGUGCCCAAGUAUCAAUAUCAGGUGCAACAUUUUCGUGUCAGUUUACCUGUCCGCAUUGCUUCACAUAUCCGUACCUUGUCAAGAAAGGUCUAUUUUCCUGACAGAGAUUUCAUUACCGUCAGUGCAAUGUGACCUUCCACAAUAGCCUGUUGCCGCUUGGUGUCCAUUGUGCUGCCACGGACGGAGUGAUCCCUUUUACAGUUUCUUUCUUUUGUUUUCUGUGGAGGACUUGAGAAGAGUCCGGUUUUCUAGAGAAUACUUUGUGCAAAUGAACAGAAGUAAUGUUCCUCCCUUCUAUACGAAGUUCACGUUAGGUGAGUACUCGAUCAUGUUAUUAAUUUAAUACUAGAUACUCCUCGCUCCAUAUGGUUGCGUGAGUCCGCGAAACUUGCUGACAUUGGCUUCUAGAGCGAGGAAAUAUGUUAACAGGAAUGAGAAUAUAUAACAAGCAGCUCGUACAACUAAGUGCGCGCCUUAUCACCUAAUCACCUAGCCAAGCAUCUAAUCACGUGGGGUACCUUUUUUUAUUUGUCUCCUCUUUGAGUAUCCUAUGCUUGACUUGAACCUAGUCUUGCGUAACCAAUCCAUCUUCUCCCGGGUUACUUUACAAGUUUUGAACUGAAUCAACAUAAGGGGCCUCUCAUAUCAGAACCUCGCUUUGCUCCCUUUCGUUGUGUUCUCCCAGCUAGGAUCCCUCAACUGUUUUUCUCGGCCCCGAGGUUAGUACCUUUAAUCAAGAAGCUGGUGUUUUUUCUGUUCCACAAACAGUUAAACAUAUCUAUGUAUAUUUUGUAAUUAUGUCUAGUUGUAAUACAACUGUUUUGUUUGGAUAAAAGAUCUAGUUGUAACGAUAUGAGUUGUAGCAGCUUAAAUCUAUAUCUAAAAUCAUCAGAAAUGGACACUGGUUCGAGCACGCCAAGCCUGCUGAGUACAGUGCCGAAGGAUCUAUCAGCAGCAUUCCUGCGUGAUAUUACGGAUGGUUUUUCCACUGACAGAGAAAUAGGACAAGGGGCGUUUGGAACAGUUUAUAAGGUAUGUUUACGACCUUUUCUGCGUUUUUCAGAAACUGGUAGGCAUGCCAAUAUAUAGUAUAUGGACGGUUAAACAGGGAAUCCUCCCAGAAGGGGAUUGUAUUGCUGUGAAGAAGCUUGUGGAUGAGGACAUAUAUGACAAACAAUUUCAAAAUGAGAUUACGCAUCUUAUGAAUGUCUGUCAUGAAAAUAUUGUGAGGAUAGUUGGCUUCUGCCAAGAACGUGAAAAGAAAGUUGUGGAGCAUAAUCGAAGAUAUAUUAUUGUAGACUCAGUUGAAAGAUUUAUCUGCUAUGAGUAUUUACCAAAUGGGAGCAUUGAUAAGUGUAUAUUUGGUACGGUAAUUUUUUAUCUUUUCUUUCUUUCUUCACUCAUACUUUUUAAUUUGGAGUGUGGAUAUCAAUUGUUAUAUAUUACUUCAGUUUCCUGCACUAAAAUAUUAUUCUCUCCAUCCCAAAUUACUAUUGCUUUUGUUUUUUCUAGAUAUAUAGUUUUUAUAUGCACCUAGAUAUAUAUUAUCUCUAGGUACAUAGAAAAUGUUAUGUAUCUAGAAAAGUCAAAAUGAAUAGUAAUUUGGGACGGAGGGAGUAUGAUGGAACUGAUUAUGGUUCAGGCUAUGAACAUACGCUUUCUAGUCACUAUGUUAUGAAAAUUGAUGUUUUGGAGGUCCUUAUACCAGAUUACUCAUAGAGGAUCUAUCCUUUUUUCUUUCUUCAGAUGAUACACUUAAUUGGGCUACACGCUUCAAAAUUAUUAAGGGGAUCUGCCAAGGUUUACAUUUCCUACAUGAGGGAAUGGAAACACCUACAAUUCAUAUGUCUCUUCAGCCUGCCAAUGUAUUGUUGGAUGAUAGAAAGGUGCCUAAAAUUACAGAUUUUGGUUCGUCGAGAGUCUUUGGUCGUGCUGAUAAAUCAAUGAUGAUCACACAAAACCCUGUGGGAGUAAUGUAAGUUUAAUUCAGAUAGUGCAAUAAGAGUACUUUCCCAUCAAGUAACAAUGCUUACGAAACUCUUGUUGGUAAUGUCAUUCAGUGGAUACAUGGCUCCAGAAUAUCUUUAUAGAGGUGAAAUCUCAACCCAAGCAGACAUAUAUAGCCUAGGCUUAAUGAUAAUCGAGAUCACAACUAGGAAGAAGAAUUAUUCAGACGAUCGAGACAAGUCUGCCCAGAGAUUUAUUGAUGAAGUAAGGCAGUGUUGAUGAUUAGUUGAUUACAAAAUAAUUUUCAUAGAAGCAUGUGUUACAUUUAUUUCGUGUAUCCGUUUUUACAAAAGAUAUAUUUUUAUUUUUAUUUCGUGGUUUAUUAGUGAGUAUUAUGAGUUGAGUUAUGUAGGUGCGCCAGACAUGGACGGAUGAUGUGUACAUUUUAUCCAAAUACUCCCAAUUGGAUGCAGGCUUACUGCAAGAAGUAAAGGCAUGCAUUCAAACUGGGCUUAAGUGUGUGGAUAUUGAUCGCAAGAGAAGACCUUCCAUAUCUGAAAUUGUUAGACUGCUCAAUGCUGCAUGGUAAACGGUGGACGAGGUAUGACUAGGAAUAGCAUACAUUCCCUCUGGUCUUUGCACAUACUUACCAAAUUUUACUUUGCACAUAUAUAUUUAAAGUCCUUAAUAUUUAUGGGAUUUUGCAAGUGUUGCUCAAUACAAUUCCACAAAUACAACUUGCAUGCUUUCAAACUUAAUAAUGUAAAAGUUAUUGAUGUUUUUAAUUUUUAAUCUUUGACAAAACCUUGUCCUAAACAACAUGUUUUUUAUGACUGGAGUUACGGGGUGUUUGGAUACGAGGUGUUAAACUUUAACAGUGUCACAUCGGAUGUUCGGAUACUAAUUAAGAGAACUAAACAUGAGCUAAUUAUAAAACUAAUUGCAGAACCCUGUGCUAAUUCGCGAGACGAAUCUAUUAAGCCUAAUUAAUCCAUCAUUAGCAAAUGGUUACUGUAGCACCACAUUAUCAAAUCAUGGACUAAUUAGGCUUAAUAGAUUCAUCUCGCGAAUUACACUCUAUCUGUGCAAUUAGUUUUGUAAUUAGCCUAUAUUUAAUACUCCUAAUUAGCAUCUAAACAUCCGAUGUGACGGGUGUUAAACUUUAACACCUGGUUCCAAAUAGGCCCUUAGUAUAUGAUCACUAAUAGUUUUCUUAGUUUUUUGAGAGGAGAGGAGUUUUCAUAGUUUUACAUGCAACAACUACAUAUGAUCACUAUUAGUGGAAUCUUGUACUUCUAUAUAUGGCAAACUGAUCAGGUGAUCUUAACAUGCUAUCUCAAACUACAGGUCUACAUAUAUACCGUGUUCGCAUCAUGAAUAAAAGUUGUCAUUGUGGAGAAGACAUGGCCAAGAUGAAAUAAAGCAUGCUCUAUUAUUUCUAGAAGACCUGAACUUUUCUAUCACAACUAAGAUUCCUUUGAUGUAAUUUCAUUGUGGAAGCUACAUUUACUCCUCUUUUGGAGAUUGACACUCCAAAAGUGAUUUUCGAAGACACCCCAUUUACGGCACAGGUGGUCCACAAGGGAAUACGCUAGGGUCCUCAGUCAUGGAAAGCCUAUAGAAAUGAGUUUCCAGAGAAUGUUGGUUCAGCCGAUCAUGUCUGAAAAAGGUUGCUGACUUAAGUGACUGCGUUAGGAAAUCCCCAUUACUAGACGUAGACACUUAAGCUGAUGGACUAGAAAUUGAUUUCAAGAGAUGGUUCCUCAAUUUGGGCUGCCUCUAGAAACUGUUUUCCACAAGAGGCAAAAGAAAAGGUCAUCCCAUUUCCGUUAUCAAUAGGUUUGUGGUGGGAUGGCAAGGGGGGAUGUUGUUGUGGGUUUAAAGGUUGACACCCCCCCCCACACACACACACACAUUUCACGCAAAAAAUUGCAUGUGUGGUGCAGCUCAAUGGUUUUUACAAAUCUUUUUGUAGUUUUUCCAUGCCCAAUGUUAUCGUAGACAGACCGACAUAACCAAUGUCAUGUGGAAAUGCAUUUUUAGAGGUAAUUAAUUCCAGAGGUAGUGAACUUAGGGAACUUCCUCUAAAAAUGUCUUUUCUUAAUACGAUUGAUUGUCCACCUAUGAAAAUGCACCAUUUCCAUAUGCGAUGUCACACCUGGUUUUAAAAAUAAAUCAAAUGUACACCAUAUGUGUGCCAGGAUCAAGUUUCAAACAUACAACAAGCCAAUAGUGAAUAACAGAUACAGUAUCAUGUACUAACGAGUUCAACUAAUACAAAGUGACAUAAAUCUCUAAACAAAAUAAACAUACAAACGUCUCCUAGCAGCGGAUUACCAUUCUCCAUAGGCAUUCAACUGGGGGAACAUACGCCUAGCACUUAUGGAAAUCUUCUAAUACUAACAUCCUCUUGUUCUGAGCAGCAUUCAUUGUGUGGUACAAAUAUAUGUAGGAAAUAGCAAGUGUGAGUACAUGCCGUACUCCCACUACUACAGAAGAGGCCAUCACCGCUGGGCUAUCACCACCAGUUAUAGAUGAAUCAUUUGUGAUGCCUUUUCACUGUCGGUUUUGGAGCAAAUGGGGGCAGCAGCCUUUACAACCGGCGGUGGUGCUCGUUUUCAUUGCCGGUUCCUUAUUGAGCCGCUAGUUUCAAGCAAGAGCCAGCAGCGAUACUCGAUGCGAACCUGAAAUUUUUCUUCAACCCAAUUUAGAAAACGACUUUGCGUCCACUUGCCUCCCUCUCCCCACUCCUCCCCUCCCCCACCCUCUCUCCACCCCCUCCCUCUCUCCCUCUCACCCCAGCCCUCUAUCCCACUCUCCGCGGGCCCCCUCCCUCCCUUCCUCUCCCGCCGGCCCUCCCCUUCUCUCCCUCUCCGUUCGCCGCCCCUCCGCUUGCUUCCGCACCCCCCCCUUUCCCCCUCCACUCGCUACCCCCUCGGCCUGGCAUAGAGGAGCGCUGGCAGCGUGCAGGGAUCCGCAGCGGCAUGGCAGGAUCCGCGGCUGGCAGUAGGGAUCCACAAUGCAGCGAGGCUCCAGUGACAUCAAGAUGUGCGGGGUAAGCAGCGGCAGUGACAAGGCCGGGUCAACGGUGGCGGCUGCAGCGUGAGUAGCAGCAGCGAUGCUACCUAGGGGCCCACGGUGGGCGCGGUGCGAUGGCGGUGGGGACGCCAGGUAUAUUUCUUCUUUUUUUUGUGAUGUGCAUCACCGUCAGUUCCUGGUUUAGCGGUGAUAGGGACUCCUAUCACCGCCGACCUAAUAAUGUCCUCACUCAAAAUGAGGGUUGCCUAUAUCAUAUUGAGAUAUGAGAUACAUCCCCCUAAUGCUGUUCUAUGGACAUUCUUGAGGCACUGACUCUGGAGCCAAAAAAAAGGUUUAGUCAACGAGCACAAAAGUUUCAUACUAGAACCACUAGACCUAUGCUAGUCAAUUCACUGUGCUAAGGGCACAUGCAAGAGCUACAACCACCCUAUGCCCAUUGAUCACAAUUAAUUUGAAAGGAUGUUUAUGGAUGCUUUUGUUUACCAUAAGUGUAAUAAAUCUUGUAGUCAUUUUCGGCACAAGUCUUGCAGCUAGCCAAUAUAAUCCAAGUUUUUGGUACCCUAUAAUCCAAGAUAAGAUAUAAUCUCCUACUGUUUUCAAAUCUCAGAAUCUUUUGCAGUAAUCUCCUACUGUUUUCAAAAAGUGGUAUGUCAAUCGUAACAGGAUUAGACAGAGGGAAGUACCGAAUGGUUGCUUGCAGAUGAGGUGAUUCUAACUUUAGACUUUGCAUGUAGACGGCGUGGAGGAUAUGAAUAGUUGCAUGCAGAUGAGAUGGUGCUGACAUUAGCCUUUGCAUGUAGAUGGCGUGGACGAUUUGAGGUAAAUGACACAAGAACACACACCAUAUAUAUAGUGGCAUUGUUGGACCUUGUUUAGUUACCCCAAAAUCCCAACUUUGGCACUAUGCAAAAAUAAGAUUCCCCAUCACAUCAAACUUGCGGUACAUGCAUGGAGUACUAAAUGUAGACGAAAUAAAAAACUAAUUGCACAGUUUUGUUGUACUUUGCGAGACGAAUCUUUUGAGCCUAAUUAGUCAAUAUUUGGACAAUAAUUCAUAAAUACAAACGAAACACUACAGUAUGCUACAGUGCUGGCACAGUGAUUUUGGUUGUCCAAAAUUGGGCAACUAAACAGGGCCUCGUUCUCUUCUCAUUAAUUGUUAAUAGAAGUUACUACAUGUACCUAGAACUCCUAAACUAGGUGUCCUAUCAUAUGAUUUGCAAUUAAUUCCAUUAAGCUUGAAGCAGGUGGAAAGGGCACUUGCAUCGAUAGGAGGCGCACGUGCACAGAGAGUCUGUUAUGUCUUUUAUCUUUUAAUGAAACUAGGUGGCGUUGGGGCUGCUGGCCUUUCCUCGCUGUUUAGCAUCCUGAGAACAUCCGGCAUGGUUGGCCGCUCCCUUGGAUUGUCUUGGGUGCACAACAGUCCGAUAUGUAUUCUUCUUUCCACUUCCUGUAGCUGUGACUCUCCACAAGAUGCAGAGUCAAAUAAAUCCUUCAGACUCUGAGCUUCCCGUACCUCCCAAGCCUGUGAAAAAGGUGUCAGUGUGUAUAACAAGGCAACAAGUAAAACCCAUUGUGUAACUGAAGUUCUUCAUGUGGUCAGCUAAGUUGCCAUUUUCUUCAGAUCCGUCUAACCAAUUUUGAUUAACGUGUUGGAUCAUUAACACACUAUUGCUUCUUGACUGCAUCAUUUUGGUCGAGAUUGGUCACUGACUAGUCCUAAGAUGAACAUCCACAAAUUCAAACAAUGAUGACCUAUAUGCUACGUUAUUGAGACUGCUAUUUCUUUGAUAAUCUUAUACUUGUCUGUAUUGAAAGAUCAUGUUGAUGUUUGGUGUAGUAAAAUUUGGAAAGGUAAGAGAACUUUUGAGAUUAUACGAGGCUACUACCCAAAGUAUGAGGUGGCACCCAAAUAGAACGACAUAUCCUUAAAAGGAACAACAUGACAUGAAGAGAUGAGCAAUUAUAAACCAAUCCAGUUUUUUAUGCUCAGAAAUUAUUGCUAGCGCUGACAGCGAGCAAGAUGCAGAAUUACCAAAUAAAGUAUGACCUACAAAAGGAUUCCUCUUUUUUUUGUGUCACAGCUGAUUACACUUUUUUCCCUUGUUGAAAAAAGUGGACAGUUUAAGGCCAAUAUCUCCACCGAAGUAUGGAUAUCAGAAUAGAUCGAAUAAUGAUGAAUGCAAAAAAGAGAAAACCUUUAUCUGAACAAGUUCCUUGUGAAGAUACCCAACCAAUGCCUGCCUAUAAAUGUUUUACGUACCCACUCAAUUGAAUGUUGGAGAAGUCCAGACCUGCUCAUUCCUCUAAUGGUAGAUAAGACUAAGAGGCCAAAACUGUAGACAUCAUUCUUGGCUGAGAUGACACCUUGAGCAAUAUAUUCUGGAGCCAUAUAUCCCCUAAAUGGUGAAAAAAUAAAUAAAUGGGUCAGCAGAAGGGGGGAAGCGACAAGAAGCUUGAUCGUGCAUGUCAUGGCAACAAAAAUACAGUAUAUAUGGAAAGUCGUCCUACAGGGUGCCUGCUAACUCUUCCGUGACUUCUUGAGUCACCUCUUGAUCAAAUAUUUUGCACAUUUCAAAAUCACAGAUUUUAGGGUUCAUAUUAGAGUCAAACAGGAUGUUUUCUGGCUUCAAAUCCAUAUGGAUAAUGUUUUUCCAGUGCAGAUGAGCUAUGCCUUGUGCCAUCCCUUGAAUUAUUUGGAAUAUGAUAGACCAAUCCAUCUGCGGACACUGUCCUGGAAAAUUAAAAAAUCAAACAUCCUAUAGAGUUAACAUUGUUAAGCUAAAUUUUGCUCCAAAUGAUAACUGGAGUCAUUCUUUAAGUGGAAACAUGCCUUCGAUAAUGUCGGACAAGUUUCCAUUCGGGGUGUACUCUUCGACCACUAUCAUACUAGUUAUUUCAGCCUCCACAUAGCGGCCCUUGUAUAGCAUCUUCUCGUAUGUGGUUUCCUGGCAAUAUCCGAGAAAGCAAACUAUAUUUUGGUGCUGACCCAGCAAUGCAAAGACAUUCACAUAAUGAUCUACAUCUCUUCGUAAGUGCCGAGCUGCACAAAAUCUCUUUAUGGCAACCAAUACGUCAGAUAUUACACCCUGGAUCAUAGGCAGCAAUUUUAAUCACGAAUGCAGUUAACGUGAUAUUAUAAUUUGAAUGCCUCAAACAUAAUUAAAAUACCAAGCAUAUGGAGUACCUUGUACACAGUAGCACUGCCACCUCUCCCAAUCAGGUUGUGUUCCGAGAAGUUAUUUGUAGCGGCCUUCAUCUCAGAUAAACUGAACAUUCUAAAUCCUGUCAUAAAAACAGGUACACAUACAGGCAUAAAUGAUGUUCUGCAAACACACACCAGCAAGAUCACUAUCACUAGUGAAUAAUAAAUAGCUCGAAUUCAAGAUCAAAGAGGCCGGUAAACAAAUAUGUGAUCUUACCUGAUUGGUUGAGAAAGUGCUCCAUACAGGCUGGAUCACUUUUUCUCUCACCAUCAGCUCCAAAUCUGUCAUCGUACAUUCGAUAAGCAAAAUGAGUGCCCUCCGAUCGAUGUAAUAAUACUGAAUGGAGGUAGACCAAUGGUGGUAGCAUAAUGGUAAGGUUUUAGAUGCUUCCUCCAUCCCAAUUGUAAAUCGUUUUGGCAUUUCACCUAGAAAUGCCAAAACGAUUUACAAUUUGCGACAAAGAGAGUAGUUUACCAGGGCUUUUAUGGAAAUAAAAGCUAAAAUUGCGCAAGUGCAUACUUUGAUGGUAUACAGACUUGCCAAGGGAAUUACAGUUUUUCGUAAUGGUGAUUAAUUUCUAUGUUGAACUCACUAAGUAUUACAACAUAUAAUUUACUAUGCUACAAUUGGAAUGGCACACUGUAAAUAUCAGACCUAGUAUCAUUGUUUGACGCACUGCUAGACGAGCUCUCCACUGCCCCUAGAUGGCCAGCAUCCUGAAAUAGAAAACCAAAUCCCUCAAGGUAUUAUUGAUGAAAUUUUUAUCCUAUCUUAUUAGUUGAAAUGGAAGAGCUAGGAAGUACCAAUUGAAUGAUACCCCUGAAAUAAAGAAACUAUCUAAAGGUUGCUGCGAAACAAAAGAAACUGUCCGUAUAUUGAUCUUGACGAGGUGAGGUGGGACACUUAAAUCUGUUAAUGCCGGACCCAACACCUGGGUCAACCGUGCUUGCGGUAGAGGCAUACAUUCUACAAAUAUGAUACGUACAGGUUGCAUCUGUCCAAUUUUUAUUCUUAACAAAAUGAGUCUAUCAACCCAAAGCUAAUGAAAAACAUGGAGAAGUUUCUCUAAAAUGGUGGAUAGAAUCGUAAGGAACAUUAUAUAUGGAAGUGACAAAAUUAAAAAUACGCUGUAAAGAUGUAGUACCUGUGUAAUCCAGUUUGCGGCCGCAAUUUGGUCCAUGAUAACCUGGUUUACCUGGCGCAACUCUUUGGUCAGGUAUCCAGUUGCACCCAGGUGAAUGUUGCGCGUCGACUGGCAGGCCCUGACAAGCUUCAGCGCCCGAUACAGGGUCUCCUCGAGGUUCUCAAGCGCCUGGAUCAUCGCCUGGUCCUUCACCAUCUCCAAAUUCUCCAUCUUUGACAGGAUAGCACUUAAUCUGCUUACGCGCCUUCCGAUCUCAUAACAAUCAGCCUUAUUCUUUCGAACGGUGUCGACCGCCUCCUUGAUCUGGAGCGCAACCUCGACAAUGUUCCUCACCCUGCCCAAUGCAUCGGACAUCCUCUCUCUAGGGGAUUAUAAUCUGCAGAUCGAAAGGAUAAGGGAGUCGUAUCGAAUCAGACGAACAAGCCUGAUGAACCAACUGGAACAAACAAAAAAAGCUCUUCGAUUUUCUUUCUCAAAGCAAUCAAAGCAAAUAAAGAAGCAAGCAUAAACCUGGCGUCUUCGGCCCUCCUUUACUAGCUGCGUCAGGGAUCUCUUCCUCCAAGCUAUGGUACGCCCGGAGCAUCCGGUGUUCGCCGGGAAUCAAGUCUGCUCGAUGGGCAAGCUUAUCUGAUAGGGACAUAAACAAUUCCGUGAAAAACAAAUAAAGGCCAGUGUGCUCUGUAAGAAAUAUAAACCAAUAAAAUACAUCUUGGCAGAAUGGGGUCAAGUGGGUCUAUAGUCUAUUCUUGUGGCAGCAAGCUGAUCCUUUAUAAUAACGCUGGAUCGGAUCUCGAUCUCCUUGAAUAGCGCUCCACUAACCCACUAAUGCUUGUCUCGUACUCCACCCACCGAUACCCAGCCCAAAAACUAUGCAUCGGGGAUUGACUUAACUUUUUGUUAUUUCGAGGUCUAAUUGAUAACACUGUUUGAAUUACGUAUGGGUUGCCUGCUGCUGGUAAAUACAUCUAUUUAUCCGUCAGCAAAAACAUGCCUGCUGGGAAAUAUUAGUUCUGACUUCUGAGCGCAUACCAGCUGUCAGUUAACAUAUUGUCUGUCAGCAAAUCCCUGCCAGGGCUUACGAUAAGUGGUCUGUCAGAAGACGUCAUCCCCCAACGGGUACAGUACGGCAUAUUACCUUCUUUGUGUUUCAUGAUGAAUGCACGGUUGUCACACCUUGAAAUUUUUGGAUCUCACGAUGUGAUUAGGAAGAAUAAUUAAACAAUGAUUUUUCUCAUAAUUUUAAAAUUUGCCAACAUUUGUUUUCUUGAUAGGAAAUUUAGUGUAGGAAAAUAAUUGGUUGUUUUUCCUAAACUAAAUGAGCUUGUUCUAUGUGUGUGCAUUCAUGCCCAUGCAUCUUGGUGUUUAUUGAGUGCAAAGGUUUUAAAAAUAUCUUUAGACGACGACCAGGUUCUUCUGAGAAUUUACCAAUUUUUUCUGGAAAUUAUUCUCAUUUUCCUAGAGCUAAAUCCUUUUCCCAAGCUCCAGUAAUUUUAUUUAGACUCCUCGUGUCCCAAACUAUCUCUAGGAAUUUUCCUGGAAUUUUUAGGAUUUUCAGAGUAUUUUUUGUGGGUUUUAUUGAAUUAUCUGGAUUUUUCUUUAUACGGGAAAUUACUUCUGAAAAUAAAAAGAAAAGAAAACCUCAACCUACCCUUUUGGGCUAAGCCCGCACCCAAAAGCUCUACCAUAGCCCAACUCUCCUUCCCUCCCUCGAGCCUCGCUAGCUCAGCCCAGUCCAGGCCCGACCAGCCAAGCCAGGCCCGAUUGGGACCAUAUGCUCUGCAGCUCUCUCCCAAGCUGCACAGGCAGGCAACGCCACCGCCACGCCCUUUUGGUGUGCGUGCCACGCCAGGCGCAGCCACCCGCGCCCUAUCAAUAGCGAAGCCCGACCCCCGCACGCCCCUGCCAUCCUCGCAAGCCACCCUGCCUCGCCUGUGCUGCGCCGCCACCUUGCAAACCCGCCAGCCGAGUCGGGCGCCGCCGCCAACUUUCCACUCGAUUCACCAGCUCCGCUGCCCGCCGGAUGAAACCGGCCCCUUCUAGAGCUUCGGGACGUCGUACAACGGUAGAAGCACCAUCGGUGUAGCCUGGGAGGAUGAGCCACAGCGACGGCUGCGUUCUCUCACCGUAUUAACUCACGUACACGUAAGAUGAACUAGCUUUGCUGGCGGUAUACAGACGCCCUCGCAACCACCGUGUACGUGCCCUAAUCUGUCCUGAAAAUUCUAGAAUGCCUUAUAUUAGGAUAGAGGGACAGAGGUGGUACUCUUCAAAUAUCUAGCCCAAAAACCAUGUCAAGAACUUACAACAUGCCUAUAAAUACCCGACUCAAUUCAUUGCAUGCUGCGACACUCCUACCUUUUGCCUUUUUCUUAACAAAUCCUUGCAAUGUAAAUAUAAAUCAUAAGCAAAUCAAAUCAAUCGAAAUUUUUUAUAUAUCGUUUCUUUGUAAAUAGCCACACCAAGAACAAUGUCUUGUAGUCUGAACAGACGAAAAUGGUGGAUGCCUUGGCUUGCUCAGGUGGCUUCUCAAACUUGUAGUCUUAAUUGAUGAAAAUGGUAAUUGCUUUGACUUGCUCGGGUGUUUUUUUGAGCCCUGGCAACCUGCCAAUUGCCUCACCAAACAAGUUGAUAGCUAGAGUUGCCCAAGCUCAAAAAGAUUAUUGUUCUUUUCUCCUUCAAUAAUGAUUUUGCUCCCAUGUUUUGUGAAGCGCUUUCCACGAUUGUUUUCACAACAUGUUCCAUACUUAUAGCUCAAUGCAAUGCAAAAGCAUCCACAUAUUCCAAUAUUAAUUCACUGGUAUGUGGAAUAUCCAACACCUUCUUGGAUUCUAAAAAUUUUGUGCCCAAGUAUCAAUAUCAGGUGCAACAUUUUCGUGUCAGUUUACCUGUCCGCAUUGCUUCACAUAUCCGUACCUUGUCAAGAAAGGUCUAUUUUCCUGACAGAGAUUUCAUUACCGUCAGUGCAAUGUGACCUUCCACAAUAGCCUGUUGCCGCUUGGUGUCCAUUGUGCUGCCACGGACGGAGUGAUCCCUUUUACAGUUUCUUUCUUUUGUUUUCUGUGGAGGACUUGAGAAGAGUCCGGUUUUCUAGAGAAUACUUUGUGCAAAUGAACAGAAGUAACGUUCCUCCCUUCUAUACGAAGUUCACGUUAGGUGAGUACUCGAUCAUGUUAUUAAUUUAAUACUAGAUACUCCUCGCUCCAUAUGGUUGCGUGAGUCCGCGAAACUUGCUGACAUUGGCUUCUAGAGCGAGGAAAUAUGUUAACAAGAAUGAGAAUAUAUAACAAGCAGCUCGUACAACUAAGUGCGCGCCUUAUCACCUAAUCACCUAGCCAAGCAUCUAAUCACGUGGGGCACCUUUUUUUAUUUGUCUCCUCUUUGAGUAUCCUAUGCUUGACUUGAACCUAGUCUUGCGUAACCAAUCCAUCUUCUCCCGGGUUACUUUACAAGUUUUGAACUGAAUCAACACAGGAAUUUUCGUGGAAUUUUUAGGAUUUUUUGAGUAUAUUCCGUGGCUUUAAUUGAAUUAUCUGGAUUUUUCUUUAUACAGGAAAUUACUUCUGAAAAUAAAAAAAAGAAAACCUAAACCUAACCUUUUGGGCCGAGCCCGCACCCGCGAGCCCAACCAUGGCCCAGCUCUCCUUCCCUCCCUCUAGCCUCGCUGGCUUUCCGCUCGAUUCACCGGCUCCGCUGCCCGCCGGACGAAACCGGCCCCUUCUGGAGCUUCGGGACGUCGCCCCGCACACCCGCCGCUACACCCUGUCGUCGUUUGGCCGCCGGAGGAGCCCCGCCCUGUGGAGCCCGAACUAGCCGCCGCCUCCACAGUCCGCCAUCGAUUCCGGCCGGUGCCGUCGUCCUCUACCGUCGGUGAGCACGCCCCCGUGACCCUCUCGACCUCCUCUAUCUCCUUCGCCACCCACCUAAGCCCCUACCUCUCAACCACCGGCGAUUUCAUCUCCCAGUGCGCCGUCCGCCAUGGCCAAAAGCUCCUCGAGCUUUUCCGUGGAGGCCCCUGAAGAAAUCUAUAAUUAUUCCAAGAUCUCUGUGUCUUGGAUCUUUUUUGAAAAGCCCCCUAGAUCUAUUAGGUUCCUUCAACCGAGCCCAAGCCGUGAUCUAUUUCAGAUCGAACCCUGCUCUUUAUCGUAUUCACGGGCACUAUGUGUCUCGGGAAUCUUCCUCGCUAGCCCUUGUUCUCUAGGGUUAAUCGCGAUUAGACCCCUGCAGCUUGAUUAGCUCGUAGAUCUUAUGUUUCAACUCCGUUUAACCUCUUUCUUGUUGCGUUAGAUUCAUAUCAAUUUAAAUUACGCAUUAGAAGCAAUGUUAAUCAUUUUAUCUAUUUUAUAAUUUACUUCAAAUAUUAAUAUGAUUAAGUACUUACAUACUUGUUUUUCUAAUUAAAAUACAAUAGAGUUUAACCCCGUGUUUUCAUGCUAAUGUUAAUUUGUUUAAUGCUUAUCUAAAUAAUUUUUCCAAUUAAUAGCUAACUAGAGUUAUACCUCGGUUUUCAUAGUCAAACUUAAAUUGAUUAAUGUUUAUUCAAUUUGCUUUCUAAACAAAAGUUGCAUAGGUUCUAUCUCGAGUUUUCGUAAUUAAAUGUUAAUUUGGUUAAAUAUAAAUAUAAAUAUAAAUGUGUUUCUGAAUUAUAAUUUGUCUAGUUCAACACGAAUCAUAAAGUUAUGCGCUUAGAUCUUCCCACCUAAGUUAUUUUCCAAAUAAAUGUUUAACUAGUAUAAUUUAUACAUGAACAUUUAUAAAUAAAACUUGAGUAGGAUUUACCUCGGUUUUUGCCAAUAGAGUAAAAUUUGCAUUAUUUCUAAAUUAGGGUAUUUUCUUUCCAAAAUAUCCUUUAGAUAUGUUUUGCUAAUUAAAAUAAAUCCAGCAUAUAGCCUUGUGUGCUCUCAUAAUUGUUUGAUAGCCGUCUUUGUUAGCUUUAGCUUUGUAUCUCUUUUGUAGAUCUAGUCUUCUGUAAAGCUUUAGAUCUUUGUAGUUCCAGAUCAAGCUCACACUCAGUUUCUUUCACAAAUCUAGCCAAGCCUUUCCUUUUCAAGCACGGUUUGUGUGCUUUAGUGAUCCAAAUAGUUUAUCUUAGAGUUUUUGUUCUGCCUAAUAGUUUUGGUCUUCAUGAGUAGUUUGGUGCUGCUCAUUUCCCUAGCUAGUAUAUUUUUUAUCAUGCUUGUUUCCUGUUCCUCUUAGAAACCUGUUUAUCAAAAGCUAGCUCAUAAUUACUAUGUCCUAGUUGUCUCUUUGUGAGUCAGCUAUGUUCGUUAUGGCCAAACCUUUCGCAGCCAUCUCUUUAGAGCUAAUCUUGUUAGUUGUGUCUCUAUCGACCAGUUCAGUUUAGCUUUGACUAGUUUGUUAUCUUUGCAACCUAGUUGCUCUCUUUGUAGACUAGUUUUCCCUAAACCAUAGUUUAAGGUUUUCUUCUGCGCUCUAAAGUCUGAUUUUGAUGUUCUUGUUCACUUAACCAUAACUUAUGCGAUAGCAAUGUGUAUUGCCUGUUGCUUGUCUUUAAAAUCAAAAUUGAAUGUCAAUUUGACUAAUACUUAUUAAACCAGUUUUCUAAUUAAAAGUUUACUAGUUAUACAAUAUGGGAUUUCAUAUAAAAUUUUAAACUUUACUAAUUCUUAUUCAAUUAGUUUUCUACAUAAAAAUUUAUUAGGUUCUAUCCCGGAUUUCAUAAACUAAGAUUUAAUUAAUUAAUUCCUAUUUAUAACUAGCUUUUCUAAAUAAAAUAUACCUAGUGUCAUACAUCAUUUUCCAUGAAUGAAGUUAAUAUGCUUAAUGGUAUUAUAAACACCUUUUUCACAUUAAUAUGUUUAGCUGAACACAAAAUACAAAGUUAUUCGAUUAGAUGUCUUAUACAUGCUCUGUGUUUCUAAAGUUAACUGUUAAAUUGGUGUAACUUGUACUUCAAUAUUUACAAAUAAAAUAUGAUUAAAUUUAUCACGUUUUCAAUGUUCAAAUAUACCUUCUGUUAAUUCCAACUAAGGAUAUUUCUCUAAAAUAUCUACGCAUUGUUUUUUAUUAAAAUCUAAAGUUAACUGUUAAAUUGGUGUAACUUGUACUUCAAUAUUUACAAAUAAAAUAUGAUUAAAUUUAUCACAUUUUCGAUGUUCAAAUAUACCUUCUGUUAAUUCCAACUAAGGAUAUUUCUCUAAAAUAUCUACGCAUUGUUUUUUAUUAAAAUAUAUCAAGCAUAUAGUCUUUUUAUUUCUUUGAUAAUUCAAACCUCUCGAUAGCUUUGUCUUUUCAUCCAUAGUUUCAUUUUCAGCAUUUUUUCUACGUUGCGAUCUUAGAAUCAAGCCCUAUCCUUUGGUAUGAUCUUUUAAAGCUUUUCUUUUGAUUGGUGUACUGUUCUUAGUUGUGCUUGUUUGUUUGCUCUGUAUGGUUGUGCCGAUGAUUGUUUUGAGUAGAAGGAUUGCUAUUCGAAAGCUUUGAAGAUUAAGAGUUUCAAGAGAGCAAGAGCUGAAGAGCAGUAAGAGUAAUUUUUCAUUGGAGAAAGGCAAGUGUCCCCAACCUUCCUUCUAUCUAUGAUUAUUUAAAUACCAUGCAUGCAUUAAUUGGAACAUUGAGCGACCACCCAAGAAAACAAUGCAACCACAAGAACUACAUGGCUCUAGUCUUGGCUAAUUAAUUAGAUACUCUUGUUUGAAGCGGUCUUACCGAAAGGGCAAGAGGGGUGACGGCAGAUGGGGUAUAACCCAACCCUCAGACCGAUAUGCUCAAUGGUAGCUUCGCAGUCUUGAGAGAGGUUUACGCUCUGCUACUUAUCCGGAAACCUUAGCUGGCUACAUCUUAUUAGGGAAUCUUUGUAGAGGUCUUAUAGCUUCCCUAUGCAGUCACAUCUCGGUAGUGUGAUGAGUGCUUGAUUAGCACAGUAUGGUUGGGUCUAAAGUUUUUCUGAACUUCUACGCAACUUGUGGUGAAAAUGUACAACUUCUGCAGAGUGUUAUAUCAACUGUGCUCACAGUCAAGAGUGGCCUGAACCCUCACAUGAUUAAUAAACUUGAAGAUAUACUUAAAUCAUUAUUUUGGUUAUUUUUUGUGUUCUUGCUGAGUAGCAACCAUAAGUGUACUCACCCUUGCUAACCGCUGCUCAGAAUAAGGUGUCUGAAGUUAUUGAAGAUGAUGCUAGGCGUACGCAGCCCCAAUUGAUUGCUUGUGAAGUCUGAAGUCUUUGUUUUCAGGAUUAAGCUGUAUAUCUCUGAUAGACUCGUAAAUUUUUAUUUAUAUUCCUUUACGUGAUACUGUUACUGUUAUUCACUGAUAAUGUCACUAUAUGUAUGAUACUUGAUUAUGGGAUACAUAGGUAGCACUUGGUUUUGUUUUAAAAUCUGGUGUGACAUCGGUUCACAUCAAGCGUGACGAUAAGAAUUUAUAUAAAUGUUGCCCAACCACCCGAAUAUCAUAAAUUGAAGGUAUGUUUGAUUUUUUUACCAUACUUACCUGUGGCUAAACUCCAAAUGCUAGUUUUAGAAUAGUCGUAAUGGAAUUGCCAAGGGCGAGAGAAGAAUUGUUACUGUUGUGCCAUAACCCACAUUGGCUUAUGUGUCUAGACAGCUUAGAUGUCCAGCGUGGCCUAGCGCAUUUUAUGUAAACAUUUACAGGUGCACUGCUGCUGAUUUUAUGUAAUUAUUAAACCUAAUGCAGUUUCAUCAUGGCAAGAUGCAUUAAAGAAAGAAAGGGAAAGACAAAAUGAAAUACACCAAAGAGUUCAGUUCCAGCUGAAAACGUGUCUGCCCCAAGCGAGCUCCUAUACAUCUUCUGUGUUGAUUGCACAGCCCAUAAGGCCCAGCAAUUUACAGCCCAAGCAGCAAUAAUACACAUGCGCCGCAGGCCCCAAUACGAAUAUGUAAGUAUGGGGAAAAAAAAAGAUACGUACCACCUAAGCAGCAUGCCACGGCAGGCCCCAUCAGCCACCAGCCGAAGAUACGUGUUGCUUUACUAUUUUUAUUCAUAUUCCAUUCUACAGUAAUCCUCCUAAUACUAUAUUCAACAUUUUGUGCGAAUUGAUUCAAACAUUCAAAAUAACUAGUUAAACAUUUUGAUAAAACGAAUGCAAAAUUUUCUUAAAAUGUUGAAAUAGUAUAUUAAAAAUGUUGAAUAAAAUGUUGGAAUAGUGUAUUAAAUUUCAACAUUUUUUAUAAAUGCAAAUUCAACAUUUUUAAUAAAAUAUUGAAAUAGCGUAUUAAAAAUGUUGAAAUAGAAUUUAUGAUCUAAUAUAUUCAAAUAAUAAACUAAUAUAGUUAACAUUUUAAAUAAUAGAUUCAUCAUUUCUUUGCAUACUUAACUGUUGGGUAGUUCAUCAAAAAUUUUGAAUUUUAAAAAUUAGCAAAGAUAUAUUCGGAUAUCAUUAUGUUCGAUUAAUUCUCAAUAAUGUAGUGGUUUAAACGAUUAAAAAGGGUUCCCAGUUUGGGAGAAAAAUGCAUUUGAAGUUUGGAAUCCAAAAGCACCAUGCAACCACCACAAGAACCACACUGUCUGUCCUCCCCAUCAGCCGUGCAUGUUCUUUUCUACCUGGAGCCAUGGUGCGCCUGGGCUGUUGCUGUCAAUUGUGGUGGAAAAGGCAAAAUCAUUCCUACAGCUUGGAGAGUACGACACAAGUCGCGAGCAUUGGAAGAUGCUUAAGAAAAAAUUCUUCAAGAAGACACAUAGGAUUUCCAGCCCGGUCCAGCCUAGAAGAGUUUGACCCGCCCAUCAGUCUGUUCAGGCCUAUUAACUUCAGGUCCAAUUAGAAUGUGGGUCGUCCAUUCUCUCUCCUCUCAUAAAAAGACUCGUUCUGUCCUGCGUAACCCAUGGGCCGGCCCAGCUUCCUGUCGCGCUCGUGCCCAGAGCUCGCAGACGGAGGACGGGGAGCCACCAGUGUGGCACUCCGAGGGGCGACCGCGGCGGCGGGGGCACUGAGCAGUGAGCACAGCACAACCCAAUGCUAGCGCAUCGGAGAAGGGCGCGGAUGCCUCGACGAUCUCCGAAGGGUCCCACUGUAAUCUCGUCCGCCAUGUCCGACGGCCUCCUGCAGCCGCGUGCGUUCAAGCAGGUGAGAUCCCACAACUAAGGUUCGUGGCCACGGUCGGAUUCCCGGCCUGAAAGAAACUUAUCAGCCACCUCGUUCUGUUCAUGCUUCUUUGUGCUCUCCAAAUUAAAGUUUCCCCAAUUUUGAUGUAAAUUUCGGUCACGCGCAUGUGGUGUGGCAGUCACCGGAGUGUUGGCAAUACACAUAAAAUCGACAAAUACAUAGACAUCGUAGAGUCUUGGCACUAUGCAUAACUAAUAUCUUACGAAUUUCCCUGUAUGGUCUAACAAGUGCCCUGAAAGGUUGUAACAAGUCUAAGAUGGUGUAGCUUAGUCUCCACUUACCGUCCAUAUCGACCGAGUCUGAGGAGGACGUUACUUCUUCCAGAUGCUGACAAACAACUGCAGAGCACUCCGUCCAUCCUUCUUACUCGCAUUGAGCCCCUUCUCUCCUUCUCGAGACCAAUUCCAAGAGGCAAAACUUUUGGAAACUUUGGAGCAAUGGCAUGGUGCUUAAGUGUAUUAUUGUCAUGCGGUGCAGAACCUGAUUCCUUUCACCCAUUAUUAUUGUCAUGCGGUUGAUUCUGAAAACUUUAUUUUGCUCAGGUUCUAUUUCCAUGUUGCAGAGCCUCCAUGCCUGGUCGAGGCACUUUGUCCUCAACAUCAACUAAAGGUGUGUUUGGAUGGAGGGACGUGACGGAAUGGGAUCAUCCCACUUUUACAUAUGUUUGGUUGGAGGUUAGGUGGGACGAGGACGGCAUCAAAGUAAAAUAUUCUUCGAAAAAGAGGGAUGAAACAGUUCCUCCAAAUCGGUCGGACCAAUCCGUCCCACUUCGAUGACACAAACACCGUGACGAGCAAGACGACACAAACGCCGUGACGACACAAACGCCGUGACGAGCGAGCGCCUCGAGCGCAAGCGCACGUCCAACUCCAGCGCAGCGCCACGAGAAAAGCCAGGCGGCAGGGGCACGUAGCUCGGGCGGUAGAGGAAUGGAGCUGGGUGGUGGGGAGGGUGGAGCCCGGUGGCGCAGGGGACCGCCAGGAGGAGACGGGGAUCGACCUCCUGGGUUCCAGUUCCACCCCACCAACGAGGAGCUGGUGGUGCAGUACCUCCGUCGGAAGGCCCUGUCCCGCCUGCUGCCCGCUGCCAUCAUCCCCGUCAACCACGACCAUGCCAGGCUGGAUCCAUGGGACCUCCCUGGUGCGUCCGCACGCUCUCUUUCAGAUUAAUGGGAAGGAAGGCUGAGACAGAGUGUUCUGAUGUUCCUUGAUUGAUUGGUGUGUGUACAGGAGCGAGCGAAGGGGAGGGGUACUUCUUCAGCGCGCCUUCGUCGAGCAGCGGCCGCUGGAGGAGAGCUAGCAGCGGGUACUGGAAGGCCACGGGGAAGGAGAAGCCUGUGUUCCUGCAGUGCGGCGGCAAGCGGCAGCUGCUCGUGAGCGUCAAGACGGCGCUCGCCUUCCAUCGCAGCGAGCCGUCAUCGUCACAGGGGACCGCCGGUAGGAGACGGGAGGGCGAAGCCUGGCGGCGCGGGGUGGUGUGGGCCUCGGCUGCGGUGGCGCGGGUGAUUGCGCCGCGACACGCCGAGAAGGGGAUGAGGCUCUGAGGCUAAUAGUGAGCUCCGCGGCUAACGGAAUACAAACACCGUUUAUUUCAUCGGUCCUCAUCCCUCAAACCAAACAACGAAAUUAGGAUGUUCCCAUCUUUCCAACCAAACAUUAAGUGGGAUCAUCUCAUCCUAAAAAAGAGGAUGAUCCUAUCUCAUCCCACCUGUCCCUCCAUCCAAAUACACCCUAACUGCGCCGGUCGAUGUGAUUGCGACUGCUUGUUCUUACCGGACUGGUUAUAUGAAGCUGGCAUCAGAAGUAACCAGGUUCUGAUCCUCCCUGUGUUGAGUUCCAGCUAAUAUCACUCUAGGAUCAGUGCAAUGAAUGGUUUCUGUGAAAUCCAUCUUCAUCUCCUUUCGUUCCAAAAAACUAUCCUGUUAUCUAAGGAAGCUCCCAACUGCAAUCCACUCCUCCGUAUUUUUUGGGUCCCGGAAGAUAGAACUCUUUUUCAGUGUACAUUCUAUUUUCGGUAUAAUUAACAUACAUUAUGAAAAUCUAAGAAUGAGGCCCCCUCCCCCCGAGAGAGGCGACGCCCAUGGUGACACCCCGCCCGUACACCAACCUCGUCCCAGACCCCCCACCCCAGUAACCUCCACCAACCAACCGGCCCCAGAUCCGAGCGCAUCUGUAGAAGACCUCCAAGCUCGUACUAGCCGUGUCGUGAGGGAGCAAGAGAAGGAGGAGAUCGAGUUCACUCAGAAGAAGGUCCAAGAUCCAGAUCCCAUCGGUGAGGUCGCAGUACAGGAGCAGUUAUCGCCGGAAGAUCGACAGUCUGGCCAAGCUAUGCAUACCCAGAGGCUAGAGGCAGCGACGGAGGCCAGCAUCCUCCCGGAUCUCGUCCAAGAUUUGCGAGCACAAGCUAGCCUUAAGUCGACGCGGCUGGAAACAGGCAUUGAAUGCGACGAGGCAAAUCACACGCCAAGCACAAGCAUGCCAGUGAGGCUGGCGAGGGGCUCGACGAGGAAGAAGAAGACCGGUGGUUCGCGCCCUCCUCCAACGGCUUGUCAAGCAAGAGAAUCCACAAAAUCUGCCGCACAGCAGAGUUUUUGAGCCUGUAAAGCAGAAGCUCACCAGCGCAGUGAAAGGAAAAGGAGCAGGGACAGAACGGCAACCAUGCCAGCCAUCAAAUCUGCAUCAGAGAAGGGAGCAGAGCAUUUCAACAAGCAGCUGGCAAAAGCAGCGGGGUCAAUGCUUGAGAGAAGGGGAGGUGGGUAACCUUCAAUUCCCCUCUCCUCCAUUCAGGUCCAGCUCAAGGAAUAGACAGCAAUGACAUCAGCAACAAGAUCCGACCAUGGACAAAUCUUCAAGGACACAACACACUGCACUGCAGUCAGAGACCUGGAUUGAUGAACACGGCUUCCAAGUGGUAAAACCAGCAUAUUGGUGGCGAAGGACUGGAGACCAUUCAAGAGAAGAUUCAAGGCUUCACCAACCGGACAUGGAAGAGCAUAGGAGGAAGAGGUACAGGGAACAUGUCAGGGGAAAAUGUCUCAAUUGUUUCUCCACAGAACACAAAGCAGCUGAAUGCAAGCAACGCACUAAAUGCUGAAGAUGUCUGCAGACGGGGCACAAGGCCCUCGCCUGCCCAACCUGGAGAGACCAUGUUAAAAGGCCACCACCGGAGACUUAUUCUCAUUCUUGUCAAACCAAGACCAUCCCCACCACCACAUCUUUCCCCCCACUCCUGCUGGCCGGACCGUCUGCACGGCCGGCCGUUUCUACCUUCGGGCAGCAAAGGGCGAGGCAGCUCCCAUGGCGACAUACCCGGGUGACCCGCGUGCCCGCCCAGAAUACGCGGUCUGUGCGCUCUCAGCGACUGGGCACAUCAAGCGCAAGCAGGAGUCCAUGAUCGGCAAGACAGCAGUCUGUUGGCUCAACGGCAACAGCCACGACAUGGAGAUAUGCCACGUCGCUGAUGCCCUUGAAGAACAGCUCCUCAUCAGCCGCCAUGAAGUGCGCGUCGUCAAGCACUUCCCCGAGCAAUAUCUGGUGUUCUUCACCGACUGCCGAGCAUACCAUCGCGCUAUCGACCAGUGGGGCGUCCACAAAUGAGGAAGAGUCUUCAACUUCGAGCCAUGGACAGAGCGUUGGAACGUCGUGGAGAGCAAGCUAGAGUUCCGGGUCAGGCUGCGCAUUGAGGGAGUGGCGCUGCUGCAUGCCUGGUCCGAGGAGGUGGCGGCCCAAGUCAUUGGCCAAUACUGCGCCAUCCACUACGUUGAGGAACACGCACGCCAGUAGGAGUGCACACGAACCUACGAUCUGUGGGCGUGGUGCUCCAACCCCCAAGAUCCCUAAGAAGUUGCUGCUCACCAUCACCGACCCUGACAGGGAGCAGCCGGCAAUCGACAUCCCGCGGCAGCUCGUCAACCCCAACCACGACACACCUGAUGACAUCAAGGGCGCGUACAACUACAAGCUGCACAUCCACCUCGACGUGGUCGAGGACCUCUCCUUCCUCAGAGGGAGGGACGGAGGGGACGGAUAGCACAACAGGAGGCCAUGCCGUGAGUUCCUCUGAAACUACGGGGCACCGGACUCCCAGGGGGAACGGCGCAGUGACCAGUACCAUGAUAACUUUGCAAGCCGCGACUACCACCCACGCCGUGACAGAGACGACCAUGACGACCAGCACCAUCGAGGCACAAGGCGCCACCGUAGUGCCUCUUCCUGGGGGCGAGUGACGCGCUGCCGCGGAGCCAUGGAGGACUGCUACAGCUCCACACACCGCAACGGCAACUAGGUACACUCGGGUCGCCACAACAGAGUCCAGAACAACACAGCUGGCCAGGACAACAAAAGCCAUUCUCUGAUGGCUUGGCGCAAGAAGAGCACAGGAGGCAAGAAGGUCUCCUUUGCAAAUCCUCUGGUGCAGAUCAUGGGUGAGUUUGAGUUUGACCCUAGUUGCUAUCAUUUCCCAGCGCCUUCGAAUUCUGACUUGGUGGGUGAGUGGUUUGACCCCAUGAGGGAAGAGAUGCUCAUCCCUAAUAUUUUUGUAGGCGACCCAGGCAAGGAGGAUCGUAUCCUGAACAUGCUGCACUCGGCAGUGGGAUGGACCCCGGUUGCUUCACCAAGGAGUGCUCCGGAGGAAGGCGAGCUGCCGGAGCCAGUGACCGAGCUGCAGGAACCAGAAGGGCACAACAUGCAUUCGCCAAUCACCAACAAGCAGUCACAGGUCUGUCUGGUUUCUACUCCUCUAGAUGCAUCAGUGAGGCACACACAACAAGCUCAAAUUUCAGAAACUGUCAACACGGAAAACACUAGCUCAUCGCCUUUUGCACAGUACACCAACAGAGUAGAGCCCCCUAAUGUCAACAGAGAAGAGGUGAACGGUAGCAACAUCAUUAGUGAAAAUAACAACAACAUAGCAGCACCGCACAACACCGUAGCUACUUCAGUUAUAUGCAAUGAUCAAGAUAUGGUAGCCACUUCUGUUGAAAAUGGGGAGGGUAACAUAGAGGUCGGUGAGGGUCCUAAAUUUGACGACCUUUCAGCUUUCAUUGAUUUCAUAGCCUGCAAGCCAAAUGCGCAUAUUGUUUGCACUCCACCCAGAGCAAACCCCAUCACAUCAGGCAACGAAAAUCAGGGCCAAAACACAGCACAAAGAAAAAGCUCUAGGCUAGCGGAUAAAGCUAAGCUAAACCCGGGCAAGGACAGCACCCAACUUGCCCAAAAAGUCCUUAGUAAUAAGCUUGGGGAGCUGUCUCCAAAGUCGAAAGUUAAUUCUAAUGCUGAGGUUGAUCAUUUGGUGCAGCACCUUCCAAAGCCACUGACGGACCUGAAGAUGAUGGCCAUCAAAACCUUGGUGGAGCAGGGAAACCAGGCCAAGCACAAGAACAUGAAGAGGAGCAAGAUCACUCCAUCAGCAAUUGGAGAGAUGGAGGCCCAAGUGGCCUGAGGGAUAACCAUCCAGGGAGGAAGCGUUUCAGUGGUUUUUACUUCCCUAAUGUUAGGCAUAAAAUAAUUGAACUUAAACUUAGUCGAAUCUGUAUCUUUAAAUGGGCCAACAAUUAGGCCCUGCGACUUCAGCGGUGCUUUGUAUCGGGCAGAAUGCCCAGCAUCGACGUCCACGAAGCUCGCCAAGCUCUCCUCGAGGCAAUGCUUUAGUGAAAAAACAAGUCUCCUGGGACUUCUCAGCUUUGUAUCAGGACCAUGCGCCAAGCAAUGUUGUCCGCAGGUUGACGCUUUCCAUGAGUCUACUAUUAGUUGUGCACCUCUGAUCCAUGUCACAAAAGGAUUGUAAUGUGUUGUGUUGGAAUGUUCGUGGGCUUAAUGUGGCAGCUAGGAGAGCAAGUGUACGAAGCACGAUUCGUUCAUCCGGAGCAACGAUAGUAUGUCUGCAAGAGACCAAAAUAGCACACUGGACAUCUAAACUCGUGGCAGACACCCUGGGCAAUAAUUUUGCAAAGAACUUUGCUGUGUUACCAGCCCUUGGCACAAGAGGAGGCAUCCUUAUAGCGACAACGGUGAACCAUUUUGAUAUGCACAACAUCCACACCAUCGAUCACACAGUAUCCACAACAAUCACUAUGAAAGUAGACAAAAAAAUCUUGGACACUCACUUGCGUCUAUGGCCCUCAGGAUGAACACGACAAGCUACUAUUUCUAGAGGAACUGAAGAGCCUAAAAGAACAAGUUCUCACGGAAUGGCUCAUAGUUUGUGACUUUAACCUUAUAUAUAAGGCAGAGGACAAAAGUAACAAUAGGCUCAACAGAAACUUGAUGAAUCGUUUCAAGCAGGCAAUUGACAAGAACCAACUGAUGGAAAUCGACCUCCACGGAUGGUGUUUCACCUGGAGCAACGAACAAGAUCACCCAACAUUCACAAGGAUAGACAGGUUCUUCGGUACACCAGAAUGGCAUCUUCUCUUCCCAAACCUUGACUUGCAAGCCUUGCCAACCAUGGGCUCAGAUCACUGCCCAUUAUUUUUAACAGGUGACGUAGAGAGACAGAACUAUAUGGGCUUUCACUUUGAAUCUUAUUGGGUGAACAUGCCAGGUUUCUUAGAGACUAUACAAGAAGUCUGGAGCCAGCCAGUGCAUACUCAAGAUGCCAUACUGCGUAUGCAUGUCAAACUCAUUCGCACAGCAAAGGCACUUAAAUUGUGGAAGAGAAAAAACCUUGGCAAUCUAGCCCUUAGACUGGCAAUAGCCAAUGAGGUGCUAUGCUUCUUGGAUGCAGCUCAGGAACAAAGAGCCCUUACAACAGAGGAAUUAGAAUUUCAACGAUACCUAAAAGCGAAGUCGGUGGGCUUAGCAACGGUUCAGAGAGCCCGUGCAAGACAACACUCCCGGCUCACAUGGAUGCGAAAAGGAGACGCAUGCACACGCCUGUUUAUGCUGCAUGCUAACAACACAAGAAGAAAUCUACACAUCCCGUCCUUAACCACCGUAAAUGGAACAACAAUCAACAACCACCAGCAAAAAGAGGAAAUAAUAUACGAUCACUUCGUAAACCUGUUGGGCAAAACACAAGAGAGAUCCCUCAGCCUAAACUGGACAAAUCUCGGAUGUCAUCCACAUGACUUGACCGACCUGGAAGCACCAUUUGAGGCAGAAGAAAUAAAAAAGGUCGUCAUGCACUUACCAGCAUAAAAAUCACCUAGCCCGGAUGGAUUUAUUGGUCUAUUCUAUAAGAAGUGUUGGGAUGUGAUCGGAGAGGAUCUGAUCCAAGCUCUUCAUGCCUUCCACUCCCUUAGGACCAGACGCAUGGAAUUGAUUAACGAGGCCAAUAUCAUUUUGCUGCCAAAGAAAGAAGGAGCAACCAUGGUUGCAGAUUUCCGACCCAUCACUCUCAUUAAUAGUCUAGCCAAGAUCAUAACAAAGGUGCUAGUAGAUAGGUUGGCUCCGAGACUGAAUGAGCUAGUUUCCGGAUGUCAGAACACCUUCAUCAAAAAAAGAUGCAUUCAUGACAACUUCGUCUACGUACAUAGUGUAAUCAAGGCGUUGCACAAAUCAAAGAGACCGGCACUCUUUGUAAAACUCGAUAUCUCAAAAGCAUUUCAUUCGCUUAAUUGGGUAUUUCUCAUCGAAACAUUACAGGCCCUAGGUUUUGGCCAAAAAUGAGAGAUUGGAUUACAACACUAUUAGCCACCUCAUCAUCCAAGGUGCUACUUAACGGGAGACCUAGGAAAAAAUUGAAGCAUGCUAGAGGCCUCCGUCAAGGAGACCCACUAUCACCCAUGUUGUUCAUCCUUGCCAUUGACCCACUCCAUAAAAUGGUGGAACUAGUAGCCGGCAACAACAUCAUAAGACCAAUCCUCCCCAGAGCGGCAAAGCUACGAUGCUCCCUUUAUGCAAAUGAUGCAGCUAUUUUUACAAACCCAGACAGAGAAGAACUACAACGUAUCGGACAGUUGUUACAUAUCUUUGGAGAAUGUUCAGGACUCAAGAUAAAUAUGACUAAAACGGAAAUAUUCCCUAUCCGGUGUACCAAUGAAACCAUCUUAGAAGCUCUAGAGCACUUCUCGGGAAAAAUUUCCUCCUUCCCUGGAAAAUAUUUGGGCUUGCCUCUUCACAUGCGCAAACUCCGAAGGGUGGACGUCCAACCAUUAAUUGACAAGAUCGGUGGAAGGCUUCCUGGAUGGAAAGGUAAAAUGUUAUCGUCGGCCGGGAGAGAAACACUGGUGAAGAGUGUAUUAACAUCACAACCAAUAUAUCACCUCACAGUUUUCCCUACUCAAAAAUGGCUGAUCAAACAGAUUGAUCACCUACGUCGCAGUUUCCUUUAGAAAGGAGAGGAACCAAAAAAGGUCAAUGGAGGACACUACUUGAUUAAAUGGCCAACAGUAUGCACGCCUAAGGACAUGGGAGGGCUCGGGAUUCUCAACCUCGAGAGACUUGCGAGGGCUCUAAGAAUGAGAUGGUGCUGGUUCCAGUGGAAGUAUAGUGAGAUACCUUGGGUAGGACUUGAUAUCCCGUGCGAUAAGAAUGAUAAAGACCUAUUCUAUGCGUCAACAGUAGUAAUGGUGGGCAAUGGAAAGAAAGCAAACUACUGGAUAGCGCAGGUUUACCCACUCAUGACAGGAGAGGAAAUCAGAGAGUAUGUGCAGCUAUUUGAGGAAAUAAACAUGCUACAACGUGACACUAAUGCGGAGGAUGAAAUAUCAUGGAGGUGGACGCAGGACGGGGAGUAUACCACAAAGAGUGUAUACCGUAUACAAUUCCAAGGCCAACUGAAGAAGUUGAGUAUCACCUCAAUAUGGAAAGCUAGAACUGAACCAAAAUGCCGGAUCUUUGCCUGGCUUCUCCUGCAUAGGAAAAUCUUAAUAGCAGACAACUUGGAAAAGCUGGGGUGGCCUAAUGACCCUCAGUGCAAGCUAUGCAAUUCGGACCUGGAGACACCCACACACCUGUGCAAAGACUGCCCUUACACAACGGCAGUCUGUGACCGGCUGCAGGGAUGGUUUUCUCUUAACCACUUACCCCCAGGCAACACAUCGCUUUCGAUCCACAAGUGGUGGAAGAAAUGUAGGAGCAUGAUCGACAAAAGGAACAAAACUUUCUUUGACGGCCUCAUCAUAUAUUUCUAGUGGAACAUUUGGAAAGAGCGCAACAGACGAAUCUUUAAUCACGAAACCAAACUGGUGGAAGACGUCGCGUUCUCUAUCAAAGAAGACAUCCAACAGUUCCAGUUCGCCAAUAAAACGCAUGAAGCUCCCGCGGUUGAGCCAACCUAGCAGCAUUUUUCAUCUUUUAAAGUGGGGUUUUGAAGUGGAGCUCGUAGUUGUUGUUGUUUUUUCCUUUCUCCCUAGGGAGUGCUAUUUAGUUGGUGCAGUGAGAGCCAUGUACAUAGAGUUAUUUUUUGUUUUAUUUUCUUGUCUUGUUUGGUUUUACCUCUUCUAAUAAAAAUUCGGCAAAGCUUUUGCCGUCCGUUAAAGAAAACAUACAUUAUGAUAAUUUUAUAAAUUUUAAUGGAGACGGGGAUGCAUAUGAUAUACUCCCUCCAUCUAUAUUUAUAAGGCGUGGAAGGACUUAGCACGGUCUUCCAAAUAACACUUUGACCCUUUAUUUAUCUUAUAUUAUAGUAUUUAUAGUUAUAAACUUAUAAUCAUCGUAGAGUAUAUUUGAUUACGAAUCCAACUAUAUAAAUUUUGAAUUAUAAAAAUAAAAAAAUAAUAGUUAAAUUAUUGGUCAAAAAUUGUAAAGUUUAAAUCUUGAUAUGCGUGUGCGCCUUAUAAAUAAAAACGGAUGGAGCAUAUCCCCCAAAUGUUUCUAUAUAUUGUGGAACUCAACUUAACUGAAGGAUAUAAAGACAAGAUUUUCAUAGGAAAUCGAACCAUUUUAAGAGGCGGUUCACACGAGGGAUCUCCUAGGAUAAUGCUAUUUGUGCACAACCAUACCCUUACAUGAACCGUCUCUGGAACCAGAAAUCAUUCCGUUUUCACUUACGGCAGACACGAGUGUAAUGGAGCCGUACAGGUGCAGGAGGGCGAUCCCCAUCUAGACUUUAAUUUGGCCAUGUGGAAGUAGGACACACUAUCUCUAGCACCAGCACCAUGUGUAGUUGGUCCCCCGUGUAUGCAUCAAUGCUGCACCUAUCGACUGUGACCUGGCACCUAACCGGACAGUUGGUUACGGUAGCCAUUCUUGUGAUUUCACAACUCAAAGGCAUCGUUUAUCCUCCCUCUCCCUGCUGCUGCUCAUCCUCCCUUCACUGAACUACUUGUUGCAAUCAGAAGAAAGAUCAAUCGAGUUGAAGAGACAGAUCGGAAGCUAGUCAACGUUGAUUGGUUCGUGAGUGAUGUUAUGAUCCGUCCCUCUGUUAUAACCAUCCAACCCAGCUGGUGCAGAAGCUAAUUACCUGAAGCAAUAUAUUUGUAGAAACGAAUAGUAAUAUAUUUAUAGAAACGAAUAGUACUGGUUAGUUCACUUAUUUCUUUGCUCAAACUUAGCCGUUUGGCAAGGCUUCGUCUUGGGUUAAAAUGACUCCGGAGCUUCGGCUCAUCAAGCAACUUUUUAUAUCUCUAGCUCAUCCUAUUAAAAAAUAUUUGGUAAAAUGAUUUCUCCAAAUUAGUUUGAGGUUGAUAGAAAGAUAAAAUGUCCAAAAUACUCUAAGAACAUAUAUUUUUCAUUCCAUUUUUUUCUUUUCCAUCAUUCUUUUAUUCCAUCUACUAUUUUUUCCUUACGCUUUUUUUUUUGGCCAGGUGUGCCUUAUCCGCUUCGGCCCUUCCCACCAUGCCUUUUUUCCUAUUUCUUUUCUUGCCGAGCGUGCUUUAUCUCCUUCGUUGACUUCAGUAGCACCUGUUGCGUUCGAUGCUCGCGCGGCAGCCCGGGGACCUCGACCUCGCCCGCCUAGGAGCUCCAGCAGCCGGUCCGCUCCGCCGCCGGUGCGGCAACCACGCCGUCGUCAGACCGCCUCACGCGGCCACCGGUCGUCCCCGCGAUACACCGCCGCCGGUGCGCCGUGCGCGGCGGCGCUGUCCCGCCGCUCCGCCGCCUACCGUCGGCCUGCGCCACCACCAGCGCACCGGCAGCACCGCGAGCUGCCGCGCCGCCCCGACAUUGGUCCUUCCCGAGCCCGGUGUCGUCACCAGCGUCGCGGAGAGAAGGUAAGGGGAGUGGCAAUUUUGCAGUAGUUUUGACGAACUUGAGGAGCAAAGUUAAAGCACAUGGCUGUGGGGAAGAGGAGAAGCGGGGAAAGCUACUUUUUAUGACUCACGCUGCUCAGUUCGAUUUGAUGAUUGGCUUCACACCGGCUUUUCCUGUGAAGCCCUUUUCAACUCACCCGUUUGGUAGGGUUUGGCCUGAAGCCGGUUCAUAAGCGGGAGCCAGAGCCCUACCAAAACUAUUUGGUGAGACUAUGAGCCGUUUGGUUCUCUGACUUAUUUUUAGCACAUGUCACAUUGAAUGUUUAGAUACUAAUUAGGAGUAUUUAACGUAGACUAUUUACAAAACCAUUACACAGCUGGAGGCUAAAUGGCGAGACGAAUCUAUUAAGCCUAAUUAGUCCAUAAUUUGACAAUGUGAUGCUACAUUAAAUAUUUGCUAAUGAUGGAUUAAUUAGGCUUACUAGAUUCAUCUCGUCGUUUAGCCUCUAUCUGUGCAAUUAGUUUUAUAAUUAACUCAUAUUUAGUCCUCCUAAUUAGCCUCCAAAUAUUCGAUGUGACACGGACUAAACUUUAGCUCAAGGAACCAAACCUCGCAUAAAUUAGCUGCUUAUUCUGCUGGUUGCAUGCAGGAGAUCGAGCUGCGGGCACACGGCCGGAUCGGAGGAGGACAUAUCAGCCGGGUUCCUGUUGGUUGUGUACUUGUGUUCCUGCCAGCGGAGAAGCAACCAUGGCCGAGUUAGUGAUCGGGCCACUGAUCUCCAUGGUGAAGGAGAAGGCAUCCAGCUACCUGCUGGACCAAUACAAGGUGAUGGAAGGCAUGGAGGAGCAGCGCAAGACCCUGGAGCGCAUGCUGCCAGCAAUCCUGCAAAUCAUCCAGGAUGCGGAGGAGAAAGGAGCCUCCCGACGAGGAGUAGCAGCUUGGCUCAAACACCUCAAGACAGCAGCCUAUGAGGCCAACGACGUCUUUGAUGAGUUCAAGUACGAGGCGCUUCGGCGAGAAGCCAAGAAGAAGGGCCACCACAGCAAGCUUGGAG